RNAcentral lists this long non-coding RNA (112255 nucleotides) under Triticum aestivum (bread wheat). RNAcentral's name for it is "long non-coding RNA (TAES_LNC009120)". The stretch from base 62495 to 62673 matches the Rfam family "Bacterial large subunit ribosomal RNA", at positions 1797 to 2006 of the family's 2925-position model. Lineage: Eukaryota; Viridiplantae; Streptophyta; Magnoliopsida; Poales; Poaceae. The record is from RNAcentral.
AUGAUAUCUUGAGGUCACAGCUUUGUUCGUCCAACCGAAUAACAAGCAUCCGGACGAACCAUUUACUUGAUCUAAUUCUAGCGUUGAAGAUAUUUGCUUGAAGCCAUCAUUACUGAUGCUCAACUAGUCUAUUUGACAAGGCCCUAACUAGUAGCCUUAAUAAUAAUAUAUAUAACAACAUGAUAAACCGGGGAUUUCAGAUCGUUAGGAACAUAAAAGAAUUACAGUAGUAAAGUUCGUUGCACAUUUGCUAGAACCAAUGGCACAUGCAUUCUUUGGUUCUAACAUCACACUGAUAAAGAGUAGUGAAAUCAUCCCCACAAACAGAAGGGAAAAAAUAGUGAAAUCAAACAUGUAACAGUAGUAACAUGCAUACAUGCUCUGCAACCAAGCUAGCUCUUGCGGAGCCAUGAUUGAGAGAUCAAGCUCGCAAUCCCGUACAUAGCAGUACCAAAUGUUUCUUGCAAUACAUCAUCAAGCUAAUAGACCCAAAUCUAGUGAUCGACUACUAAGUAGUAACUGCAGGGAGGGAUCCAUACUAUAGAGAGUCCCGUAGCAGCUCCGGAUUCCGGCUCAAGCCAUGCCUGCUUCCUGCGCUGCAGCUCCUCUAGCUAGCAACCACCACAGCCUCCACCGUCACUGCUACCGCCCCCUCCGCCGCAGCAAGCACCACCGCACCGCCUCCGCUAGAUGAAGCUACAGCUGCCGCAGCAAGAAAGAGGGCGGUAUUACCGUCGGCUGAUGUGGUCGACGACGAACUUGCAGUGGUCGCCGCCGCCCGCGGUGCCCUGCUGGCCUUCUUCUUCUCCGGCCUGUUGCCGAGAGGAGGGCCGUGACCGAUAUGGCCACCACCCCCAGCAGCAGAAGGAGCCACGGCGUCUGCUGCGCCUGCGUCCCCAAGCCCGCAGCAGCAGCUGAGGCCAGAAAAAAAGCUCGCCGCAUUCUGCUAUGGUCCCUCGCUGGCCUCUACCACUGGAUAUCUCUCAGGAAUUUGAGAUUGGAAUCAAGUGCAGAGGAAGAUUUAAGGAGGAAGACAGAGUAGCGAGGGAGAGAGAGGAAGAGGGGAUACUGCAGGAACCCACGCCUCUCUCUGCAAUCCCCGCCGUGAAUAAGUAGUCGAGGGCUGGAGGCUAGUAAUCUCUACUCCUAAUGUCUCAGUUGGUAGUUUCCGUUCCGGGUUUAUUUUCGUCCGGUUUUUUUUCGUCCUCCUCUUCCACCACACUCUUUCACCUUGUUUUUUUUUACAUCAUCCUUUCCCACGCACGCGCACAAAAAAAAACCCCGAGUGACCCAUCUGCCCUAUCCCUAACCCGCUCUCGUCUCCCUCUCUAGGACGCAGCCGCCCACCGAAUCAAAUCCCGUCGCCGGGCUCGUCUGCCUCGCCGUGGCCGAUGAAUGUGUCGGCUGCGGCCACGCCCCCUCUCCAAACGGCGGCGAUGAUGGAGGGAUCAACUCACGCUGCCAGGCUCCCGACCGAACGCGUCGGGUCAUCUCUCCUCGGGGCCAACCCCUCCUAUUCAUCGCAUCUCUCCCUGACUCCGUCUCCUCCACGAGAUAUAGCACCACCCCACGCCAUGGACGCCCUUGCCGGCUGCAUCUCUCCAUGCGCCGCCACUCCUAUGACACCGCCGCCCGGUAGUCUCCACCAGCACCACGACGGGCGUGGCCUCUGCACGCGCCGUCACCUCCCCUCCAGAUCCGGCCGUCGUCGAGGGCAUAUCCAUCCAGCAGUGCGUCGUCACCUCCCCUCCAGAUCCAGCCGUCGUCAAGGGUGUAUCCAUCCAGCAGCGCGCCGUCAUCCCAAUCAUCACCGUCCACGGCGUCAUCGCCCAGGCCCAGUCACGGGCCGGCAAGACCUCCAUGAUCUCCCUCUUCGUCUGCCAGGUCAUUGAGACCAACAUCCACGAGUAAGAUGCCCAGCCCUCCCCCUCUGCUACCAUCGCUGGAUUUGUCAAAUUGAUUUUUUGGGCGAAGAAUUUGAUUUUAGGGUUAACCUGCUCGUCUCAUUCGCGGAGAUUCAUUCAUGUGUCGGACCACAUGUGUACAGAUGAUUUCCGCAUAGCUUUUGUGUAUGACGGCUGGAGGACCAAUUCAGACCUCACUUGCCUCAGGGUCAGGAGGUCCAAGGCGCCGCAAGACCGGGCCAGGAGUUUGCGUAAACCUGGGCCAGGAGUUUAUUUGAUAAAGGUUUCAAUUUGCGCCCCAUUUCAUGGAUUAACGAUGCCAAGAGCAUACCAUUUGUACAAAGUCCCAAGAUCGAUGUCUUCUCACAUAUCUCACAUAAUAACUACUCGUGCUCUGUUUUUUUCUUUGUAUUCAGGUUUCCAGAAUGAUUGGCCACACCUACCUAAAAAGUUCGGAAUUUAACCAUGAGCCCCUUCUGGCCUGGUUCCAUAUUCCAAGGCCCUUCCAUAAUCCAAUUCUUUGUCCCGAACCAUCCAUUGAAGAACAUAGACUGUGCAGAAUAUUAGUUUGUUAUAUUUGCAUCAGAUGAACUAUGGGAGCACUUGAACAAUCAGGAAGCCGUGGAUAUAGUUCAUUGUUUACCUCGGAAUGUAAGAUGAUUUGCCAUACUUCCUCAUAUAUUACGCUUUCCCAGUGUACUAAAAUAUGCUUCCCAUUUUAGUCUUGCCUUAUAUUGUUGAUAUGUAACCCAAAUAGGUUAAACCGAAUGUUGUAUCGAAACAUGUAGUAUUUACUUGUAAAAGAGCAACUGAGAGCCUGGUGGGUCGGGAUGAAGGAAGAAUACCCCUGAGAGCCCAAACUCGAGUUCGAAAAUAUAUGCAGAAUAUAUGUUUGCCUCUGCUAUAUACAUAUGUAAUUUUCCAGUCUGUGUUUUCUGCUCCUCUUUGGCGCAAUGUGGAAGAUGUUGGUUUUAAAGGCUAGCAGGGAAGCCAGUGGUGGAGUAAUCAGUGGUUUAUGAGGUCAUGGAGCCCAAGACCGGAUGCAGCAGAAGAAGCAGCGUCGUUGCCGUGCACUAAGAAGGUCAACAGAGUCUGUGAGGUGGAAGAUCCAUAGCAUACAGGUGAGUCAGUAGGUGCUCAUUUUAUCUUUCUUCUUAUGUUCCAAUUUUAUUGUUCUUUUCUGCAUUAGAGUAGAAUGAAUAUUUGUAUUACCAUCUCUUCUUAUAGUUGUAAAUCCUGUGCAUCAGUUGGGGUAAGCUUCUCAAAUGCCUAACACCAAUUAGUCUUCUAAAACUGAAGCAUAGACAAAAUUCAGUUAAUGAUCGAAGUUUCUUUUUAAGCGGUACACUAUAUAUUGCUAACCGAGGGAACUUCUAUUUGUGUUGCUUGUUUUUUCUAACAAUCACUUGAGUGUGUUGUUUGCAUUUUUUCAACCAUCCAUCGCUGAACCUACAAGAGCCUGGUACCAAUCAUACUACUUGGAGAACCUAAGAAAGUUGUUUCUUCUGUCUCCACUAGAAACCGGAAAUGAGAACACCAUCUCUGAGUAACUGAACCAAGUGACUGAAAAUUUAUGUUAUAUGGUACAACCUCAUGAGAGAAUUUUUUCUGUACACGUAGAACACAGUUACAUUUCUGAAGGCUUGGAAAUCACACAACUUGCCUUGGACGCUUAUUGACUUAUAGUAUUAUAAACUGUCAUUGUAAAGGUGGUUGUCUCUUUACCGAAUUGCUCCUCAAUUUUGUAGAUUCGAGCAGUUUUUUAUGCUCAUAGGACUACUAGAGAAGAUUUACAUGUAGCCUGAGAAGAAGACCGAUGAAGAUCUUGAUUGUAUCAGGCAUUCAGGCUAUGAUUUGGAGAGGUGGCUCUUUAUUUUAUUUGCCUGUGCCACUGGAUGUGUACAUGUACUUUACUCUGAAUGUAUGCAUCAUCUAAUUUUGACUCAAUCUAGGCAGGAAGAAAAUGUAUCCAACCAAAGGGAACAUCAUAUUUUGUUAGUUGCCAAUGUAUGAUACCUAAGCCUGAACACUAACCUAAGGUUCAUGUUUCUCCUUAUUAGCUUAUUUUAAGAGGAACCGGGCAUGUUUGCUUCUGUCUUUCUUUAUUGGCUAACAAGCAAAAUAAAUACAGCAAGAUCAGUCUGGAAUCUGAAAUAUAUAUAUAUAUAUAUAUAUAUAUAUAUAUAUAUAUAUAUAUAUAUAUAUAUAUAUGUAUGUAUGUAUGUAUGUAUGUAUGUAUCUUGAACUCUUCUUCUUGCAGCGGAUGCGUUGGAUAUGCCAUUCCUCAAUGUGUACCUGGAUUCUCUUUGGGCAUCUAAUUUUUGGGCAGGUGUUAUUCUAGCAGCCCGCUUCGCUUUGGUCUUCAGAUUAAGCAAUUCUCUGCAUUCAAGGGAAAGGUCAAUAGCUGCUCUCCAAAGGUAUGCCAAAUUAAUAUGUUGUCUUGUCACCAUACCUUUCGAUUAUCUGGAUGCAAAUAAAAGUAGAAAAAUCUUCUGAAGUAUCCUAGAAGAAGCUCUCAGUUCUAAUGAAACCCUUCAAUUUAAACUAGGAUAUGACUUGCCAUCUGUUGUAAAAGUGGACAUAAUGUUGACUCAAAAUCGUGUUUGUGAAAGACCAACUGAUUUCUUAUAUUUCAUUCGAGUAAUUUCGACUGUACAAUGACACAUUAGCCAUAAGUCAUAACACAUCUAGAAUUCAUGUACUGAAUGCAAUCAUGAAACCUGAACCUUGAUGUUGUAUUAGAUCUAUGAUUAUCCUGUUUAUACAAACUUUUAUUGGUGCAGCCAACGCUGGUCUGUAUUCAUCUGCUGAAUCAGGUUGGCCACGACGAGGAGACGGACACGACCGCGUUGUCCCAUCGACCUCCGGGGCCUUUGAUAUCUCAGGUUAGCUCGAAAUGUUAUGUUUCUUCUUAGGUUAUAAUAUAUUAAUAUUUGCCGAUUCUUCACUAGAUUCCUCGGUUCUUGCAGGGUGUGUGUCAUGUUAUGUUGGGUUUCGUGUGAUUUCGGUGCGGGUAGCUACAUAGCGUCCGUGGGCCAUGCGUGUGACAUGCAUGCUAGGUAAUCUUGACUCCGGUGCGACGGUGCUGGAACCGCCUCCGCUGGUUAUGACCGCCGUGGCUAUGCUUGAAGGCAGAAUCACCACGAUGACUGUAGUUGCCGCACUCAGAUCAGAACGGCAGCCACGGUAUAUGAUCAAGCCUUUACUGUCGUCCUCUGAAUUUGGGAUCACGUGCAUCUGCAAGAGAAAGAGCAUGAGAGCCUAAGAGGGUAGUACCACGUUACGAACAAGUUGAUUUUUAUCCAUGGAAUUGAUCUGAUGCGAAGCUGAUGCCACAUAAAAGGUUAACUGAGUUCUUAUCUCCAAUAUGUCAUGAUGUUACAGUUCAAUUAUUUUCACCUCUCUAGCUACUAUGCACGGAAGGUGUUUGCUAAUUUGCACAAUGAUAUUUUCUGGUAAAAUACGCUAAUAUUACCUUCAUUUUUUCACAUUUUAGUGAUGUCCUCUUAUUAAUCCCUUAUAUAAUCAAAUCUGAUAUGUAUUUGUUCAUCUAGGCAUCUAGCUGCAGGUGGAAUAACAAGAUUCAGUGUGUGCAACGACAACAAUAAAUAACAUGUCAUUAGGGAGAUUUCUGACAAUUGAACCCUGCAUUUUUUUGGCAUUAGUACAACUGUUCUACUGCAUUAUUCAACUAUGCGCGAUGAAGCUGAUAUAGGGUGUGGACUAGACAAUUUAUUCAGUUUUCUUCAAGAAGGUAUGCAGAUUGGGCAUCAAAGUAGACGACAAAAGAUGCUGCACCUUACAACUUAAAAAUUGAAAGAUACUUUCUAUUUUAUAUUGAUGUGAUCGCCAGCGAGAACAAUUUUUUGACUGAAUUUGUUUCAUUAAAGUGAAGUUGUUCGGACUUUUCUUUGAAUGUUUCUUUUAGUUGCGUAAAAAAGCAUUGUGGGUAAUGUUAUUUUGAGCUGAUUAUGAGUAAUGUUUGGUUCCAUGCAGGACCAAGGAAUGAACACAAAGCAAAUUAUAACUCUCAGGUUCAUGGUUUAGGAGCAGGAAAGAACACUUCCAAUUGUGUAGAUGGGUCAUCAGUAGCAUUUCUCUAAUUAUUCUUAUAGAGACUGAUUUGGAUUGUUGAAGGAAAGGAUCUCAAUUCUCAAUAGCAAACUGCACUGGGACAUCUUGGACCUAUUCUCCACAUUUCUGAGCUAGGUUAGUUGGACAGCAUGUCAUGGGGGGAAACCAUUUCUUCCUUCCAAUCCGUGGGCUAAAUUUGUUAUCACCAUAUGUUUUAAAUUUUGUGUCAUCCUUGAACUUUUGAGGAAUUGUUAGAUAUGUUGGUGAGCGGGCAGGCGGUGCUAGACAUGGCAGGGCAAGAGAGCACGAGGGAGAAUGUCGAAGGGGGCAACAUAAAUGAGAGUUCACCGUUAUGCUCAUGUGGUCAGAACCUAGAGCAUGGAUACAAGACCUCCAUCGUCGUGUAUGGACAUCAGAGCAGAGGAGAAGUGAUGAUGGACAUCAGACCAGUGAAGACAGUGAGCAUGGGCUCCUAGACGAUACUUAUCAUAUCAUAUUCUCAGUAUAUAGUCAAAAACUGUAUGCCACAUAUACGUUGUGAAUUACUACGAUAUUUGAUCAAUGAAUUUAUUUCUAAAAAAAUAUGUGGCAACACACGGCAUUCAACUAUAACUUUCAACUUCAAGGGUGAACUUGUGGGUUUAGUCUUUAUUUAAGCAAUUAAUGGGCAAAAUAACCAUCUCUCUAUCUAACCAAUUGAUCAGUGAAUUGGAUAAGUCGAUCAAGAGUAAAAAAUGGUAUCAGGUAAUAACUGCAUAAAUUAAUCACAUGACAAGUAUAACUACACGAACAUUGGCAAGGCACAUGCAGCCGACUAUAUAGAUCAUAUUGGCAAACAGACUAAGCUAAAUUCUUGAGGAAUUCGACAUAGGUCUUGCAAAUUAAACAACAAAAAAAGUGCGCAAACCACAAAGGUGCAGUAGUCAUAUCAUACAUCUCUAACAGAAGUGUCGAACUGCAGUUACAUUAUAUUAUAGCUGAAGAUGGAGUGGGUUCUGUACUUGUAUAUACAUGUAUUGACCAAUAUGUAUAUCAAAAUCUUCUAGAAGAUCCACAUUGAAGAAGAUUUUUCCCUGUAUGAUCAUAUUGUUUUCACUUCCUUCACCAACAAGGCAAAGAACUAAACAGAAAACAAUCACUGAUCUGCCAUUACCUGUGAGAAAGAAUUGGUUUGUAAAGGGAACAAACUCGCCUGUGAAUAGGAUAUCUACUAGGACGAUGAGGUCGCAACCUUCUUGGUGGAUUCCUCGAGAAAUAUGACAACAUCCACCAUCUGAUCAAACAUAGGCCCCACACUAUCACCAUUUGAUUCUGAAUGCCCGAGUCAGUCCAAGUAUCUAAACUAGAGGGAGCAACUGAACAAGAGUCUUCCCAAAGCCAAUGCGGGAGCCAAGCACGCCACUGCUGCCGGCGAGCACAUGAGGCACACCGACAACGCACCGCAUCUUGGACGGCUUAGAGAUGCCCACCUCUCGUGUCACGGUCAGCACCUCAUCCUCUAGCCGGCCCUCCACCGAGUACAUCAAACUUUACAUGACGCAUUGCUCCCGCGCCUCCCCAUACACUAGCGCGGGAGGGACGUGAGCUGGUUNNNNNNNNNNNNNNNNNNNNNNNNNNNNNNNNNNNNNNNNNNNNNNNNNNNNNNNNNNNNNNNNNNNNNNNNNNNNNNNNNNNNNNNNNNNNNNNNNNNNNNNNNNNNNNNNNNNNNNNNNNNNNNNNNNNNNNNNNNNNNNNNNNNNNNNCUCGUGUCACGGUCAGCACCUCAUCCUCUAGCCGGCCCUCCACCGAGUACAUCAAACAUUACAUGACGCAUUGCUCCCGCGCCUCCCCAUACACUAGCGCGGGAGGGACGUGAGCUGGUUGAAACAAUCCAAGCCGAAGGAGGACAUCUGCAUCUAUGCCGACACCACGGUGGGUGGGUGGGUGGGGGGGGGGGGUUCUUGGCUGCGUGGGGGAGAACAUCUUCAUUUCCCUAAUAUGUUGAGAGAGUAAAAAAACUCAUCGAGAUACAUACACUUCAAGCGAAGUGCAUUUUUGUUAAUUGCAGAAUUUUAUGUCACCGUCUUUUUUAUACACGCUGAACUCAUGCAGUGUGUUUAUAUAUGGGACCAGAAAAUAUGUAUUAGAAGGACUGAAAUUUAUAGCAAUACAACUAUAAGUCGCAUGCAACAUCCAUAUGAUGAAUUACAGUUUAUUUGGAUGAUACUAUCUCUCUAUAUAUAAUUAUUUUGGCCCGUGGCAACGCACGGGCAUUAUACUAGUUCCUCCUAGUUGACGCCGACGCCUGCGGUCGUUCGCUCGCUGCUGGGCCGCAACCCAAGUUGGCAUUAUGUCAGCUUCCCAGUCGUUUUACUGAUUUUAUUUUGCGGUUUUGUGUGACUUUUUCACUGUGUGUCCGGUUUUCAGUGGUUUUGUUUUUGUUUCUGUUCCUUUUCUCUUCGUUUUUUGUCUUUUAUUUUAUUUUUCCAUGUUUCCUUUUCCUAUUUAUCUUUUCUUUUUUAAAGGCUUGGUCAGUAUAUUUUUAAUACACAGUGAAUUUUUUCAUUCACAUUGAAUAAUUUUUUAUAUAUGUUUAGCCUUUUUUAAUGCAUGCUGAACUUCUUUAACCUUUUCGAAAUAUGCGUUGACCAUUUUUUUCAUUAUGAUGAUUUUUAUAAAUAUACAUUGAACUUCUAUAUACAAUGUUAUUUUUUAAUAUACAUUGAUGUUUUAUUUUAAUAUGCGUUGAACUCUUUUUUUAAUGGAUGAUGAAUUUUUCAAAAUAUAUGGUGAACUGUUUUAUACACAAUAACUUUUUAAAUGGAAGGCAAACUUUUCUUAAUACCCAUUGAACAUUUUAAAUCAUUUCUUAAUUUUUUAAUAGGUUUAAUAUAUAUUAGAUCCGUAAAACAAUAUCCAACAGGCAUGUUCUAAAAUAUUCAAAUUAAAAACAAAAGAGAAAAACAGAAGAAAAAACCCCGCUCAAGUGAGCUUGCUAUAUAUAGUGGGCCACCCCAUUUGCGCCUUGCUCCAAGCGUGGUUGCCCCUAUUUGACACCAACAUACGUCAACCAGAAGGUCACGUCGAGGCUACGUCUUCACGUCGCACAGGUCACUGGGUCGUAUCGGUGAUUGGGUCGAUGUUUCCUCUUGGCACGGGCCGAACCUUCUGGAGUUGUAGAGAUGGAAGUAGUGGACGUGACAUCCCUUCCCCCUUGAACGAAGCUCAAAGUAAUCUUCCCAAGAUGCCAACAAUGUUGACUGCAAAGACCACUUGACGAGCAAUGUCGAUGUUGCCGCAACAGAAAAUAUGGCAUUUCAAUACUUGCUCCGGAACUGGAGGUAGUAUGUUAGCAGGUAGUUGCGCUGGCAGGACUGGUUUGACCAUGGAUGAAGGUGGCAGUGUUUCACGGAGUAGGAAGACAUAGAAGACUUGGUGGAUGCGACUUGUCUCUGGGAGCUUGAGGUGUUGGGGAACGUAGUAAUUUUAAAAAAAUUCCUACGCACACACAGGAUCAUGGUGAUGCAUAGCAACGAGAGGGGAGAGUGUUGUCCAUGUACCCUCAUAGACCGAAAGCGGAAGCGUUAGCACAACGCGGUUGAUGUAGUCAUACGUCUUCACAAUCUGACCGAUCAAGUACCGAACGCACGGCACCUCCGAGUUCAGCACACGUUCAGCUCGAUGACGUUCCUCGAACUCUGAUCCAGCCGAGCUUUGAGGGAGAGUUCCGUCAGCACGACGGCGUGGUGACGAUGAUGAUGUUCUACCGACGCAGGGCUUCGCCUAACCACCGCUACGAUAUUAUCGAGGUGGAUUAUGGUGGAGGGGGGCACCGCACACGGCUAAGAGAUCAAGAGAUCGAUUGUUGUGUCUAUGGGGUGCCCCCUGCCCCCGUAUAUAAAGGAGCAAGGGGGGAGGUGCGGCCGGCCAGGAGGAGUCCUACUCCCACCGGGAGUAGCACUCCCUCCCUUCCUUGUUGGACUAGGAGNNNNNNNNNNNNNNNNNNNNNNNNNNNNNNNNNNNNNNNNNNNNNNNNNNNNNNNNNNNNNNNNNNNNNNNNNNNNNNNNNNNNNNNNNNNNNNNNNNNNNNNNNNNNNNNNNNNNNNNNNNNNNNNNNNNNNNNNNNNNNNNNNNNNNNNNNNNNNNNNNNNNNNNNNNNNNNNNNNNNNNNNNNNNNNNNNNNNNNNNNNNNNNNNNNNNNNNNNNNNNNNNNNNNNNNNNNNNNNNNNNNNNNNNNNNNNNNNNNNNNNNNNNNNNNNNNNNNNNNNNNNNNNNNNNNNNNNNNNNNNNNNNNNNNNNNNNNNNNNNNNNNNNNNNNNNNNNNNNNNNNNNNNNNNNNNNNNNNNNNNNNNNNNNNNCCGGUACUCCGGUAUAUAUCCGAUAACCCCCGGAACCAUUCCGGUGUCCGAAUAUAGUCAUCCAAUAUAUCAUUCUUCAUGUCUCGACCAUUUCGAGACUCCUCGUCAUGUCCGUGAUCACAUCCGGGACUCCGAAUAACCUUAGGUACAUCAAAACAUAUAAACUCAUAAUAUAACUGUCGUCGAAACGUUAAGCGUGCGGACCCUACGGUUUCGAGAACUAUGUAGACAUGACCGACACACGUCUCCGGUAAAUAACCAAUAGCGGAACCUGGAUGCUCAUAUUGGCUCCCACAUAUUCUACGAAGAUCUUUAUCGGUCAGACCGCAUAACACAUAUGUUGUUCCCUUUGUCAUCGGUAUGUUACUUGCCUGAGAUUCGAUCGUCGGUAUCUCAAUACCUAGUUCAAUCUCGUUACCGGCAAGUCUCUUUACUCGUUCCGUAAUACAUCAUCCCUCAACUAACUCAUUAGUUGCAAUGCUUGCAAGGCUUAAGUGAUGUGCAUUACCGAGAGGGCCCAGAGAUACCUCUCCGACAAUCGGAGUGACAAAUCCUAAUCUCGAAAUACGCCAACCCAACAAGUACCUUUGGAGACACCUGUAGAGCACCUUUAUAAUCACCCAGUUAUGUUGUGGCGUUUGGUAGCACACAAAGUGUUCCUCCGGUAAACGGGAGUUGCAUAAUCUCAUAGUCAUAGGAACAUGUAUAAGUCAUGAAGAAAGCAAUAGCAACAUACUAAACGAUCGAGUGCUAAGCUAACGAAAUGGGUCAAGUCAAUCACAUCAUUCUCCUAAUGAUGUGAUCCCGUUAAUCAAAUGACAACUCAUGUCUAUGGCUAGGAAACAUAACCAUCUUUGAUCAACGAGCUAGUCAAGUAGAGGCAUACUAGUGACACUCUGUUUGUCUAUGUAUUCACACAUGUAUCAUGUUUCCGGUUAAUACAAUUCUAGCAUGAAUAAUAAACAUUUGUCAUGAUAUAAGAAAAUAAAUAAUAACUUUAUUAUUGCCUCUAGGGCAUAUUUCCUUCAGUCUCCCACUUGCACUAGAGUCAAUAAUCUAGUUCACAUCGCUAUGUGAUUUAACAUCAAUGGUUCAUAUCUUUAUGUGGUUAACACCCAUAGUUCACAUCGAUAUGUGACCAACACCCAAAGGGUUUACUAGAGUCAGUAAUCUAGUUCACAUCGCUAUGUGAUUAACACCCAAAGAGUACUAAGGUGUAAUCAUGUUUUGCUUGUGAGAUAAUUUUAGUCAACGGGUCUGUCACAUUCAGAUCCGUAAGUAUUUUGCAAAUUCUAUGUCUACAAUGCUCUGCACGGAGCUACUCUAGCUAAUAGCUCCCACUUUCAAUAUGUAUCCAGAUUGAGACUUAGAGUCAUCUGGAUCAGUGUCAAAAACUUGCAUCGACGUAACCCUUUACGCCAAACCUUUUUUCACCUCCAUAAUCGAGAAACAUAUCCUUAUUCCACUAAGGAUAAUUUUGACCGCUGUCUAGUGAUCUACUCCUAGAUCACUAUUGUACUCCCUUGCCAAACUCAGUGGUAGGGUAUACAAUAGAUCUGGUACACAACAUGGCAUACUUUGUAGAACCUAUGGCAUAGGGAAUGACUUUCAUUCUCUUUCUAUCUUCUGUCGUGGUCGGGCUUUGAGUCUUACUCAAUUUCACACCUUGUAACACAGGCGAAAACUCUUUCUUUGACUGUUCCAUUUUGAACUACUUCAAAAUCUUGUUAAGGUAUGUACUCAUUGAAAAAACUUAUCAAGCGUCUUGAUCUAUCUCUAUAGAUCUUGAUGCUCAAUAUGUAAGCAGCUUCACCGAGGUCUUUCUUUGAAAAACUCCUUUCAAACACUCCUUUAUGCUUUGCAGAAUAAUUCUACAUUAUUUCCGAUCAACAAUAUGUCAUUCACAUAUACUUAUCAGAAAUGUUGUAGUGCUCCCACUCACUUUCUUGUAAAUACAGGCUUCACCGCAAGUCUGUAUAAAACUAUAUGCUUUGAUCAACUUAUCAAAGCGUAUAUUCCAACUCCGAGAUGCUUGCACGAGUCCAUAGAUGGAUCGCUGGGGCUUGCAUAUUUUGUUAGCACUUUUAGGAUUGACAAAACCUUCUGGUUGCAUCAUGUACAACUCUUCUUUAAUAAAUCCAUUAAAGAAUGCAGUUUUGUUUAUCCAUCUGCCAGAUUUCAUAAAAUGCGGCAAUUGCUAACAUGAUUCGGACAGACUUAAGCAUAGAUACGAGUGAGAACUCUGAUCGUAGUCAACACCUUGAACUUGUCGAAAACCUUUUGCGACAAUUCUAGCUUUGUAGAUAGUAACACUACUAUCAGCGUCCGUCUUCCUCUUGAAGAUCCAUUUAAUCUCAAUGGCUCGCCGAUCAUUGGGCAAGUCAAUCAAAGUCCAUACUUUGUUCUCAUACAUGGAUCCCAUCUCAGAUUUCAUGGCCUCAAGCCAUUUUGCGGAAUCUGGGCUCAUCAUCGCUUCCUCAUAGUUCGUAGGUUUGUAAUGGUCAAGUAACAUGACCUCCAGAACAGGAUUACCGUACUACUCUGGUGCGGAUCUUACUCUGGUUGACCUACGAGGUUCAGUAACAACUUGAUCUGAAGUUUCAUGAUCAUCAUCAUUAACUUCCGCACUAAUUGGUGUAGGUGUCACAGGAACCGGUUUCUGUGAUGAACUACUUUCCAAUAAGGGAGCAGGUACAGUUACCUCAUCAAGUUCUACAUUUCUCCCAGUCACUUCUUUCGAGAGAAACUCCUUCUCUAGAAAGGAUCCAUUCUUAGCAACGAAUAUCUUGCCUUCGGAUCUGUGAUAGGAGGUGUACCCAACUGUCUCCUUUGGGUAUCCUAUGAAGAAAUAUUUCUCCCAUUUGGGUUUGAGCUUAUCAGGAUGAAACUUUUUCUUAUAAGCAUCGCAACCCCAUGUUGGGAAUCGUAGCAUAAUUUUAAAAUUUUCCUACGCUCACCAAGAUGCAUCUAUGGAGUGUACUAGCAACGAGGGGAAGGGAGUGCAUCUACAUACCCUUGUAGAUCGCGAGCGGAAGCGUUCCAAUGAACGUGGAUGACGGAGUCGUACUCGCCGUGAUCCAAAUCACCGAUGACCGAGUGCCGAACGGACGGCACCUCCGCGUUCAACACACGUACGGUGCAGCGACGUCUCCUCCUUCUUGAUCCAGCAAGGGGGAAGGAGAGGUUGAUGGAGAUCCAGCAGCACGACGGCGUGGUGGUGGAUGUAGCGGGUCUCCGGCAGGGCUUCGCCAAGCUUCUGCGAGAGAGAGAGGUGUUGCAGGGGAGGAGGGAGGCGCCCAAGGCUGUNNNNNNNNNNNNNNNNNNNNNNNNNNNNNNNNNNNNNNNNNNNNNNNNNNNNNNNNNNNNNNNNNNNNNNNNNNNNNNNNNNNNNNNNNNNNNNNNNNNNNNNNNNGCUCCCCCCUAGGGUUCCCAACCCUAGGCGCAGGGGGGGAGGCCCAAGGGGGGCGCCCCAGCCCACUAAGGGCUGGUUCCCUUCCACUUUCAGCCCACGGGGCCCUCCGGGAUAGGUGGCCCCACCCGGUGGACCCCCGGGACCCUUCCGGUGGUCCCGGUACAAUACCGGUAACCCCCGAAACUUUCCCGGUGGCUGAAACUUGACUUCCUAUAUAUAAUUCUUCACCUCCGGACCAUUCUGGAGCCUCUCGUGACGUCCGGGAUCUCAUCCGGGACUCCGAACAACUUUCGGGUUUCCGCAUACAUAUAUCUCUACAACCCUAGCGUCACCGAACCUUAAGUGUGUAGACCCUACGGGUUCGGGAGACAUGCAGACAUGACCGAGACGCCUCUCCGGUCAAUAACCAACAGCGGGAUCUGGAUACCCAUGUUGGCUCCCACAUGUUCCACGAUGAUCUCAUCGGAUGAACCACGGUGUCGAGGAUUCAAUCAAUCCCGUAUGCAAUUCCCUUUGUCAAUCGGUAUGUUACUUGCCCGAGAUUCGAUCGUCGGUAUCCCAAUACCUUGUUCAAUCUCGUUACCGGCAAGUCUCUUUACUCGUACCGCAAUGCAUGAUCCCGUGACUAAUGCCUUAGUCACAUUGAGCUCAUUAUGAUGAUGCAUUACCGAGUGGGCCCAGAGAUACCUCUCCGUCACACGGAGUGACAAAUCCCAGUCUCGAUCCGUGCCAACCCAACAGACACUUUCGGAGAUACCCGUAGUGCACCUUUAUAGUCACCCAGUUACGUUGUGACGUUUGGCACACCCAAAGCACUCCUACGGUAUCCGAGAGUUGCACGAUCUCAUGGUCUAAGGAAAGGAUACUUGACAUUGGAAAAGCUCUAGCAAACGAAACUACACGAUCUUUUAGGCUAUGCUUAGGAUUGGGUCUUGUCCAUCACAUCAUUCUCCUAAUGAUGUGAUCCCGUUAUCAAUGACAUCCAAUGUCCAUAGUCAGGAAACCAUGACUAUCUGUUGAUCAACGAGCUAGUCAACUAGAGGCUUACUAGGGACACAUUGUGGUCUAUGUAUUCACACAUGUAUUACGAUUUCCGGACAAUACAAUUAUAGCAUGAAUAAUAGACAAUUACCAUGAACAAAGAAAUAUAAUAAUAACCAUUUAUUAUUGCCUCUAGGGCAUAUUUCCAACAGUCUCCCACUUGCACUAGAGUCAAUAAUCUAGUUACAUUGUGAUGAAUCGAACACCCAUUGCGUCCUGGUGUUGAUCAUGUUUUGCCCUAGGGAGAGGUUUAGUCAACGGAUCUGCUACAUUCAGGUCCGUAUGUACUUUACAAAUAUCUAUGUCUCCAUUUUGAACACUUCCACGAAUGGAGUUGAAGCGUCGCUUGAUAUGCCUGGUCUUCCUGUGAAACCUGGGCUCCUUCGCAAGGGCAAUAGCUCCAGUGUUGUCACAGAAGAGAGUCUCGGGCCCGACGCAUUGGGAAUCACCCCUAGGUCGGUAAUGAACUCCUUCAUCCAGACUGCUUCCUGUGCUGCCUCCGAGGCUGCCAUGUACUCCGCUUCACAUGUAGAUCCCGCCACGACGCUUUGCUUGCAACUGCACCAGCUUACUGCUCCUCCAUUCAAAAUAUACACGUAUCCGGUUUGUGACUUCGAGUCAUCCAGAUCUGUGUCGAAGCUAGCGUCGACGUAACCCUUUACGACGAGCUCUUCGUCACCUCCAUAAACGAGAAACAUAUCCUUAGUCCUCUUCAGGUACUUCAUGAUAUUCUUGACCGUUGUCCAGUGUUCCAUGCCGGGAUUACUUUGGUACCUUCCUACCAAACUUACGGCAAGGUUUACAUCAGGUCUGGUACAUAGCAUGGCAUACAUAAUAGACCCUAUGGCCGAGGCAUAGGGGAUGACACUCAUCUUUUCUAUAUCUUCUGCCGUGGUCGGGCAUUGAGCCGUGCUCAAUUGCACACCUUGCAAUACAGGCAAGAACCCCUUCUUGGAUUGAUCCAUACUGAACUUCUUUAAUAUCUUAUCAAGGUAUGUACUCUGUGAAACACCAAUGAGGCGUCUUGAUCUAUCUCUAUAGAUCUUGAUGCCUAAUAUAUAAGCAGCUUCUCCAAGGUCCUUCAUUGAAAAACACUUAUUCAAAUAGGCCUUUAUACUUUCCAAGAAUUCUAUAUCAUUUCCCAUCAAUAGUAUGUCAUCCACAUAUAAUAUGAGAAAUGCUACAGAGCUCCCACUCACUUUCUUGUAAACACAGGCUUCUCCAUAAGUCUGUGUAAACCCAAACGCUUUGAUCAUCUCAUCAAAGCGAAUGUUCCAACUCCGAGAUGCUUGCACUAGCCCAUAGAUUGAGCGCUGGAGCUUGUAUACUUUGUUAGCAUUCUUAGGAUCGACAAAACCUUCCGGCUGCAUCAUAUACAACUCCUCCUUAAGGAAGCCGUUAAGGAAUGCCGUUUUGACGUCCAUCUGCCAUAUCUCAUAAUCAUAGUAUGCGGCAAUUGCUAACAUGAUUCGGACGGAUUUCAGCUUUGCUACGGGUGAGAAAGUCUCAUCGUAGUCAACCCCUUGAACUUGUCGAUAACCCUUAGCGACAAGUCGAGCUUUGCAGAUGGUCACAUUACCAUCCGCGUCCGUCUUCUUCUUAAAGAUCCAUUUGUUUUCUAUGGCUCGCCGCUCAUCGGGCAAGUCAGUCAAAGACCAUACUUUGUUUUCAUACAUGGAUUCUAUCUCGGAUUUCAUGGCUUCUAGCCAUUUGUCGGAAUCCGGGCCCGCCAUCGCUUCUUCAUAGUUCGAAGGUUCACCGUUGUCUAACAACAUGAUUUCCAGGACAGGGUUGCCGUACCACUCUGGUGCGGAACGUGUCCUUGUGGACCUACGAAGUUCAGUGGCAACUUGAUCCGAAGCUUCAUGAUCAUCAUCAUUAACUUCCUCCCCAGUCGGUGUAGGCACCACAGGAACAUUUCCCCGCGCUGCGCUACUUUCCGGUUCGGAAGGGGUGACUAUCACCUCAUCAAGUUCCACUUUCCUCCCACUCAAUUCUUUUGAGAGAAACUCCUUCUCCAGAAAGGACCCGUUCUUGGCAACGAAGAUCUUGCCUUCGGAUCUGAGGUAGAAGGUAUACCCAAUUGUUUCCUUAGGGUAUCCUAUGAAGACGCAUUUUUCUGAUUUGGGUUCGAGCUUUUCAGGUUGAAGUUUCUUGACAUAAGCAUCGCAUCCCCAAAUUUUUAGAAACGACAGCUUAGGUUUCUUCCCAAACCAUAAUUCAUACGGUGUCGUCUCAACGGAUUUCGACGGAGCCCUAUUUAAAGUGAAUGCGGCAGUCUCUAAAGCAUAGCCCCAAAAUGAGAGCGGUAAAUCGGUAAGAGACAUCAUAGAUCGCACCAUAUCCAAUAGAGUGCGAUUACGACGUUCGGACACACCAUUUCUCUGAGGUGUUCCAGGCGGCGUGAGUUGUGAAACUAUUCCACAUUUCCUUAAGUGUGUACCAAAUUCGUGACUUAAAUAUUCUCCACCACGAUCUGAUCGUAAGAAUUUUAUUUUCCUGUCACGUUGAUUCUCAACUUCACUCUGAAAUUCCUUGAACUUUUCAAAGGUUUCAGACUUGUGUUUCAUUAGGUAGACAUACCCAUAUCUAUUUAAAUCAUCAGUGAGAGUGAGAACAUAACGAUAUCCUCCGCGAGCCUCAACACUCAUUGGACCACACACAUCGGUAUGUAUGAUUUCCAAUAAGUUGGUUGCUCGCUCCAUUGUUCCGGAGAACGGAGUCUUGGUCAUCUUACCCAUGAGGCAUGGUUCGCAUGUGUCAAAUGAUUCGUAAUCAAGAGACUCCAAAAGUCCAUCUGCAUGGAGCUUCUUCAUGCACUUGACACCAAUGUGACCAAGGCGGCAGUGCCACAGAUAUGUGGGACUAUCGUUAUCAACUUUACAUCUUUUGGUAUUCACACUAUGAACAUGUGUAACAUCACGUUCGAGAUUCAUCAAAAAUAAACCAUUGACCAGCGGGGCAUGACCAUAAAACAUAUCUCUCAAAUAAAUAGAACAACCAUUAUUCUCGGAUUUAAAUGAGUAGCCAUCUUGAAUUAAACGAGAUCCAGAUACAAUGUUCAUGCUCAAAGCUGGCACUAAAUAACAAUUAUUGAGGUUUAAAACUAAUCCCGUAGGGAGAUGCAGAGGUAGCGUGCCGACGGCGAUCACAUCGACCUUGGAACCAUUCCCGACGCGCAUCGUCACCUCGUCCUUCGCCAGUCUCCGUUUAUUCCGUAGUUUCUGUUUUGAGUUACAAAUAUGAGCAACCGCACCGGUAUCAAAUACCCUGGAGCUACUACGAGUACUGGUAAGGUACACAUCAAUAACUUGUAUAUCACAUAUACCUUUGGUGUUGCCGGCCUUCUUCUUGUCCGCUAAGUAUUUGGGGCAGUUCCGCUUCCAGUGACCACUUCCCUUGCAAUAAAAGCACUCAGUUUCAGGCUUGGGUCCAUUCUUUGACUUCUUCCCAGUAACUGGUUUACCGGGCGCGGCAACUCCCUUGUCGUCCUUCUUGAAGUUUUUCUUACCCUUGCCCUUCUUGAACUUAGUGGUUUUAUUCACCAUCAACACUUAAUGUUCUUUUCUGAUCUCUACCUCAGCUGAUUUCAGCAUUGAAUAUACCUCAGGAAUGGUCUUUUCCAUCCCUUGCAUAUUGAAGUUCAUCACAAAGCUCUUGUAGCUUGGUGGAAGCGACUGGAGGAUUCUGUCAAUGACCGCGUCAUCCGGGAGAUUAUCUCCCAGCUGAGACAAGCGGUUGUGCAACCCAGACAUUCUGAGUAUGUGCUCACUAACAGAACUAUUCUCCUCCAUUUUACAGCUGAAGAACUUGUCGGAGACAUCAUAUCUCUCGACCCGGGCAUGAGCUUGGAAAACUAGUUUCAGCUCCUCGAACAUCUCAUAUGCUCCAUGUUUCUCAAAACGCUUUUGGAGACCCGGUUCUAGGUUGUAAAGCAUGCCGCACUGAACGAGGGAGUAAUCAUCAGCACGUGAUUGCCAAGCGUUCAUAACGUUUUGGUUCUCAGGGAUUGGUGCAUCACCUAGCGGUGCUUCUAAGACAUAAUCUUUCUUGGCUACUAUGAGGAUGAGCCUCAGGUUCCGGACCCAGUCCGUAUAGUUGCUGCCAUCAUCUUUCAGCUUGGUUUUCUCUAGGAACGCGUUGAAAUUGAGGACAACGUUGGCCAUUUGAUCUACAAGACAUAGUGUAAAGAUUUUAGACUAAGUUCAUGAUAAUUGAGUUCAUCUAAUCAAAUUAUUUAAUGAACUCCCACUCAGAUAGACAUCCCUCUAGUCAUCUAAGUGAAACAUGAUCCGAGUUUAACUAGGCCGUGUCCGAUCAUCACGUGAGACGGACUAGUCAAGAUCGGUGAACAUCUCCAUGUUGAUCGUAUCUUCUAUACGACUCAUGCUCGACCUUUCGGUCCUCCGUGUUCCGAGGCCAUGUAUGUACAUGCUAGGCUCGUCAAGUCAACCUAAGUGUAUUGCGUGUGUUCCGAGGCCAUGUCUGUACAUGCUAGGCUCGUCAACACCCGUUGUAUUCGAACGUUAGAAUCUAUCACACCCGAUCAUCACGUGGUGCUUCGAAACAACGAACCUUCGCAACGGUGCACAGUUAGGGUGAACACUUUCUUGAAAUUAUUAUAAGGGAUCAUCCUACUUGCUACCGUCGUUCUAAGCAAAUAAGAUGCAAAAACAUGAUAAACAUCACAUGCAAUCAAAUAGUGACAUGAUAUGGCCAAUAUCAUCAUGCUCCUUUGAUCUCCAUCUUCGGGGCACCAUGAUCAUCUUCGUCACCGGCAUGACACCAUGAUCUCCAUCAUCAUGAUCUCCAUCAUUGUGUCUUCAUGAAGUCGUCACGCCAACGAUUACUUCUACUUCUAUGCCUAACGCGUUUAGCAACAAAGUAAAGUAAUUUACAUGGCAUUAUUCAAUGACACGCAGGUCAUACAAAAUAAUAAAGACAACUCCUAUGGCUCCUGCCGGUUGUCAUACUCAUCGACAUGCAAGUCGUGAUUCCUAUUACAAGAAUAUGAUCAAUCUCAUACAUCACAUAUAUCAUUCAUCACAUCUUCUGGCCAUAUAAUAUCACAUAUAUCACUUGCUGCAAAAACAAGUUAGACGUCCUCUAAUUGUUGUUGCAAGUUUUUACGUGGUUUGUAGGUUUCUAGCAAGAACGUUUCUUACCUACGUAUGACCACAACGUGAUUUGCCAAUUUCUAUUUACCCUUCAUAAGGACCCUUUUCAUCGAAUCCGUUCCGACUAAAGUAGGAGAGACAGACACCCGCUAGCCACCUUAUGCAACUAGUGCAUGUCAGUCGGUGGAACCUGUCUCACGUAAGAGUACGUGUAAGGUCGGUCCGGGCCGCUUCAUCCUACAAUGCCGCCGAAACAAGAAAAGACUAGUAGCGGCAAGAAGAAUUGGCAAACUCAACGCCCACAACUGCUUUGUGUUCUACUCGUGCAUAGUAACUACGCAUAGGCCUGGCUCAUGAUGCCACUGUUGGGAAUCGUAGCAUAAUUUUAAAAUUUUCCUACGCUCACCAAGAUGCAUCUAUGGAGUGUACUAGUAACGAGGGGAAGGGAGUGCAUCUACAUACCCUUGUAGAUCGUGAGCGGAAGCGUUCCAAUGAACGUGGAUGACGGAGUCGUACUUGCCGUGAUCCAAAUCACCGAUGACCGAGUGCCGAACGGACGGCACCUCUGCGUUCAACACACGUACGGUGCAGCGACGUCUCCUCCUUCUUGAUCCAGCAAGGGGGAAGGAGAGGUUGAUGGAGAUCCAGCAGCACGACGGCGUGGUGGUGGAUGUAGCGGGUCUCCGGCAGGGCUUCGCCAAGCUUCUGCGAGAGAGAGAGAGAGAGGUGUUGCAGGGGAGGAGGGAGGCGCCCAAGGCUGUNNNNNNNNNNNNNNNNNNNNNNNNNNNNNNNNNNNNNNNNNNNNNNNNNNNNNNNNNNNNNNNNNNNNNNNNNNNNNNNNNNNNNNNNNNNNNNNNNNNNNNNNNNNNNNNNNNNNNNNNNNNNNNNNNNNNNNNNNNNNNNNNNNNNNNNNNNNNNNNNNNNNNNNNNNNNNNNNNNNNNNNNNNNNNNNNNNNNNNNNNNNNNNNNNNNNNNNNNNNNNNNNNNNNNNNNNNNNNNNNNNNNNNNNNNNNNNNNNNNNNNNNNNNNNNNNNNNNNNNNNNNNNNNNNNNNNNNGGGGGGAAGGGGUGCCUUGCCCCCCAAGGCAAGGGGGAAGCUCCCCCCUAGGGUUCCCAACCCUAGGCGCAGGGGGGAGGCCCAAGGGGGCGCCCCAGCCCACUAAGGGCUGGUUCCCUUCCACUUUCAGCCCACGGGGCCCUCCGGGAUAGGUGGCCCCACCCGGUGGACCCCCGGGACCCUUCCGGUGGUCCCGGUACAAUACCGGUAACCCCCGAAACUUUCCCGGUGGCCGAAACUUGACUUCCUAUAUAUAUAAUUCUUCACCUCCGGACCAUUCCGGAGCCUUUCGUGACGUCCGGGACCUCAUCCGGGACUCCGAACAACUUUCGGGUUUCCGCAUACAUAUAUCUCUACAACCCUAGCGUCACCGAACCUGAAGUGUGUAGACCCUACGGGUUCGGGAGACAUGCAGACAUGACCGAGACGCCUCUCCGGUCAAUAACCAACAGCGGGAUCUGGAUACCCAUGUUGGCUCCCACAUGUUCCACGAUGAUCUCAUCGGAUGAACCACGGUGUCGAGGAUUCAAUCAAUCCCGUAUGCAAUUCCCUUUGUCAAUCGGUAUGUUACUUGCCCGAGAUUCGAUCGUCGGUAUCCCAAUACCUUGUUCAAUCUCGUUACCGGCAAGUCUCUUUACUCGUACCGCAAUGCAUGAUCCCAUGACUAACGCCUUAGUCACAUUGAGCUCAUUAUGAUGAUGCAUUACCGAGUGGGCCCAGAGAUACCUCUCCGUCACACGGAGUGACAAAUCCCAGUCUCGAUCCGUGCCAACCCGACAGGCACUUUCGGAGAUACCCGUAGUGCACCUUUAUAGUCACCCAGUUACGUUGUGACGUUUGGCACACCCAAAGCACUCCUACGGUAUCCGGGAGUUGCACGAUCUCAUGGUCUAAGGAAAAGAUACUUGACAUUGGAAAAGCUCUAGCAAACGAAACUACACGAUCUUUUAUGCUAUGCUUAGGAUUGGGUCUUGUCCAUCACAUCAUUCUCCUAAUGAUGUGAUCCCGUUAUCAAUGACAUCCAAUGUCCAUAGUCAGGAAACCAUGACUAUCUGUUGAUCAACGAGCUAGUCAACUAGAGGCUUACUAGGGACACAUUGUGGUCUAUGUAUUCACACAUGUAUUACGAUUUCCGGACAAUACAAUUAUAGCAUGAAUAAUAGACAAUUACCAUGAACAAAGAAAUAUAAUAAUAACCAUUUAUUAUUGCCUCUAGGGCAUAUUUCCAACACCCCAAACUUUAAGAAACGACAACUUUGGUUUCUUGCCAGACCAUAGUUCAUACGGUGUCGUCUCAAACGAAUUUAGAUGGUGCCCUUUUUACGUGAAUGCAGCUGUCUCUAAUGCAUAACCCCAAAACUAUAGUGGUAAAUCGGUAAGAAACAUCAUAGAUUGCACUAUAUCCAAUAAAGUACGGUUAUUACGUUCGGACACACCAUUAUGUUGUGGUGUUCCAGGUGGCACGAAUUUGUGAAACUAUUCCACAUUAUUUUAAUUUGAAGACCAAACUCGUAACUCAAAUAUUUGUCUCCGUGAUCAGAUCGUAGAAACCUUAUUUUCUUGUCACGAUGAUUUUCCACUUCACUCUGAAAUUCUUUGAACUUUUCAAAUGUUUCAGACUUAUGUUUCAUCAAGUAGAUAUACCCAUAUCUGCUCAAAUCAUCUGUGAAGGUCAGAAAAUAACGAUACCCGCCGCGAGCCUCAACACUCAUCGGAUCGCAUACAUCAGUAUGUAUUAUUUCCAAUAAGUCAGUUGCUCGCUCCAUUGUUCCAGAGAACGGAGUCUUAGUCAUCUUGCCCAUAAGGCAUGGUUCGCAAGCAUCAAGUGAUUCAUAAUCAAGUGAUUCCAAAAGCCCAUCAGCAUGGAGUUUCUUUAUGCGCUUUACACCAAUAUGACCUAAACGGCAGUGCCACAAAUAAGUUGCACUAUCAUUAUUAACUUUGCAUCUUUUGGCUUCAAUAUUAUGAAUAUGUGUAUCACUACGAUCGAGAUCCAACGAACCAUUUUCAUUGGGUGUGUAACCAUAUAAGGUUUUAUUCAUGUAAACAGAACAACAAUUAUUCUCUAACUUAAAUGAAUAACCAUAUUGCAAUAAACAUGAUCAAAUCAUAUUCAUGCUCAACGCGAACACCUAAUAACACUUAUUUAGUUUCAACACUAAUCCCGAAAGUAUAGGGAAUGUGCGAUGAUGAUCAUAUCAAUCUUGGAACUACUUCCAACACACAUCAUCACCUCGCCUUUUACUAGUUUCUGUUUAUUCUGCAACUCCCGUUUCGAGUUACUACUCUUAGCAACUGAACCAGUAUCAAAUGCCGAGGGGUUGCUAUAAACACUAGUAAAGUACACAUCAAUAACAUGUAUAUCCAAUAUACCUUUGUUCACUUUGCUAUCCUUCUUAUCCACCAAAUACUUGGGGUAGUUCCGCUUCCAGUGACCAGUUCCUUUGCAGUAGAAGCACUUAGUCUCAGGCUUAGGACCAGACUUGGGCUUCUUCACUUGAGCAGCAACUUGCUUGCCGUUCUUCUUGAAGUUCCCCUUCUUCCCUUUGCCCUUUUCUUGAAACUAGUGGUCUUGUCAACCAUCAACACUUGAUGUUUUUCUUGAUUUCUACCUUCGUCGAUUUCAGCAUCACGAAGAGCUUGGGAAUUGUUUCUGUUAUCCCUUGCAUAUUAUAGUUCAUCACGAAGUUCUACUAACUUGGUGAUGGUGACUAGAGAAUUCUGUCAAUCACUAUCUUAUCUGGAAGAUUAACUCCCACUUUAUUCAAGUGAUUGUAGUACCCGGACAAUCUGAGCACAUGCUCACUGCUUGAGCUAUUCUCCUCCAUCUUUUAGCUGUAGAACUUGUUGGAGACUUCAUAUCUCUCAACUUGGGUAUUUGCUUGAAAUAUUAACUUCAACUCCUGGAACAUCUCAUAUGGUCCAUGACGUUCAAAACAUCUUUCAAGUCCCGAUUCUAAGCCGUUAAGCACGGUGCACUAAACUAUCAAGUAGUCAUCAUAUUGAGCUAGCCAAACGUUCAUAACGUCUGCAUCUGCUCCUGCAAUAGGUCUGUCACCUAGCGGUGCAUCAAGGACAUAAUUCUUCUGUGCAGCAAUGAGGAUAAACCUCAGAUCACGGAUCCAGUCCACAUCAUUGCUACUAUCAUCUUUCAACUUAGUUUUCUCUAGGAACAUAUAUAAAACAUAGGGAAGCAACAACGCGAGCUAUUAAUCCACAACAUAGAUAUGCUAAUACUACCAGGACUAAGUUCAUGAUAAAUUAAAGUUCAAUUAAUCAUAUUACUUAAGAACUCCCACUUAGAUAGACAUCCCUCUAAUCUUCUAAGUGAUCACGUGAUCCAUAUCAACUAAACCAUGUCCGAUCAUCACGUGAGAUGGAGUAGUUUCAAUGGUGAACAUCACUAUGUUGAUCAUAUCUACUAUAUGAUUCACGCUCGACCUUUCGGUCUCAGUGUUCCGAGGCCAUAUCUGUUAUAUGCUAGGCUCGUCAAGUUUAACCUGAGUAUUCCGCGUGUGCAACUGUUUUGCACCCGUUGUAUUUGAACGUAGAGCCUAUCACACCUGAUCAUCACGUGGUGUCUCAGCACGAAGAACUUUCGCAAUGGUGCAUACUCAGGGAGAACACUUAUACUUUGAUAAUUUAGUGAGGGAUCAUCUUAUAAUGCUACCGUCAAUCAAAGCAAGAUAAGAUGCAUAAAAGAUAAACAUCACAUGCAAUCAAUAUAAGUGAUAUGAUAUGGCCAUCAUCAUCUUGUGCUUGUGAUCUCCACCUCCGAAGCACCGUCAUGAUCACCAUCGUCACCGGCGCGACACCUUGAUCUUCAUCGUAGCAUCGUUGUCGUCUCGCCAAUCUUAUGCUUCUACGACUAUCGCUACCGCUUAGUGAUAAAGUAAAGCAUUACAGGGCGAUUGCAUUGCAUACAAUAAAGCGACAACCAUAUGGCUCUUGCCAGUUGCCGAUAACUCGGUUACAAAACAUGAUCAUCUCAUACAAUAAAAUUUAGCAUCAUGUCUUGACCAUAUCACAUCACAACAUGCCCUGCAAAAACAAGUUAGACGUCCUCUACUUUGUUGUUGCAAAUUUUACGUGGCUGCUACGGUCUUAGCAAGAACCGGUCUUACCUACGCAUCAAAACCACAAUGAUAGUUUGUCAAGUUGGUGCUAUUUUAACCUUCGCAAGGACCGGGCGUAGCCACACUCGGUUCAACUAAAGUUGGAGAAACUGACACCCGCCAGCCACCUGUGUGAAAAGCACGUCGGUAGAACCAGUCUCGUGUAAGCGUACGCGUAAUGUCGGUCCGGGCCGCUUCAUCCAACAAUACCGCCGAACCAAAGUAUGACAUGCUGGUAAGCAGUAUGACUUGUAUCACCCACAACUCACUUGUGUUCUAUUAGUGCAUAUGACAUCUACGCAUAAAACCUGGCUCGGAUGCCACUGUUGGGGAACGUAGUAAAAAAUUCCUACGCACACAGAGGAUCAUGGUGAUGCAUAGCAACGAGAGGGGAGAGUGUUGUCCACGUACCCUCGUAGACCGAAAGCGGAAGCGUUAGCACAAUGCGGUUGAUGUAGUCGUACGUCUUCACGAUCCGACCGAUCAGGUGCCGAACGCACGGCACCUCCGAGUUCAGCACACGUUCAGCUCGAUGACGUCCCUCGAACUCCGAUCCAGCCGAGCUUUGAGGGAGAGUUCCGUCAGCACGACGGCGUGGUGACAAUGAUGAUGUUUUACCGACGCAGGGCUUCGCCUAAGCACCGCUACGAUAUUAUCGAGGUGGAUUAUGAUGGAGGGGGCACCGCACACGACUAAGAGAUCAAGAGAUCAAUUGUUGUGUCUAUGGGGUGCCCCCUGCCCCCGUAUAUAAAGGAGCAAGGGGGGAGGUGCGGCCGGCCAGGAGGAGGCGCGCCAGGAGGAGUCCUACUCCUACCGGGAGUAGGACUCCCUCCCUUCCUUGUUGGACUAGGAGAGGAGAGGGAAGGAGAGAGNNNNNNNNNNNNNNNNNNNNNNNNNNNNNNNNNNNNNNNNNNNNNNNNNNNNNNNNNNNNNNNNNNNNNNNNNNNNNNNNNNNNNNNNNNNNNNNNNNNNNNNNNNNNNNNNNNNNNNNNNNNNNNNNNNNNNNNNNNNNNNNNNNNNNNNNNNNNNNNNNNNNNNNNNNNNNNNNNNNNNNNNNNNNNNNNNNNNNNNNNNNNNNNNNNNNNNNNNNNNNNNNNNNNNNNNNNNNNNNNNNNNNNNNNNNNNNNNNNNNNNNNNNNNNNNNNNNNNNNNNNNNNNNNNNNNNNNNNNNNNNNNNNNNNNNNNNNNNNNNNNNNNNNNNNNNNNNNNNNNNNNNNNNNNNNNNNNNNNNNNNNNNNNNNNNNNNNNNNNNNNNNNNNNNNNNNNNNNNNNNNNNNNNNNNNNNNNNNNNNNNNNNNNNNNNNNNNNNNNNNNNNNNNNNNNNNNNNNNNNNNNNNNNNNNNNNNNNNNNNNNNNNNNNNNNNNNNNNNNNNNNNNNNNCGAUAACCCCCGGAACCAUUCCGGUGUCCGAAUAUAGUCAUCCAAUAUAUCAAUCUUCAUGUCUCGACCAUUUCGAGACUCCUCGUCAUGUCCGUGAUCACAUCCGAGACUCCGAACAACCUUCGGUACAUCAAAACAUAUAAACUCAUAAUAUAACUGUCAUCGAAACGUUAAGCGUGCGGACCCUACGGGUUCGAGAACUAUGUAGACAUGACCGAGACACGUCUCCGGUUAAUAACCAAUAGCGGAACCUGGAUGCUCAUAUUAGCUCCCACAUAUUCUACGAAGAUCUUUAUCGGUCAGACCGCAUAACAACAUACGUUGUUCCCUUUGUCAUCGGUAUGUUACUUGCCUGAGAUUCGAUCGUCGGUAUCUCAAUACCUAGUUCAAUCUCGUUACCGGCAAGUCUCUUUACUCGUUCUGUAAUACAUCAUCCCACAACUAACUCAUUAGUUGCAAUGCUUGCAAGGCUUAAGUGAUGUGCAUUACCGAGAGGGCCUAGAGAUACCUCUCUGAUAAUCGGAGUGAAAAAUCCUAAUCUCGAAAUACGCCAACCCAAAAAGUACCUUUGGAGACACCUGUAGAGCACCUUUAUAAUCACCCAGUUACGUUGUGACGUUUGGUAGCACACAAAGUGUUCCUCCGGUAAACGGGAGUUGCAUAAUCUCAUAGUCAUAGGAACAUGUAUAAGUCAUGAAGAAAGCAAUAGUAACAUACUAAACGAUCGAGUGCUAAGCUAACGGAAUGGGUCAAGUCAAUCACAUCAUUCUGUUAAUGAUGUGAUCAUGUUAAUCAAAUGACAACUCAUGUCAAUGGCUAGGAAACAUAACCAUCUUUGAUCAACGAGCUAGUCAAGUAGAGGCAUACUAGUGACACUCUGUUUGUCUAUGUAUUCACACAUGUAUCAUGUUUCCGGUUAAUACAAUUCUAGCAUGAAUAAUAAACAUUUAUCAUGAUAUAAGAAAAUAAAUAAUAACUUUAUUAUUGCCUAUAGGGCAUAUUUCCUUCAUGAGGUUGUACACCAACUUGACUGAAAUAGUCCAAAAUAUUGAAAAGAGAGUUUAUGGUUAGCAUGCUCGGUGAAAGAGAUUUGGACAUAAGGCUGCAGCUUGAGGUAGCCAACUCCAAAAGUGCGGUCUGGGUGUUUGUCGUCCACUUAUCCCUACUUCCUCUAGUUUUCUCAGAACAAGUGUUGUUUUAGUAGACUGACAACUAAUUUUCAUUCUUGCAUCCAUGACGCCAGCUCACGAACUUCACAUGAUGAAGGAUCUACAAACCGGAAGUGUUUUGGAGGAUGGCCAUAUAGGUCUUCAAAAGGUGAGCUCCCCAAAGUGGAAUGGUAUGUGUUGAACUCUUUUUUUAAUGGAUGAUGAUUUUUUAAAGAAUAUACGGUAAAUUUUUUUUAUAUAUAAUAACUUUUUAAAUGGAAGGUUAACUUUCUUAAUAACCAUUGCACAUUUUAAAAUAUUUCUUAUUUUUAAUAGGUUUAGUACAUAUUAGAUCCGUAAAACAAUAUCCAAUAGGCAGGUUCUCAAAAAAAUCAAAUUAAAAACAGAAGAAAAGAACCCACACAAGUGAGCUUGCUAUAGUGGGCCACCCCAUUUGCGCCUUGCUCCAAGCGUGGUUGCCCCUAUUUGACACCAACACACGCCAACAAGGAGGUCUCAUCGAGGCUACGUCUUCACGCCGCAUAGGUCAUUAGGUCAUAGCGGUGAUUGGGUCUUCACGUCGCACAAGGCACUGGGUCGUAGCGAUGAUUGGGUCGAUGUUUCCUCUUGGCCUGGGCCGAACCUUCGGGAGUAGUAGAGAUGGAAGUAGUGGACGUGACAUCUCUUCCCCCUUGAACGAAGCUCAAAGUAAUCUUCCCAAGACGCCAACGAUGUCGAUUGCUAAGACCACUUGACGAGGAAUGUCGAAGUUGCCGCGAUAGACAAUAUGGCAUUCCAAUACUUGCUCUGGAACUGGAGGUAGUAUGUUAGGAGGUAGUUGCACUGGCAGGACUGGUUCGACCACGGAUGAAGGUGGCAGUGUUUCAUGGAGCAGAAAGGCAUGGGAGACUUGGUGGAUAGGAGUUGUCUCUGGGAGCUUAAGAUUGUACACCAACUUGACUGAAAUAGUCCAAAUAUUGAAAAGAGAGUUUAUGGUUAGUGUGCUCGGUGAUGGAAAUUUGGACACAAGGUUGUAGCUUGAGGUAGCCAACUCCAAAAGUGCGGUCUCGGCGUUUCUCGUCGCUUGUCCCUACUUGCUCUGGUUUUCUCAGAACAAGUGUUGUUUUAGUAGACUGACCACUAAUUUUUAUUCUUGCAUCCAUGACGCCAGCUCAGGAACUUCACAUGAUGAAGGAUCUACAACCCCGAAGUGUUUUGGAGGAUGCCAUAUAAGACUCCAAAAGGUGAGCUCCCCAAAGUGGAAUGGUACAAGGUAUUGUACUAGUUUAUGACUGGUUUAUAUGACACAUUUCAUCUUCCAAUGUCUUUGAGUGUUGUUCAGCAAAGUUUCGAGCUACCUGAGCUUCUAAUUAGCAUCUAUGAUACUAGUGUUACUGACAGUUGGAAAUUUGGAAUUCUACUGGUCAAGCAAUAAUACUGCACCUAGGAUAUACAUUAAACUAUUUAGAUAUGGAAAUAAGCCACCCACCACCGCCAAUCAUUGUGUUGGGCAUGUUGUUGCUUAGGCAGACAACAUGAUUUCAAGAUCCAUUGGAAAAGCUUAGGUGUUCGUCCUAUGUGUUCAGCUGAGUAAGCCAACCACCACCGCCACUAUCUUUUUCCUCAACUUCCGCAUCUUCCUCCUGAAUAAUUUGAGGGUUGCCAUCUUCCAUCACGUGUUCCUUUCUUGGUUUUGUGAAAGGAUUCCAAUCUUUGGUUCUGUAUAUGUGGACUUCCCUUCAUACAUGCAAAACUAAAGGACUGGAAGCUUUCUACAGAAAUAAAUCGCCAGUGAUAUCUUCCGGCGUGGGAUUGAUUUUUUUCCUUCCGUUAUUUGAUGUGUAGCACACAUGAAGAAUGGAGAUCGCCAGGGCCCAGGGAUCGGUUGUCCCAUUUUUCCGGUUACCAAUGCAUGCAAACUGGCUAUCCAAGAGUAAAACCGGGAACCAAACGGGUGGAGAGUGUUAGAAAAAUUAGGGUUUGGAGCUAAACGGCCUAACCUCUAUUCCUAUGCCUUAUCGGUGGUGCCGCUCACAAUGCAUAUUGAGGCUAGAGGGUGGGACCUUAUAUAGACUCCAAGUUCCAGUGGCAUGGCUAAGGUCAGGUCAUUAUUCUUUCUUUUUCCUCUUGAGCUCAAACAUAAUUCCUCACAUAGUAUAAUUCCCUUUAUCAAAGGUUUUAGAUAGGUUUGCAGUUUUCCAUUGAAAAACAUUUCAAAACAUUCUUUGUGAGUUCCACUCCCAAAAAUAUAGGAAGCAUCACACAUACCUUUCAUUAGAAAGUUUGAGGAUAACCAAGUUUUCACUUCCAUCAAUGUGAUAUUUAUAAACAACAAAAGCAUAUUUAGCGCAUAUAGUAGUAACACAAAAUAGUUCACACUAACCUUUGUAUAUGAUCAUCUUCCAUCAUUAAGAAAACCAUAUGACCUGAUAUACCAUUGAUGUGAAGCUUGUAACAAGAUCAUGAAUUAAUCUAUUCAGUUAGCAAACCUUGUCCUUGUUCCCACUUUCUCUAAAUUCCAGAGAAGCAACAAUUCCCAAAGGAGAAAGAGUUUCCACAAAGUAUAAUCAUUUCCUUUGUACAAAGGAUUUAAUGACUAGAAUUGUAAUUUCCAUUGAACAUGUUGCUUUAAACUUUCAGUAAACAAAUACAUUUACUACCGAUAGGCUUGCGGUUGUUUGGAAAAAUAACAAGUUCCCAAACUUUUGUUCUUCCUCAUUGAGUUUAUUCCUUCUGGCAAUGCUGCUACCCAUAGCUUGCGCUGAUGGAAAAUUUAAGCCUUUUUUAAGAGACCUCAGUUAUUCCUCUAAAAAUUCAGAGUCACUUCCCCAAAGAAUACAUGAUAAUUAUUCAGACUCGAUAUUCCAAGUUAUUUCCUCCCGCUUAUCCUAAGCAUGUAAGUGUCAAGAGUUUCACUUGUAGUUUCCUUAGGGGUCAAGCUUAUAUUUAGUAUGAUUGCAAAUAAUUCCACCAUUAUCCAUAAAAAUAUCGGCUCCCAGUUUCCACCAGUUUUCCUUUUCCAGAGUUUUCCUUUUCCGGAUAAAAACAUACAUGUGACCCAGUAGAAUAACGAUUAACAAAUUCCCGGUGUGUGCUUUAUAGUAAUUGAUAAUUUCAUUCCAAAAUAAAAAUACUCCAUUCCAGUCUACAAACCAUAAGGAGUGACUAUGCUAGAUAAAAGAAAAUAUAAACACAAUAUGUAAUGCUUCUUCCAAAAAAAGGAAUAUCAAUGAUAUUCAGUUCCUCCACUCAAUUGUGAAGUAUACGGUAUAGCACAAUGGUGAAUGUAGUUCCAUGCUCUUUACAUAUUAAAUUGAUAUAUUCCUGAGGUUUAUUUCACCCACCAAUCAGUUGUUAGACUAUGAUAUUCUUUAAUCAACUGAUUUUCCACUUCAGUACAACAUGUGAACAACACAAUAAAACCUUCCGACUUGUAUAAUGAAAGGUAAACAUACAAACAUAUAAAGUCCAAUCAUCGAUGAGUGAAAUGAAAUAAACAAUCUGACCUCUAGUGGGAGUGUCAAAAAAUUACCAUAAGUAUACCAGAAAAUAAAUGAUGUGAACCUUUAUCUCCUUCCACCUUAAGACAAGGUGUUUAUCUCCUUCCACCUUAAGAAAAGGCGUGCAAGUCAAAUAUCCAUUAUAUCUGUGCAUCAGAAAACCAAAUUCCUCCCACUAAGGUUUUGAAUUCCAGAAUUAGUGAGCCACUUGAUUCGGUUCCAUGAUAUGUGACCAAGUCGUCCAUGACAAAGAAUAAUAAAUUCCAAGCAUGUGUUCCCAUUAUCAGCAUUCCUCUCUAUGGAGUUAUCUUCCCGAAAUAACAACUUAGGUUGCUAACUUCCAAAGGACCAAAGAGAAUAGACCAUUGUGUGAAAUUCCGCACUGCACUAAUUUUGUCAUUGAUCCAUGCUUUUUACUCUUCCAUAUAGAGUGUCCUAUAACAAUAAUAUUUUUUCCUCCACGAGGGAGUGUCAUGGCAAAAUUUCCAAUUCCAAAGUGCAUAAGAUUUAGAAGCAAUGACAAAACACACAAUAUAUAUAAUUUCCUUUGGUACUGUUAGCAUGUGAAAAUUGCUAUUGUAUUCCAUCAAUACAAUACAUAGAAUCUUAAAUCCAAAAUCCAACUUUAUGUGAGAGAAAAUUUCCUUAAUUUUCCACGAAGUGGUUCCCAUCUUCCUCCAUAUAUAUGUGAUUGUCAUAAUGACCACCUUUUAUUUUUAAUUCCUUCUCAUGCAAGGUUAGUAUAAUAGCGUAUUCGUCAAUAGUAAUUUUCCUCCAGAAUGGAGUUUGACGGCAUAAUUUCCAAUUCCAAGUUUAUUAACUUUAGCAUUUCCUUGGAAUUGUUUCUAUGGAAGUAAAUGAUAUAUAACUAAAAUGUGCAACACAACUAUUCUGAAAAAAUAGUGGUAAAUCAAAAUGUGCAUGCAUACAAUUAUAGACAUACCAUCCACUUUGCCAAUUGCAUUGACAAAUUAUUAUAUCUUCCUCUUCGAGGUGUAACCAACAAUAUUUGGUCAGAUCCUUCCCUCAUAGAGCUUCUAUCUUCCUCCAUAGAGCAAAUAAUAUCCCAUAUCGCAAUGAAGUUAAAUUGAAAAUUCAAUUAUUUCAAUAAAUUCCGCAUAGAGUUAACCAAUAUAUAUCCAGCAAUAUGUAUUACCGACAGAUGUCGCAAAAAAUAUAUAUUCCAGAUUGCACUAGUUUCCCAUGCAAUUUGUGCAGUAUGAUUUUCAACAGCCAAAGAAUAAUAAAAUGAACAUGAUAUAAAUAUGCAAGCUAUUUGCUAUCCAUAUCCAAACCAGCAUAUACCAUAUAUUUUAAUGUGGCCUUUCCGGUUUGUUUUCUCCACCGCAAUAAAAAAGAUGAUUUGUCUUUUCCAAACCGUAAAAUCUCCGUGAAGACUAACCACUGACCCAAUUCAUCAAUUCGCCUGAACAUCCAAGUGGUACUGUACAAACAACAGCAACAAUUACGCUUCCGACUUGUUCCGCAGUGGCGAGAGAUUUCCUGCACUCUCCUUCCUCAAUUUGAGUGGUGGAUCACGUGCGCGUAACAAAUUCAGGACAUCAAGAAAAUUCCUCCGGUCCUUCCAAGAUCCAAGUGCUUGAUUUUGGCAACAAAAUUACUUAGCCAGCGAAAAGUAAUCUACUACUCUUCCUCCGUGAUCAACAAGAAUUAGUAUACUACUAGAACACCUCAGAUAGAGACACUGAGACAACCGAUCCAGAAUAAGGACUAGUGCUACUACUAGUCUUCCGAUGCAUGUUCUUCAAAAAAUUGAAUUAAUAACUAGCAGAACCAGUUUUCAGAUCCGGUGAAGCCUUGGGCAACUUGAUGCGUGCUCGCAUGGGGCUCAACACAUCGCAACAUGGGGCUUCGGCAGAUGCAGCGGGAGGGGCGAGCUCGUCUGUCGGAGUGAGGAUUCCUGGAAGCUGCGGCAGGGGCGGCGAGCGAGGCCGUGGAAGAACAUGGUGCAGCGGGAGGACGUCGGUUUCCACGAGAUCGCCAGGACAUGGUAGUAGGCGCCGGUUCUCCACGAGGACGGCCAGAUCGAUGAGUGAGAGGGCGAGCUAGUCCGGCGGCGAAGGUGCAGAUCAAAUCGAUCUGGAGCGACUUGUGUGCGGGGCCAUAUGAAUCAAUCUGUAACGAUUUAUAUCACGAAGCACACAACAGAUCGAUCUUAAUUCCCAAGGUGAACAGGUGUGGGUCGGCAGAGUACGCAGCGGAAUUGAUCAUGGAUCGAUCGAGUUGACAACGAUGAUGUUAACCCUAACCGGCUCGGAUGCCAAUGUUAGAAAAAGGUAAUGAUAACUCCCGAACGUUUGGGAUUUAAGCAUGGCAACCCGAACAUUUUAGGUGGCAAGUUUAGUUUGCAUGACAGUAGGAAAACAUGGCAAUUUUCUGACAAAAUAACGAAAAGAAGAAAGUUGCCAUCCCCUAUCAACUAAAGUUGCCACCCCCUACGAACUAAAGUUGCCAUGUAAAAACGUUCGGAACGAAAUGCUCAAAAUCCGAAAGUUCGGGAGUUAUUGGAUUCCGAAAAUUAGGGUUUGGAGCUAAACGGCCUACCCUCUAUUCCUCCGCCUUAUCAGUGGUGCCGCUCACAAUGCAUAUUGAGGCUAGAGGGUGGGACCUCAUAUAGACUCCAAGUUCCAGAUAUUUCGAUUUGUUUCCAGUUAGGACUCGUGACUUGUCAAACCAACCACAAUAAUUAACAGCCAGUUACCAAGUCCAAAAACUGUUAAUCAAUUAGGUCCCAUACAUGCAUGUGUGAGUCAUGCGCCGACUUUGAAUUCAAAAUCAAACUCACAGGCUUUAACAAUCCAUAGAGCCAAUCCUACGGACAACCUGGCAUUCCGCUCUAUACUGUUCCCGGGUAUAAUUCCUGUGUAUUCAUAUACACUGUGUUCCAGUAUAGCCGUACCGGCUUCCUUAAGUAUAUUUUCUUAAGUAUAAUUCCACAUCAACUAUUCCCUGUUAUUUCCAUGAAUACUUCCACACUGAGGUUUUUUAUUCCGGGAGUAUAACAAUGUAGUGGACAUAUAAAAUAUUACAAGCCACAAAUUCCUACAGAGAGAAAAUAAACCUUAUAAUUUGGAAUACCACUCUAAACCUUAUGCACCUAAUAUUAUGGAACAGGGGUCGGGGUACAACAGUUCAUUAUCACGUAGUUCAAAAGUACAUCAUUAUACAAAUGUAAUUAGAAGUUUAUUUGGUCCAGAAAACUACACUUUUUAACUUCUGUUUGGAUUUUGAACUUCAAGUAAACCAAAGAAAAUCCUAAAAUAAAAUAAAAGACAACAAAUUAUUUCUCACUGCAUAGAACUGCUAGUGUGUUUGUAUCCUACCUAUAGUACACAGAUGUGAGAAAACAUGAUUUUUUUAGUCCAAAUUGUUAAUAAUUUUUUUGUUUUUUCUGUACAACUAGUGGUAAUUAGAUACAUUGAACAUGUCGUGGUUUUGUCACGGCAGAUGUCCUAAAGAAAGGACUUAGUCGUGGAGCCAUCGCUACGGGUUAGCUUAAAGGGGUUAAAGCGGACAAGGGACGCAAGAGAGUUUUAUACUAGUUCGGCCCCUUACGAUGAAGGUAAAAACCUACGUCUAGUUGUGAUGGAAUUGAUGGGGUUUCGAUGACCAGGGAGCGAAUACGCUUUGCCUGAGUCUCGAGGUGUUGUUUUUUGUCCUUUGAACCGCCGCCGGGUCGUCCCCUUAUAUACAUGGGUUGACGCCCGUCGGUUUACAGACUCCGAGGCCGGCUCAUAAUCGUGUCCGGCUCGGUCUCUGCUACUUCUAUCUUACAACACAAGUUUACAUCUCAAUGCCGGUUUGUGUCUACAGGCCUUAAACCGGCUUUGGGCCCUGGGCCUUCAUGAAGCGUCACCGUCUGUCUUCAUGGGCUUCAGAUACAGAUGAACUACUUAUGAAGUUAACCCGGCCUCUCCUGGUCGGUUUACGCCCAGUGGUAAUAUCCCCAACAUUAGGCCCCAGAUUGAUUUGAACUGGUUCAUGUCAAUCCUCAAUACUUAAUAAAAUUUCUUCUUCAACAUCUUCACACAAUCUUGUAAACCGCCAUGACAUCAUUUUCUAGGAUCAUGGUAAACCGCCGUGACGUCACCUGUCAUUAACGAGCCUCCAACAAUCGAUGCGACAGCAUCACCUCAUAUCCAAAAAUCCGUCUCCUUGAUUUUCGCAUCUGUCGUUUAUCUCCCUUAUAAAUAGGGCCAGGGGGUCUUUCCAUUUUCCCCCUCGUGCCUCUUCGCUUCAUCGUCAUCCUCGCGACGCCCGACCCUUCGACCUCGGCCGCCGCCGUCAACCUUCGACUGCUGCACCAACCUUGGCCGCUGCAUCGACCUGAACAUACCAGAGCUCCUCCGCGCGCCGCCGCUGCUCAACAGCAUCCGUAAGUCUCCCCUUUCUCUUACCAUAGAUCUGCACUUAGGGUUUCUGUCGUUCAUCAGUGUUCGUCGCCGCCCUUCUUUUUCCUUAUUUAUAUCCAUGGAUUAGAUCCAAAAACCACAUAGAUCUCGCGCGGUAGUAGUUUCAGCACCUGUUUGAUAUCCAACUCAUCUUAACUUGGUGAACUUUUAGUACGCUGGAAUUUAGGUCAGAAUAUAUUUUGUUUUCCUACGCGCGGUAGAUCUGAAAUUACCAUAGCAAGAUGUGAAACUUGUUUCUUCCUUCACUUACACACUUUGAAUACCAGAUUGGCCGGUUUAACUUCACAGAAAAAACGAUGACCCGGUAGAUACCAUUUGUCCCCUGUUGAACCGUCAAUGCAUUAUACUGUUCCAUUGUCAGACUCCGGUUUUACGAAUAACCAAAUCCGGUUUACCAAUAUGCUUGUAUCCUCAUACCGCUGUAUAGUUGUCCACUGUAAAUCUUAAACCGGUAAUAAUCAUUUUUCAGAUUUUCCUUGUCAUGGCUAAACAAGUCUAUGAGUGCAAUUGGGCUCCCUCUCGAGUAACCGAGGAGCAGUUAAACAACCUUGUUAAAACGGGCACUUUAGCCAAGAAAGAUGUCAUCCACUGGAGGGUCCCUGGCCCGGAAAAUCCUCCUACACCCAAGGAUGGAGAGGUAGUCGUGUUUGCUGAUCAUCUCGGUCAAGGUUUUAGCCCUCCUGGUUCAAAAAAAUUCCGAGAUGUGCUAGCCAAUUUUCAGCUGCGCCCUCAAGACAUCGGUCCCAACUCUGUUACCAACAUCUGCCACUUCCAAGUAUUCUGUGAAGUUUAUCUGCAAGAGGAACCUACAGUUGAACUGUUUAGGGAUUUCUUUCACUUAAACCAUCGCACUGAGUUCUCAGAUGGACCCAAUACGGAACUGGGCGGAAUGGCAGUGCAGAAGAGGAAAGAAGUCACCUUCCCCCAUCCCAAACUCCACAGUCACCCCAAAGAGUGGAACCAAACUUGGUUUUACUGCAUGGAUACCUCUCCAUCUGACGAAAACCCCCUGCCGGGUUACCGCCCUGAACGCCUGAGCAACACACACCCGUUUCCUCAGAGGUUGACAGCAAGAGAACGGGCCAACUAUGCUCCCCAACUGUCAAAGCUUAGAGCCUUCAUGGCGAACGGUUUGACAGGAGUUGAUCUUGCUCGUUGCUGGAUAAGCUGGAGCAUUCUGCCCUUAAGCCGGCGCCCCGGUUUGAUGUGUGAGUACACGGGGAGUUUGAAGGAUGCUCAACGGCACAUUAACAUUCAGCUUACAGACGAAGAAGUCACUGAGACUGUAAAGAAAAUACUGAACGAACCGGAGGCCGUCUGUGCCCAAACCGGACUACUCCCUUUCUGCACCUUCAACAAACCACCAGCUGUAAGAAUCAUAUAAUCCUUUGUAUCUGAAUUUGCUUCUGUCCAAAUAUUCUCUGAAAGUGUGAUUAUUUUCUGACAGGGUGAUGAUCCGUUCUGGAACAAGAAAUCAUCACAAGACAAACCGGCGAAGCCGCAAGACAAACCGGUCAAGCCAGUUCGUCCAAAGACCAAGGUUGUUAAGAAACCUGCCAAAAGAAGGACCACCGCAUCCUCCGAUCUACCCGCUGAUGACGAUGUGCGUAAUCCAGAACCAGAGGUAGAACUUGACUCUUUUGGUUCAUUUUUCGUACAUCUCAUUGACAAUGAUUAUUAUCAGGAUGACGCUGGAGGUAGUCACGUUGAGGACAUAGAGGUAACCAUUCUUUCCUCCGAUUCAGAUCCUCUGCCAACACCAAAAAUCCGUCAAGCAAACCGGAAAGUAAAAUUUUCUCACCCUCUUGCUUACUUGGACCCAAACUUUCUUUUGAAGACGCAGCAGCACGAAGCUCGCCGUACAACCCGGCACAGCGGCCAGAUAGUUACCUCCGCCGGUUUACCGAACAGUCUGGUUCGGAAACGCCGAUAAGAGGUAUCUUGUCCCAUUGAUACUUCAUGCCCAAAAGCAGGUUGUUUUCGCCAGCCUCUUAACCCGUCUGAUUCAAAUUAUCAGGGUACUUCUCACUCAUCCUCUGGCGAGUCAUCGGCCACACAGCUUCCACCCCUCAAAACAGUUCCUGGGUGAGCUAUGCACAUGUCUUUACUCUUGAUGUGUUUUACAUACUGUACUGAUCCUUAUGUCUAUCUUUUCUCAGCGCCAAGCCAAGACCCAGCAAGAAAGCUCGGUUAAACAAACCGGCUGAUGAUAAUGUAGCUGCUGAACCGGAAACAACUCCAGAGGCAGAAGAAACCGAUGUUGACGCCAUGCUUCACGAUCCGCCGCCUCAAGACCAUGACUUCCUUGCUGAACAAGUGCAAGUUGACACUACCAGCCAUGCAGACCGGCCAACCAGCCCUGUCCGAACUGAUGACAAACCGGCCAGUCCAGUUAAGGACACUGAUAAACCGCCAACUCCGGUGAAGGCUGCUGAUGAAGAAGAUGAUGAUAUUAUGAUUACUAGCACUGGCCACACCACUCCUGGCAAUCCUGUAGCUUUGUCAAAGCAUACUACCAAGGAUGAUCUCUCUGCUAUUGGCAAAGGCAAAUGGAAUGCCGAUUUAUCAAGCUACGCCCAUCUCAAUGCUCAAGACAUUCACUCUGGCUUCUUGAACCGUCUGUAUACCAGCCGUGAUUAUGAAGCUAGUUUGGUAAACUUGAUGAAGGAGCGAUUGAGGUAAGUACCAUUUUUCUCUUUUGUCCAAUUGUAGUUUAUCAAUUCCUAGUAGCCCCCAAGUGACGGUUUAUGAUACCGAUCUAAACCGGGACUUUUGUCAUAACUUAUCUUUGCAUAUUUAGCCUCCAGGGACCGGAUUACCUCGUUAAGAUGAACCGGUUUCUUUAAAAUUUUCCAUACUGCUCUUUCACCGGUAUAGCCCCUAAGGGCCGGUUUAACUUUAUAAAGAUGAACCGGGACUGUAGAAGAACUUCCAUACCAACAGCUUUUUGAGCAAAUACACAUUAGCCCUCAAGUGCCAAGAUUAAUACUUGUAUUGUGCUUGGGACUUGUAGAAAUUUCUGAUCAAGAGCAAACAUGCAUUAGCCCCCAAGUAUCAAGGGCAUAACUUGUUAUGGGCUUGGUACUUCAAAUAUGUAAUGUCAACUCAUGAUACAUCUGUCCCUUUACAGGCGGAGCUGAGCAAGAAGGAACGCCAAACCGCUGAUCUGCAAGAGAACAUCAAAACCCAGCAAGCUGAAGCCUCCAAAGCGAAGGAAGAGUUGACCCGCGCUCUAGGCGCUAUGGAGAAACUGAAAGAGGGCUUCAAGAAAGAGCGGGCGGAUUGGGAGACUGAAAAAGCCGCUUUGAUAAAAAGGGCUAAAAACGCAGAAGCCGCUUUUAAACCGGUGGUUGAUGAGCUGACUGGUGUAAAGCGGCAAGUGCAUGCUAUGACCGCUGAUGUGUUUGGUAAGCAUCCUUCCUUUAUGCCUUCAACAUAUCCUCCCAUGCGUUGCCGGUUUACUGAUGUUUCUAAUGAUACAGGAACUCGCAUUAGCCAUCUGGGCUCUGAUGUGCAGAAGAAGUUGAAAUCUGCCUACACGCUGAUAGAGCAACUGUAUACCGGCGCACAACGGAUUAUCUGCACCGCUUCUCACAAUAAGCCACCCCCGACGUUGAUCAAGGAUACCUUAGACAUGCUAUCUAUGCUGCCUGCCCGGAUAGAAGAGCUGAAGUGGUCUGCUACAAGGGCUGGCGCUCUGACCGCACUAACCCGGGCAAAAGCAUGGGUGCCUGAUCUUGAUCCGACGGACGUGGCUAAAGGCUACCCAAGCUUAAAAGAAGACGUAUCAGAGUUUGGCACUGAAGAUCUCCGCGCCAUAAACCGGGAAGUACUGGCUUGUCAACUUGCUGAAGAGGCUGAUCUUUCAUUUUACCAAGCGAGCUAUGAUACCAAUAACAAGCGGGUUGCUGCACCAACUCCUGGGGCUCAAAACCUGAUCCCUCCAAUCCAUAAGCACACUUAUGCCCUUGACAUUGAACCGUCCACCCUUAUAAGCGAUGAAGCUGUUUUCCAAGCUUUAACCGGGAUCGACUGGACAACUGUUGACUUCUAGCCGCUGGGUAGAGACGAAGAAGAUGAACCGGUGCAAGAUGAUCUGCAGCCGUCAGGUCAAGCUGCUCAGCGAUCAUAACCCGGGGCCCGGUUUAAUCUUCCAUACUGCAAUGUUUAUUGAGAAACAAUUAUUCCUUUGGGCACUGAAACGCCUUGUCAUGCCUUCGUGCAUAUUUAUCUGCAACUGAUGCGUGUUAAUCCGCCAUGCUUGAGAUAUGAUGUUCAUAAUCCAUAGCUAUUUAUUCCAGUUGUUCCUGCAGAUAAAAAGCUUAAAGCGCCCUGGCGGUUUACCACUGGGCGGGUCAUGAUACCCAACUAUAUAUAUGACCAAGGUUGUAAAGAUAACCAAAUAUGGAAAUAUAUGAUACCUGCGACCUUUAGGCAUAGUGUUGGCUGACCUACCUUGUAAUGAGGGUAAUAACCUUAAUCCGGAGUAAAAGUAUCUCCUGUUAUAUAAUGCCGGUUUACAACAAAACCGUUUCGGGUUGUGAUAAACACCGGUUUAUUCCAUACUGGUGACUAUGAGUCAAAACCAGACCGGGUUGAUAGUCUCCGGAUUAUAACUUGGUCAUGUACUGACAACUUGUAGUUGACAGCCUAACCGGGUUGAUAAACACUGAUUUGAAAACAUCACAAAUCUUAGCAAAAGAAAAGAAACUUAGCAAAAGGCAAAUAAAACCGUUGUAGUCGAGGCUUUUCACGGGCUGCCAGACCCCAAAUUUGAUCAAGAGGUGUUGCUAUGGUUCGGGUUCGACCAAGCCCCCAAGUGAUGCUGUGGCAUUACGCCGAUCAAGAGGUGUUGCUAUGGUUCGGGUUCGACCAAGCCCCCAAGUGAUGCUGUGGCAUUACGCCGAUCAAGAGGCGUAGCUAUGGUUCGGGUUCGACCAAGCCCCCAAGUGAUGCUGUGGCAUUACGUCGAUCAAGAGGCGUUGCUAUGGUUCGGGUUCGACCAAGCCCCCAAGUGAUGCUGUGGCAUUACGCCGAUCAAGAGGCGUGCCUAUGGUUCGGAUACGACCAAGCCCCCAAGUGAUGUUGUGGCAUUACGCCGAUCAAGAGGCGUGGCUAUGGUUCAGAUACGACCAAGCCCCCAAGUGAUCUAAUAUAAAGNNNNNNNNNNNNNNNNNNNNNNNNNNNNNNNNNNNNNNNNNNNNNNNNNNNNNNNNNNNNNNNNNNNNNNNNNNNNNNNNNNNNNNNNNNNNNNNNNNNNNNNNNNNNNNNNNNNNNNNNNNNNNNNNNNNNNNNNNNNNNNNNNNNNNNNNNNNNNNNNNNNNNNNNNNNNNNNNNNNNNNNNGUGGCAUUACGCCGAUCAAGAGGCGUAGCUAUGGUUCGGGUUCGACCAAGCCCCCAAGUGAUGCUGUGGCAUUGCGUCGAUCAAGAGGCGUAGCUAUGGUUCAGGUACGACCAAGCCCCCAAGUGAUGCUGUGGCAUUGCGCCGAUCAAGAUGCGUAGCUAUGGUUCGGAUACGACCAAGCCCCCAAGUGAUGCUGUGGCAUUGCGCCGAUCAAGAGGCGUAGCUAUGGUUCGGAUACGACCAAGCCCCCAAGUGAUCUAAUAUCAAGCUUUAAGAAGCUAAAUCAAGGGGUAAACCGGACGCCGCUUUGUAAGCUCCAUGUAACCACACGUGAUGUAAGAAAACAACAGAUACCCCGCUUUAGCUGAGGUUCCGGUUUAUUAUAUUGAUCAUAAUAUAUACAAUGUCAUAAUAUGUACAUAAGCAGAGCCUGUAGCUCAAGUAUAGUAGGGCCGAAGAUGAGCAAUAUUCCACGGCCAGUUGGUCUCCUCCUCCGAUUUUACGUGAGUCUUUGCGCUCUCGAACAUCGAUUAGGUAGUACGACCCAUUGUGCAGAUCCUUACUGACCACAAAAGGUCCUUCCCAAGGGGGGGAUAGCUUGUGCAUAUCCGUCUGAUCCUGGAUGAGUCGAAGCACCAAAUCUCCUUCUUGAAAGGUUCUGGUUCUAACCCGGCGGCUAUGAUAACGACGCAGAUCUUGCUGAUAAAUCGCCGAACGGGCUGCCGCCAUGUCACGCUCCUCAUCUAACAAGUCAAGAGCUUCCUGUCGUGCCUUCUCGUUAUCCGCUUCAACAUAUGCCGCUACACGAGGCGAGUCAUGACGGAUGUCACUAGGAAGAACCGCUUCCGCUCCAUAAACCAUGAAGAACGGCGUGUAGCCUGUCGAUCUGUUGGGUGUGGUAUUGAUGCUCCAUAACACUGAAGGUAACUCCUCAACCCAACAACCCGGCGUCUGUUGCAAAGGAACCAUAAGCCGGGGUUUGAUGCCUCUCAAGAUCUCUUGAUUGGCCCUCUCCGCUUGACCAUUGGACUGGGGGUGAGCCACUGAUGACACGUCAAGCCGGAUGUGCUCACAUUGACAAAACUCCUUCAUGGCACCCUUUGACAGAUUGGUACCAUUGUCUGUUAUAAUGCUGUGUGGAAAGCCAAACCAGAAGAUCACCUUUUUGAUUAAUUGAACUGCCGUGGCUGCGUCACACUUACUAACUGGCUCUGCCUCCACCCACUUCGUGAACUUAUCAACCGCCACCAAAAGGUGGGUCUUCUUGUCCUUGGACCUCUUGAAAGGCCCAACCAUAUCCAGCCCCCAAGUUGCAAACGGCCAGGUGAUUGGAAUCAUCCUUAAUUCUUGAGCUGGUACAUGAGCACGCUGUGAGAAUUUCUGACAACCAUCACAUCUUUUAACCAAGUCCUCGGCAUCAGCAUGAGCUGUCAACCAAUAGAAACCGUGACAAAACGCCUUGGCCACCAAAGAUUUUGAACCGGCGUGGUGUCCAAAAUCUCCUUCGUGGAUCUCACGCAAAAUUUCAUGGCCUUCCUCAGGAGAUACACAACGUUGAAACGCCCCUGUCACACUGCAAUGAUGUAACUCUCCAUUGAUAAUAGUCAUGGACUUGGACCGCCGGUUUAUCUGUCUGGCCAAAGUUUCAUCCUCUGGUAACUCGCCCCGGUUUAUAUACGCCAGAUACGGAACCGUCCAAUCCGGGAUAACAUGUAGAGCUGCCACCAACUGAGCCUCCGGAUCAGGAAUAGCCAAAUCCUCUUCACCAGGGAGCUUGACGGACGGAUUAUGCAAAACAUCCAGGAAGACAUUAGGUGGAACCGGUUUACGUUGGGAACCCAGGCGGCUUAAAGCGUCUGUCGCUUCAUUCUUCCGCCGGUCCACAUGAUCCACCUGAUAACCUUUGAAGUGACCUGCAACAAUAUCCACCUCACGACGAUAUGCUGCCAUUAGUGGGUCCUUGGAAUCCCAAGUGCCGGACACUUGUUGAGCCACCAGAUCCGAGUCACUGAAGCACUUAACUCGGCUGAGAUUCAUCUCCUUAGCCAUCCGAAGACCAUGGAGUAAUGCCUCAUAUUCAGCUGCAUUAUUAGUGCAAGGGAACAUUAAACGGAGAACAUAACAAAACUUAUCACCUCGUGGGGAAGUUAACAUGGCUCCAGCCCCCGAGCCCUCCAAUAUCCUGGACCCAUCAAAAUGAAUAGUCCAAUAAGUGUGAUCCGGCUUCUCUUCUGGCGCUUGUAAUUCUGUCCAAUCAUUGAUGAAAUCCACAAGUGCCUGAGAUUUGAUCGCCGUUCGGGGUAUGUAUUUCAACCCGUGAGGCCCGAGCUCGAUAGCCCACUUAGCAAUCCGACCAGUUGCCUCCCUAUUCUGGAUUAUAUCCCCCAAAGGAGCAGAGCUGACCACCGUGAUGGGAUGACCUUGGAAAUACUGCUUAAGCUUCCGGCUUGCCAUGAAAACCCCAUACACCAAUUUUUGCCAAUGCGGGUACCUCUGCUUGGAUUCAAUGAGUACCUCACUAAUAUAGUAAACCGGCCGCUGAACCGAAUAUUCCUUUCCUGCCUCCUUGCGCUCCACCACAAUAGCCACACUAACAGCCCGAGCGUUAGCUGCCACAUAUAGCAACAAUGGCUCUUUGUCAACCGGAGCAGCGAGAACUGGCGGAUUAGCUAGCUGCCGCUUUAAGUCCUCAAAUGCUUCAUUAGCAGCGUCACUCCAGACGAAGUUAUCCGUUUUCUUCAGCAUCUGAUACAAAGGGAUGGCCUUCUCGCCGAGGCGACUGACAAAACGGCUCAACGCGGCAAUCCGGCCUGCCAGGCGUUGAACAUCAUUGAUACAUUUUGGUUUAGCCAAGGAGGUGAUGGCUUUGAUCUUUUCCGGAUUAGCUUCAAUGCCCCUGUUAGACACCAAAAAGCCCAGGAGCUUCCCUGCAGGUACACCAAAGACACAUUUGGCUGGAUUAAGCAUCAUUUUAUAAAACCGCAGGUUAUCAAAGGUUUCCUUCAUGUCAUCAAUCAAUAUCUCCUUCUUCCUUGAUUUUACCACAAUAUCAUCCACAUAGGCAUGAACAUUGCGGCCGAUCUGUUUAUGAAGACAAUUCUGCACACACCGUUGAUAAGUUGCCUGUGCACUCUUGAGCCCAAAGGGCAUGGACACAUAGCAGAAGGCUCCAAAGGGAGUUAUGAAGGCUGUCUUCUCCUGGUCCUUAACUGCCAUUUUGAUCUGAUGAUAACCAGAAUAUGCAUUCAAAAAACUUAAACGCUCACAACCCGCCAUAGCAUCAAUAAUUUGAUCAAUACGGGGGAGGGCAAAAGGAUCUGCUGGACAAGCUUUGUUGAGAUCUGUGUAGUCCACACACAUACGCGAAGUGCCAUUCUUCUUGAGGACCAGCACCGGAUUAGCCAACCACUCAGGAUGGAAUACUUCAACGAUAAAUCCAGCCGCCAAGAGCCUGGCUACUUCUUCUCCAAUAGCUUUGCGUCUUUCUUCAUUGAACCGGUGGAGAAACUACUUGACCGGUUUAUACUUAGGAUCAACAUUGAGAGUGUGCUCAGCGAGUUCUCUCGGUACACCAGGCAUGUCAGAAGGUUGCCAUGCAAAGAUGUCCCGAUUCUCACGGAUGAACUCGAUGAGCGCGCUUUCCUAUUUCGGAUCCAAGUUAGCGCUGAUGCUAAACUGCUUGGACGAAUCGCCAGCCACGAAGUCAACAAGUUUAGUCUCAUCAGCCGAUUUAAACUUCAGGGCCGGAUCAUGCUCCGUAGUUGGUUUCUUCAAUGAAGUCAUAUCUGCCGGAUCAACAUUGUCCUUGUAAAACUUCAACUCCUCUGUUGCACAAACCGACUCAGCAUAAGCCGCAUCACCUUCCUCACACUCCAGAGCAAUCUUGCGGCUUCCAUGCACGGUUAUAGUUCCCUUGUGACCCGGCAUCUUGAGCUGUAGAUAGACAUAACAAGGCCGUGCCAUAAACUUAGCAUAAGCUGGCCGUCCAAAUAGGGCAUGAUACGGGCUUCUGAUUUUCACCACUUCAAAGGUCAAGGUUUCUGAUCUCGAGUCAUGCUCAUCUCCAAAAGCCACCUCCAGAGCUAUCUUACCAACAGGAUAUGCCGACUUACCAGGCACCACACCAUGGAACACCGUAUUGGACGGUUUAAGAUUUUUAUCUAUUAGCCCCAUGCGACGGAAAGUUUGAUAAUAAAGGAUAUUGAUACUACUCCCUCCAUCCAUGAGUACCUUAGUGAACUUAUAACCUCCCACCUGAGGUGCCACCACUAGAGCCAGAUGACCCGGAUUGUCAACCCGGGGUGGAUGAUCUUCUCUACUCCACACAAUGGGCUGCUCGGACCAGCGCAAAUAAAGGGGCACCGCCGGUUCAACGGCAUUCACCACCCUUUUAUGAAGCUUCUGAUCGCGCUUGUCCAACCUAGUGGUGAAGACAUGAUACUGUCCGCUAUUCAACUGCUUUGGGUUGCUCUGGUAACCCGACUGCUGCUGCUGCUGCUCAUUGCCCUGAUGAUUAUAGCCACCUUGGUUACCUUGAUUACUUUGAUUGUUAUGUCCACCCUGAUUGUCAUGGAAUCCUGAACCGGAAUUUCCUCCGCCAUAACCUGGCCCAUGAGAGACAGAGCACGAACCGCCUCCUGAUCCAUGAUCAUACCGGAAAGAAUCAGAAUUUUUGAACUCUUGCAUGAUGUAACAAUCUUUCCAGAGGUGUGUAGACGGUUCCUCCUUCGUCCCAUGCUUUGGACAGGGCUGGUUCAACAGAUACGACAAACGGUCCGGAUUAGGAUUCGGCAUUCCACUGUGCCGGGGCGGUUUACCCUUACGCCGCUGGCCCUUGUCGUGUGUAUUAGUGUUAGCCACAAAGUCUAAACCGUGGUCCGCUUUACGCUUGCCGCCGUUUCUAUGACCCGCCGGGUUGUGGUGCUGCCCCUUGGCAUUGCCGCUCUUCUUUCCCUUCCUUGUCUUAUCAUCGUCAGACUCGGGAUCAUUGGCACUAUCAGAGUCGGCAUAGUUCACCAGUGCAGCCAUGAGGGUUCCCAUGUCAUUACAAUGACGUUUGAGCCGUCCCAACUUCAACUUCAAGGGUUCAAACCGGCAAUUGCCUUCCAAUGUUAAUACUGCGGUGUCAGCGUUGAUGCGGUCUGAUGAAUGCAAAAUCUCCGAAACCCGGCGCACCCAAUGGGUUGUUGACUCUCCUUCCUCCUGGACACAGGCAGCUAAGUCCACAAUUGACAUGGGCUGCUUGCAUGUAUCCUUGAAAUUCUGAAUAAACCGGGCUCUCAACUCGGCCCAUGACCUGAUAGAAUUAGCCGGUAAGCUCUUUAGCCAAGUGCAGGCCGUUCCUUCUAGCAUCAUGGUGAAGUACUUCGCACAUGCCGCAUCAUCCACGUCCAGCAUCUCCAUGGCCAUCUCGUAGCUUUCAACCCAUGUUUCAGGGGAUAAAUCGGCGGUGUAAUUCGGCACCUUGCGCGGGCCCUUGAAAUCCUUGGGCAGUCGCACAUUGCGCAACGCUGGGACAAGACAUGGCACUCCCAAGGAACUAGAGGUAACUCCUGGUUCCACCGAUGUGGUUGAACGAACCGGAGUAAGCUGACGGGCCUCGUGCUGCGCCGCUAACUCGGCCUCUCUGCGUGCCCGAGCCCGGUCCACCACCUCCUGAGCAUCACCAGCACCACCCGCCGGGUUAUGGCCACGGGGUGGAUCACGGUUCCGCGCAUUGCUUGAUACUGCUGGUUCAUCCAUACGCCUGCUGUAACUCCGGCUUGGACGGGGAGUGGAAUGAAUCCGAUCGCGACUAUAUGAAUAAGCCUCCUGUUGAACCAAGGCUGUCUGAAGAAGCUCCUUAACCCGACGCGUCUCGACCGCUGCUGGAGAAUCGCCUUCGAUCGGGAUGGCUGCCAGCCAUGAAGCGGCAGCGACAAUGUUGUCCAUUGGGUUAGAAUAAUGACCCGGUGGCGUGGGGACAUGAGGUACCACAAUGUUGUUCUGACGAGGCGGAUCCACCAAACGUUGCUGAACCGGCGACCCUGCUCCGGGUGCCUCUGCCCGGUUUACCACCGGCGGAUUACUAGUCCCUGCUCCUGGGGUGUUAAAGAGAUUUCUAGCGUCAUAAACCGGCGGCAGGCGAGAUCGGUGCCUCCUCUUCAGGACUUCGUUCGACGCACUCUGAUCCAGCAUAAUCCAGUAAGCUUGUGCAUCCAAAGCGGCCCACUCCGCGGCUAUCCUGGUAUCCUCAGCUGCCAAGUCGGCUUUUGCGUGGGUGAUCUGAUCUUUCACUUUCGCGAUUUCCGCAUUGUGUGCAUCCUGAUCCGCCGGAUUAACCUCCGCCAUCAGCGUUGCCAACACAUCAAACAAAUCAGAUAGAACCUGAGCUGGCGGUCGCACAGGGCCUCCUGCCCCAGCCGCUGCCGCCGCUGCUGAUCCGGAAAUCAUCGCCACUGCGGUCGAAGAGUGGAGCACUGGUUGCAUGCCGGCCAUGAAGAUCGCCACCCGGUUUGGCAGAUCAAAGGGGUCCGGAAUACUGUCGCCAUGGGAACAGCCCCCAAUCCGGCCAUCUUGUAACUGAUAUAGCGACUCGGUCUCUCCAGUCAAUGACUCGUCGCCGGAAUAAACGAUGGUCUCACCACCAGAUUCCGAUCUAUCUUCAGAUUCCCCUCCAUGGAUAACUCCCACGAAGGCACGCUUCAUGACAGGCUUGACCCGAGCAGAUCUCGCACCUGAGCCGUUUCGACGAGGUCGAUGCAGAUGUCCGGCUCGGCGCCCAGUUCGCCGAUCUUGCCAAUGAAAACGUGUAUGCCACCAAAGGGGACCCGGUACCCGUACUCGACUGAGCCGGCCUCGGGGCCCCAGCCUGCAUCGUCGAUGUAGAGCUUGCGCGACGACUCUUGGUCAUCCGGCCCACAGCGUAACCCUUGAGUCCUUUGAAGUUGCCCUCCAAGGACUUGAAACCAUCGUGCGAUAGCCCCACGGUGGGCGCCGACUGUCGUGGUUUUGUCACGGCAGAUGUCCUAGAGAAAGGACUUAGUCGUGGAGCCAUCGCUACGGGUUAGCUUAAAGGGGUUAAAGCGGACAAGGGACGCAAGAGAGUUUUAUACUAGUUCGGCCCCUUACGAUGAAGGUAAAAACCUACGUCUAGUUGUGAUGGAAUUGAUGGGGUUUCGAUGACCAGGGAGCGAAUACGCUUUGCCUGAGUCUCGAGGUGUUGUUUUUUGUCCUUUGAACCGCCGCCGGGUCGUCCCCUUAUAUACAUGGGUUGACGCCCGUCGGUUUACAGACUCCGAGGCCGGCUCAUAAUCGUGUCCGGCUCGGUCUCUGCUACUUCUAUCUUACAACACAAGUUUACAUCUCAAUGCCGGUUUGUGUCUACAGGCCUUAAACCGGCUUUGGGCCCUGGGCCUUCAUGAAGCGUCACCGUCUGUCUUCAUGGGCUUCAGAUACAGAUGAACUACUUAUGAAGUUAACCCGGCCUCUCCUGGCCGGUUUACGCCCAGUGGUAAUAUCCCCAACAGAACACCACAAAAAUGACACGCUAAUUUCACUCUUUGUAUUUUUCUUGGUUUUAAUCAUCCAAGUUAUAAUUCUUAGACAAUAUCUCUAUUAUCCUCCCUCUCUCAUGAUUUUUCUUUCCAUCUCUUUAGCGCCACACUUAAAUUUCAAUUUUGAAACAACAAAAAUCAUUAGCAAAGAGAUAGAAAAAAUUUCAAAUUUAUAUCAUUUCUCAAUUAUGUAAUCAACACCUAAAACUAAUAUGCUGCCCAAUGUGUCUAGCUAAUAGAGGGACAUUUAUCAGCGCCCAGUCUUCAAUUUUCAAAUCGCUGGCUUACAUAAAUAUGCUCUCUUAUGAUGAUGGUCCAUGCGUAUCUAUUUUUACUCUGUGUUUUUAUAAAGAAUUUGCGGGCUAUUUGGUAAAAAGUUGUGCAUUGUACGCAUGCACGAUAAGCAAUACAUACUCCCUCCAUUCAUGGUGUAUUAAGUUUGAUCAAACAAGGUUUUGACCAUGAUCUAAGGUUUCUACACCAUCACCCCUACUCUUAUGGUAGAUCAUCAUGCGGGGAGGCCCUGAUCUACCUGAGGGAGCUGUACCGUCUUGAGGUUAUAGGUAGAAACCCCUACUAGUGUUAUGCUCUAAACCCUUUGUAGUGAAGAUUUGAGAUGCCCAUCGCUGGUAACUCAUCACUGAGGAUUGGUGACCCAUUACAGGCGACCACUCGUCAUUGGUAAUGACAUAGCAAUGAUGGGUGGUCGGAAAGUGCUCGGUGGCCUUAUUAGUGACAUGUGCUCUGAAAGUGCCAUGUGGCCUUAACAGUGACAUGGUCCCACACUUCUGCCUGUCACUGGUGUUAUUUUGAUUUUUGAAAAAUAAAUAAUGCAUAGUUAAUCUUAAUCAGGGAACAAAUUUAAUUCCAUUUCACCAAAACAACACAAAAAAUAAUUUCAUUCCAUUUCAUCAUAACAACACAAAUAUAAACUUCACUAGAUUUAUUUCAUUUCAUCAGAAAAUACAAAACUUUACAUUAUUUCUUUGGAGGAGAUAUACAUGCGUGACUAGACUAGCUUAGCGGGUCGAAGGAAUGGGGAUGAGACGAAAUCUUGCCCUAAACCUCAACUGGUCGAAGCAAAAGGUAUUGUUGUAAUCCUAUCCUCGUCGAAAGAGGGAAAGGAGUAGGGUAUAUAUGNNNNNNNNNNNNNNNNNNNNNNNNNNNNNNNNNNNNNNNNNNNNNNNNNNNNNNNNNNNNNNNNNNNNNNNNNNNNNNNNNNNNNNNNNNNNNNNNNNNNNNNNNNNNNNNNNNNNNNNNNNNNNNNNNNNNNNNNNNNNNNNNNNNNNNNNNNNNNNNNNNNNNNNNNNNNNNNNNNNNNNNNNNNNNNNNNNNNNNNNNNNNNNNNNNNNNNNNNNNNNNNNNNNNNNNNNNNNNNNNNNNNNNNNNNNNNNNNNNNNNNNNNNNNNNNNNNNNNNNNNNNNNNNNNNNNNNNNNNNNNNNNNNNNNNNNNNNNNNNNNNAUGGCAGCCCAAGAAAUGACAUCACCUCCAAAUAAUAAAUCAUGCUAUUUGCCAUACUAUUUGGAGGAGGUGUAGGACCAAGAGCUGCAUAAACCCUAAUAAACCCCAACAAUUAUGGUACACACUGGAACAAACUAGGAAAAAAACAGAAAAAGAAAACAUUAUAAUGGCUCCAAAACACGAUGAAAUCCAAAAACACAUGGUGUGAAACACAACGAAACAUUGUGGUGCGAACGGAAGAAGUCAAAAUAAAAAAUAAGGCGACACAGAAGUACAAAACCAAAUAUUACAAUUCACCCCAAAAUACGGUGAAACCCAACCGAAUUGGUUGAAGCAUACCGAAACACAAUGAGACAUCGUAGUGCACACCAGAUUAAGGCAGCGGACUGACACAAAAUGAACCAUUGUGGUGCGCUCUAAAACAUGACGAAACCCAAGAAAAAUCAGAUAAUUUAUUACUCUUAUAUUAUAGGAAGUUGAGUUUGUGUGUUACAUGUUAGACGAUGCACUAAAUAUAAACCACUGUCCAUAUGAAUAGUUAAAAAAAUAUUGCAUUUCUGUUGUGAAUAAAUUAUUAUUUUUAAAUAUAUUUAAUUUUUGUCUUGUUUUAAAGAACUCAUCCGAAUAAACAAAAAUGUUUGAACAAGAAUGUGAAUCAAGCUUAGCUUUUGUUACGAAAGAUAUCAGACAUCUAAGUUUGAAAUGAAACUCAGCUAGUUGUGGCUACCUUGGAGAGACAAUCUGGCUUGGUUGAUACUAGCUAGGAACUAUAAUAGCACAUGGUAGGAUGUUAGGUGAGAGAAAGCACUAUGCAUAUGCCAAUAAAGCAUGCAACGGUGGAUCCAUGCACGAACAACGGUGGUGGGGCGCUUGCAUAUGAAUGUCCAAGCCACCGAAAAGAUAAGGCUGCAGUAACUAGCUAGUGUUUGCUGGCACUCCUCACAGCGCAUUUCAUCUUUCCAUUUUGGUGCAAUGGGACGAUCAGCACAUGAGGCCUGUUGUUGCUGUAGGCUAGGUAACAUGCAUCAAAAACAUUUUGGUGCAAUGGGAUGAUCAUAACUCACACGCAUCCUGCAGCUGCAUCUAUCAAACAAAAUAACAAACAACGACCGUGAGUCCAUGUCCAUGCAUGUCUCCAUGAUGAUGAUGAACAUGAGUGUUGAGAUCACAGUGUUGAUGAUAUCUUGAGGACAAAACUUUAUUCGUCCAACCAGGUAGAUACAUACUAUCUAGAUUAGGUGACCUCUUCCUCAACUCCUCCCCUAUCCCUUGGCAGCUGGGGCAAACUCUUCCCUCCAGACUCUCGCUGUGAACCUGUUUUCAUAACAUUUUACUAACACACUUGGCAUAAAAAAAUAGACAAAUAUGUAUUUUUGAAUGGGCCACUUUUUUGUUCUUGUUGGGCCGGAAUAUUGUUUUUUUGUAUAGCUUACAAAUCAUUUUUUUAAAAUAGAAUUUCAUGGAUCCGUAGUGAACACUACAAGUUUCCACUUUUUUAAAACUUCUAAAUAAGGUUAUUUAUUUAUUUUUCAAAACAAUGUCCUCCAUGGUGCUCGAGCACCAUAACUUCACACUCCUAAAUAGUGUUCAUUUCACGUGACACCUUUUUCCAUCAAGCGUGGGAAUGUUUUCCCUAGUCCCUCCACCUCACUACUCCCUUGCCUCUCACACCGCACACACAUAUCACUAGUACAAUGAUAUAUUUUACUUCUUAAACUUGAAACAACUAUACAUUAAAACAAAUCUCAGAUAAAUAUUACGCUUGAAUGUGUGUCUUCCUUUUUGAUGAUAUCUUCAAAACAAGCCUAAUAUCGAAUAUGCUUUUUACAAAUUUGAAACACGGUGAAACUUAUAGGAAAUGGCCCGAACCACAAGAAACACAAUGCAACGUUAUGGUACACACUGGAACAAAGUAGCACACAAACAGAAAAGCAACAUUAUAAUGCCAAAACACGUUGAAAUCCAAAAACAUUCUGUGAAACACAACGCAACAUUGUGGUGUGCAACUAAAGAAGUCAGAAAAAUAAAGUAACACAGAAGUACAAAACCAAACAUCACAGUGCACCCCAAAAUACGGUGAAACCCAACGAAAUUGGUUGAAGCAUACCCAAAAACAAUGAGACAUUGUGGUGCACACCAGAUUAAGGCAACACACUGACACAAAAUGAAACAUUAUGGUGCACUCUAAAACACGACGAACCCCAACAAAAAUUAGAUAAUUAUUACUCUUAUAUUAUAGGAAGUUGAAUUUGUGUGUUACAUGUUAGAUGGUGCACUAAAUAAAAACCACUGUCCAUAUGAAUAGUUAAAAAAAUUGCAUUUGUGUUGUGAAUUGAUUAAAAAAAAUUAAGUUUGGUCUUGUUUUACAGAACUCAUUGGAAUAAGCACAAUUGUUUGAACAAAAUGUGAAUCAAGCUCAGCUUUUGUUACGGAAGAUAUCAGGCAGCUAAUUUCCAAACGAAACUCAACAAGUUUGUGGCUACCUUGGAGAGAGAAUCUGGCUUGGUUGAUACUUGCUAGGGAAUAUAAUAGCACAUGGUAAGAUGUUAGGUGAGGGAAAUCACUAUGCAUAUCCCAAUGAAGCAUGCAUGCACGAACCAGUCUCCCCAAUGAAGCGCACAACAACGGUGGUGGGGCGCUUGCAUAUAUACUAUGAAUGUCCAAGCGACUGAAAAGAUAAGGAUGCAGUAAAUAGCAUUUCAUGUUUGCAUUUUGGUGCAAUGGGACGAUCAGCACACGAUGCCUGCUGUUGCCGUAGGCUAGGUAACAUGCAUCCAAAACGUUUUGGUGCAAUGGGACGAUCAUAACUCACACGCAUCCUGCAGCUGCAUGUGUCAAACAAAAUGAGAAACAUGGACCUUGAGUCCAUGUCCAUGCAUGUCUCCAUGAUGAUGAUGAACAUGAGUCUUGAGAUCACAGUGUUGAUGAUAUUUUGAGGUCAAAGCUUUGCUCGUCGUCCAACCGAAUAACUAGUCCAUUUGACAAAGCCCUAACUAGUAGCCUUAAUAAUAUACAGUACUCCCUCCGUCCCGAAAAACAUGUCGUGCCCGUAGUUCAUUGGUGAUUUUGCAAAAAAAACUCGUAGUAUCCAAACCGUCGCAAACAAGUCCCUCCACCCCCGUCUUCUUCCUCCGCCGUCGCCCGUGCGUCGCUAGGGGCCGGCGCCGCCAAGCGGCGUGAUUUGGCGCCCAUCAGGAAGUGCUCCGCCUCCGUCACCACGUACCUUCGCCGCCGCCGCCGUCGCCAAGUACCUGCUCCGCCACCGCCGCCCGAACCUGUGCCGCAGCGAUCCCCACUCGCUGGAUUACCUGCGGACGUCGCCGGAAUUUCCCACCACGAUCCGGCGGAGCAGGAGCUCCCUCUCAUCUUCCUCGAGCUACCGCGAGUCAUCCUCUCACCUUGAGCUGCCUCCCGUGUGCCGCCGCGAUCCCUCCCGCCGUGAUCUCCUAUGGGCAUCGCCGGAACCGGCCUCCACGAUCCGGUGGACAAGAGCUUCCGCGCGUCCUCCUCUAUCUCCCGCAAGUCCUCGUCGAGCUCCCACCGGCUGCCGUGCUGCUCCUUCUCAUCUGGCCGCGUGCCUGCUGCUGCUCUGUUUCUCCUCUGCUUCUCCCCUGCCGCCGGUGGAGCUAGCCCGUGCUGCUGCUGCUCCUCUGCCCGUGUUGAUGCUGCUGCUGCUGAUCCAAGUGAACAUGCCGUGUUGCUGCUGCUGCUGGUCCAAGUGACUGCGCCGUGUUGCUGCUGCUGCUAUUUGCACUCUGAAGAAGGUACAGUUGCAUGUAGAUUGAUCUGCUGCUAUGUGCUGCUGAUGCUAUUUGUUCCAUGCUCCAUGGCAUCAGAUGGCAUGGAAAACAAUUUUGUUCCAUGCUCCAUGGCAUCAGAUGGCAUGGAAAACAAUUCAUGUUCUACAGUGCCGUGUUCAACUUGCUCAUCCUCUGAUGAUGACAUCUCUUUUAAUACAUUAUUCACCUCAGGAGCUGCAUGUAAAAUUUAAAAUCAAUAUGGUUUUCUUAUUAAUGUUAAAUCAGCAAAGCUAUCAGCAUGGAACAAAUAAAAAAGGACUGUGGAUGACAAGAAAUCGCUUCUAUUUAGUUAAGAGGUCCAUUUCAUGCUAUCAAGGACACUUCCAGUUUUUCUUUAGUUUCAUCAAAGGUUCAUCAAUACAGAUGCUAAAAUCUAGCAUAUCACAUGGGAUGGAUCAGCUAAAGUAAGAAAGACCAUCUCAAGCAUAGUCACAAAACAAUUUGCAAGAAAUACUACUGUAUAUUCUAAUUUACUGAAAUGAUUGGCAUAGCAAAAACAGAUAUGCAGUGGACAUGUUUGGUACAGUAAAUAAAUAUGCAGCCAUAGCGUGGAUAGAUUAGAUACAAAGAAUGGAGUAAAGUUUAUCAAAGGAAGAAAAUUUACUUACAGUGCUGAACAUCCAAUAUUUAGUAAAUCAAUUUGGAUGGCGUGCAGAAUUCCUGUGUAUGACACUUAACUUAGCAAAUUCAAUUAAAGAUGCAUUCUAAAGAUGCAUUCAGUUAAAAAUGUCUACUGGAUUUGCUCCAUGUUCUAAACAGAGUACUCCUAUAUUAAUACAUCAAUCUGCCAUAACUACUCCAUGCCAGAACUACUCCAUGAUCUUGAAAUCUUAAGUCGAAGAAAUCUACCAGAACUACUCCAUGAUGAGUACUCCAGGCCAUUGUCUGAGACACAAUUUGAAAUUUGCCAACACAAUUUGUUCUACUGGAUCUACAGUAAAUAAAUUUGAGAACACAUUUUCUUCAGUCCCUCACUGACAACACAAAUUUUUUGGAUGCAUUCAACUUGAACAUGGAGUAUUUUCAGCAAAAAAACUUGAGUAUGGCAGCAUUUUCUGCAAAAAACAUCUUGAGCAUGAAGUAUAAGGGGUAUUUUCACCAAUUUAGAGAGAGUAUUUGAAAAUUUGGUCACUACAGGACCACUACACUACUCCAGGUCACUACUGUUCAGAAACAAACUUGGAAAGGUAAUAAAUCAGUUUUGAUUCUAUUGACAGGAGCACAUGAAUAAGAACUCUGUCUAAACAUUCAGUUUAUACGUCAACACUGAACUGUCUAAAUACUCAUGUACAGUACUGUGCCAUUCAGUUUAUUGACAGGAGUAUUCAGUAUGCUAUUGACAGGAGCAGUAGUAUCUCAACAAGCAGUACUCGCUGCUAUGGUGCGGCCAUGGAUGCAUGAAACAAGUUUAAAAACAAAUUUAAAUGAUGCUGCGAUUCAAAAAUUAAAUGGAAAAAGCUCAAGAUGAUUAAUCAUGACUACUGUCACAUGACAGAUUACUCCUGUACACUAUUGUGCCAUUUUAUAAGUGCAGACUAGUUCUAUAAGUGCACACUAAUUCUAGAAGUGCAAAUGUUUAGUUGUGACAUUAUACAGGAGGAACAUUCAGUCUAAUUCAGCAGUUGAAAAUGCAGUUGUUUAGUGCAGUUUAAAAUGCAGCAAUUCAGGAAUCACCUGAAUCAAUUCAGACCACUGCUGAAGAUGUCCUUGAACUGCCACUCCUUCCACCUGAAGAUGUUGCCACUCCUUCCAAGCACAAACUUUCAGACCAGAGCACACACAACAAUCCACCAGAAGAUGUCGCCGCUCCUCGAACUGCCACCACACGCGCCCAAUCGUCGGCCUUGAGCGAAGCCGCCGAAAAUCGAUCUACUCAGUAAGAAGGAUCCAUCCAUCAUGUUAAUUCAAGCUCGCGAGCUACAAGGUUGAAUUACUGUAAGUUUUGCAUGCUAUUGAUUGGCAGGAAGUGACUCUGUGCUCUCAUGGCCAACAAGGGUGAAGAUCCUCAGGGACUGUGCAUCUGUCCUGAGGUUUCUUCACACACACUCCGAUGGAUGCAUUGUACAUAGAGACAUUAUGGUGACAAUAUCUUUAUAUUUUCGAUCCCUCGACAUUAGCAUGCGCACGCAAAAUUUGCGAAGCCAUCUUAUCUUUUGUGUGCUGAAUUCAUUUUUACAGCUUACCAACAUCUUGCUGACAGAGGACAUGGAGCCUAAGCUGUCUGAUUUUGGGCUAGCAAAAACGCUGCAAAUGGAGGAGACCAAGGUCUUCACAUAUGUGGGGGGAACCAUUGGUUACAUGGAUACUGAGUACAUAACACACUCCAAGCUUACUUGCGUGCAAGUGAUAUCUACAGCUUUGGCGUGGUUGUGCUGCAGCUUCUGUCAGGAAGAAAGGUCAUCGAACUUGACAUUGUUCCACGCGAUUCUCUCACCAAGAAGGUAAAUUCAGGCAUAUAUUUUUCAGAAUCAUAUCCCUGUUACACUGAGCAGGAACUCGGCAAGUCAAUUUCAGAGUUAUUCUCACCAUUGUUACCUGAAGUUUUUGAUGCACCUAAUUUGGUCUCGGUUCUUGUCUCAAGGCCAAAGAUGCAUCGCCCCUCGGCCUCUCCCCGGAGGCAAAGCCCGCGCCGCCGCUCCAGUCACUGGCUGCGCCGCCGGCUUGUCCCUAUCCUCGAACGCCCUGUAGAAAUCUAGGAUGAUGAAGAAGAAAUUGGGUGGACAUGGCCCGAACAAUCGAAGAAGAUAAAAGAAGAAAUUGCAUGGGCGCAGUAGAUCGAAGGGAGGAGAAGGGGAAAAAGGAGACCUUUGACUUCGGCGGGCUACUUGGUGAGCUCCUCCACCUGCCUCUUUGCAAUCCGCCGAGCAGCCGCCGCGCCAGGAAUGCGAGAAAGGAGGGCGCCCCGCUGCCGUGCCCCGGCGAGGUAAACACAUGGCCGUCGGACAGGAGCGGCGGGAGGAUCGACAAAAAAAACGCGUGCUUCACGUUGGGGAACGAAGCGGGGAACGAUGCGGCGUGGGGCGUGAGGCGGGAGGGGUGGUGCCAGCGGGGGCGGCGUGGGGCGGGAGGAGCGGUGGCGGAGAGGGGCGGCGGGGGGCGGCAAGGCGGCACCCGUCGUCGGGUUCGGCCGGGAUGGAGUGAGAGCGAGAGCGAGGAAGAAGAGGGACCUCGGGUUCGGUCGGGAAAACGUGGAGGACUAAAUUGCAAAUAUCCACUUGCGACAUGUUUUUCGGGACGGAGGGAGUAUAUAACAAUACGAUAAACCUGGGAUUUCAGAUCGUUAGGAACAGAAAAGGAACUACUACUCCGUAGUAAAUUUCAUUGCACACUUGAUAGCGCCAAUGACACAUGCAUUCUUUGGUUCUAACAUUACACUGAUAAAGAGUACUGAAAUCAUCCCCACAAUCAGAAGGAAAAAAUAUACAGUAAAUCAAGCAUGUAACGGUAGUAGUAACAUGCAUGCUCUGCAUCUGCAACAUAGAUAAACCAAGCUAAGCUCUUGCGGAGCCAUGAUUGAGAGAUCAAGCUCGCAAUCUCAUACAUAGCAGUACCAAAUGUUUCUUGCAAUACAUCAUAAAGCUAAUAGACCCAAAUCUAGUGAUCGACUACUAAGUAGUAACUGCAAUGAGGGAUCCAUACUAUAGAGAGUCCCGUAGCAGCUCCGGAUUCCGGCUCAAGCCAUGCCUUCCUGCGCUGCAGGCUGCAGCUCCUCUAGCUAGCCACCGCAACCUCCACCGCAACCGCCACCACCACCACCGCCCCCUCCGCCGCAGCAAGCACCACCGCCCCCUCCGCCGCAGCAAGCACCACCGCCUCCGCCCGCAGCAAGAAAGAGGACGGUAUUACCGCCGGCUGAUGUGGUCGACGAACUUGCAGUAGUCGUCGCCGUCAGCGGCGCCCUGGAUUUCUUCUUCUUCGAGGUGUCGCCGCAGAGGAAGACCGAUAUGACCAGCACCACCAGCAGUAGAAGGAGCCACGGAGUCUGCUGCGCCUGCGCCCCGAAGCCCGCUGCAGCGGCGGAGGCAAGGAAGGCUCGCGCCAUUGUCCCUCUCCUUCCCUGACGUCUAGCUACCACAGGAUAUCUCUCACGAAUUUGAGUUUGGAUCAAGUGCAGUGCAGAGGAAGAUUUGAGGAGGAAGACAGAGUAGCGAGGGAGAGAGGAGGAGGAACAGAGUACAGCCUAAUCUCAGCACCCACGCCUCUCCGCCCUGGCCGCGAAUAAGUAGUCGAGGCUAGCGAGCCGACGCCUGGGGUGCUCGCUGAUGGGCCGCAGCCCAACUUGGCAUUUUGUUAGCUUCCCAGUGGUUUUACUGAUUUUAUUUUCUCGGUUUUGUUUGAUUUGUUCGUUUCUCCAGUUUUCUGUGGGGUUUUCCGGGUUUUUAUGUUUCAUGUUUUUGUUCCUUUUUGUUCUCGGUAUUUUUUUGUUUUUUAUUUUAUUUUUACCAUCGUUGGUUUUCAUUUCCUUCUUUUUUUAAAUGCACGGUGAUUGUUUUUAAUACACAUUGAAUUUUUUGAUAUAUUUUGAACAUUUUUUCAAUGCAUGGUGAACUUCUCUAAUAUACGAUGAACAUUUUUAUAUAUAAUGUUCUUCUUUUAAUAUACAUUGAUUUUUAAUAUGUAUUCACCAUUUUUUUAAUGGAUGAUGAUUUCUUUAAAUAUACAGUGAAUACUAUAUAUAAUUAUAUUUUUAGUAUACACUGAAGUGUUUUUUAAUAUGUGUUGAACAUAUUUUCAGUCCAUGACGAUUUUUUAAAGAUAUAUAGUGAAUUUUUCUAUAUAUACAAUGAACUUAUUUUAAUGGAUGGUUAGCUUUUCUUAAUACCAUCGAACAUUUUUAAAAUAUUUCUUAUAUUUAAUAGGCUUUAAUAUAUAUUAGAUCCGUAAAACAAUUCCAAUGAUCGGGUUAAAAAACAAAUUAGAAACCAAAGAGAAUAAAAAGAAAAAACACCCAAGUGAGCGCCGCUCAUUUGCGCCUUGCUCCUAGCAUAGUUGCCUCUGUUUGACGCCAACAUGCACCAGCCAGGUGGUCUUAUUGAGGUUGCUUCUUCACGUCGCCUAGGUCACUGGGUCGUAGCGCUUAUUGGGUCAACGUUUCAUUUUGGAUCGGGCCGAACCUUCUAGAGUAGUAGAGGUGGAAGUACUGGCCAUGACAUCCCUUCCCCCCUUCGAACGAUGCUUGUUGCCAAGCAACUGCUCUUGGGAAGUGUGGAACGAAGCUCAAAGUAAUCUUUCCAACAUGCCGUCAAUGUUGGUUGUGAAGACAACUUGACGAGGAAUGUCGAUUUUGCGAGAACAAUAUGGCGCUUUAGUAAAUGCUCCUGAACUAGAGGUAGUAUGUUAGGAGGUAGUUGCGCUGGCAGCACUAGUUCGACCAUGGAUGAAGGUGGCAGUGCUUGACGGAGCUGGGAGAUAUGGAACACUGAGUCGAUACGACUUGUCUCUGCGAGCUUGAGCUUGUACGAACCAUUAACCAACUUCUUCGCCGCCUGAAACACUCUGAAAUAUCAAAAGGAGAAUAUAUGGUUAGCAUCUGCCGCGAUGGAGAGUUGGACAUAAGGCUGCAGCUUGAGGUAAAUCCAGUCGCUAAAUUCAAAAAUGCGGUCUAAGCGUUUCUCGUUCGCUUGUCCCUACUUCCCCUAGUUUCCUCAGAGCAAGAGUGUUAUUUCAGUAGACUGACCACUAAUGUUCAUUCUUGCAUCCAUGACGCCAGCUCGGAAACUUAACAUGAUGCAGGAUCCAUAACCCUGAUGUAUUUUGGAGGAUGGCCAUAUAAAACUUUGAAAGGUGAGUUGCCCAAAGUGCAAUGGUAAGAAUUAUUGUACCAGUAUUCCGCCAGAUGUAGGCAUUCAAACCACUUGUGCGAACAGUUGGCGACGAAUCAACAGAAAUAAGAUUUGAGACAUUGAUUAAUCCUCUUCGUGGUGCCAUCCGUCUAUGGGUGAUAAGUAAAGCACAUCCUAAGCUUAGCGUCAGCAAGCCAAAAUAAUUCAAGAUACAUGUUUCUUUUAAAUACCCGAUCUCGACCAGAAACAAUAGCUUGAUGCAAUCCUUGGUGCUUGUACACAUUCUGCAUGUAAGCGUGUGCCACUUGUGCGGCUGUGAAAGGAUGCUUCGGUGCAACAAAUUGGCAUACUUGGAAAACUUAUCAACAAUAACCAUGAUGCAGAUAUAUAAGUUCAUGUCGACAAAGUGGGUUAGGAGUCCUGGAACUUAGAACACAAAACAAAUCACUACUGACUAAAUUCCUAUAUAUGUUCUUAAACCAGCAUGAUAUUCCAUGGGUGAAGUUGAUCUGAAAUGCAUACUAAAGUGAUGGCCAAGUUCCCUACUAAAGUUGUCAAAUUCUAGUGGAGAGACAUUUGUUCUAUACUCAGUGAAUUUAAGGCUAUGACCAUUUGCAAUAUAAAAAUGGUAACACUGCUAAGUUACGGUAUGACAAAUGGCAUGAUGACAAGUUGUUGUUAUUAUAUCCUAAGCUAUUUUUAUUUGUGAAAGACAAGGGUAUUACCUUUGCUUGUGCACAUGUAUAUGUUAUGAAUGAUUUCUAUGACAUGCUCCAUCUUUCAAUUUCUUCGAGUGUUGUUCAGCAAAGUUUGUAGCUACAGGAGCUUAUAAUUAGCAUAUAUGAUACUAUUGUUAAUGAUAGUUGGAAUUUCUAUUAAUCUAGCAAUAAUACUCCACCAGAAGGAUAUACACUGAACUAGUGGGACAUGGAAAUAAGGCACCCACCACCGCCACCCACCCCUCUACUUAGGCAAAUGACAUGAUUUCUGGGUCCAUUGGAAAAGCUUAGGUGUUCGUCCUAUGCAUUCGACUGAGUAAGCCAUGCAACACCGCUACUAUCUUCUUCCUCAACUUCAUCAUCUUCCUCCUAACUAAAGACCCAAAUCUAAGGGUCAUAGUCAUCUUCCAUCACAUGUUCCUUUCCUGACUUCGUCAAAGGGUACCAAUCUUUCGUUCCGUAUAUGUGGACUCCGUCCAUCCAUGCACAACAAAAGGACUGAAGGCUUUCUAUAGAAAUAAAUCGCAAGUGAUACCUUGCGGGGUGUGGUUGAUUUUUUUUCCUUCCAUUAUAUGAUGUGGAGUGCAUAGGAAGAAUGGAGAUCGCCAGGGUCCAGGGAUCUAUCGUCCCAUUUUUUCCCCGUUGCCUAGCAUCCAAACUAGCGACCCAAGGGUAAAAUUGGGAACCAAACGGUGAAUGAAAAUACACCUUAUAAUUUGGAAUACCCCUCAAAACCUUAUGCACAUAAUAUUACGGAACAGGGGAGUACGAAAGUUCAUCAUCACCUAAUUCAAAAAGUCCAUCAUUGUAGAGUUGUAAGUAGAAGUUUGUUUAGUCCAGCAAACUACAUUUUAGCUUUUCUUUGGUUUUUUUUAACUUGGAUUCUGUGUAAACCAAAGAAAAUCAAAGAAGAAAAACACAAUGAAAUAGUUAUCACUGCAUAGAAGUGCUAGUGUGUUUGUAUGAUACCUAUAGUACAUAGAUGUCAGAAAACAUGAAUUUAUGGCUCAAAUUGUUAUUUUUUUUGCUUUCUUUUGUUACAACUAGUGGUAAUUAAGAUACAUUGAACACCACAAAAUGACAUGAUAAUUCCACUCUUUGUAUUUUUCUUGGUUUCAUUCAUCCUAGUUAUUUUCAUACAAUAUCUCUAUAAGCCCUCCCUCUUCUGAUUUUUCUAUCCUUGUAUCGUCUCUUUAGUGCCACCCCUAAAUAUCAAUGUUGAAAGAGUAAUCAUCAUCAGCGAAGAGAUGGCAAAUUUUGUCAAAUUUAUAUCAUUUCUCAAUCAUGUAAUCAACACCUAAAACUAAUAUGUUGCCCUAUGUCUCUCGCUAAGAGAUUUGGUAGUUGGACGUUUACCCGUGUCCAGUCUUCAAUUUUCAUGUCACUAGUAUUACAUGAAUGUAUUUUUAUAAAGAAUUGUGGGCUAUUUUUUUUAUAAAAUUGUCCAUUUUACUGGUACACGAUAGGCAUUACUCCCUCCAUUCAUGGUGUAAUAAGUUUGAUUAAACAAGGUCUCGACCAUGAUCUAAGGUUUCUUCGCCAUCACACCUACUCCACUAGUAGAUCAUCGUGUGGGGAGGCCCUGAUCUAUACAUGGGAACUGUCCUUUCCCCCAUUUGUGCUUGUAGGAAAGAACCCUUACUAGUGUUCGGCUCUAAAACCCUAUUAGUGAUGAUUUGAGGCACGCGUCACUAGUAGUAACUCAUUACUGGCAGUUGGUUACCAAUGACGGGUAACCACUCAUCGCUGGUAAUAACAUACCAAUGACGGGUGGUCUGAAAGUGCCUGGUGCCCUUCCUAGUGACGAAUUGUCUGAAAGUGCCCAGUGGCCUUACCAGUGGCACGGUCCUACACUUGCGCUUGACACCAAUGUUAUUUUGGGAUUUAAAAAUUAAACAAUGUAUAGUUAAUCUUAAUCAAAGAACAAAUUCAAUUCCAUUUCACCAAAGUAGCACAAAAAAAUAAUUUCAUUCCAUUUCAUCAUACCAACACAAAUAGAAACCUCAUUAGAUUCACUCCAUUUCAUCAAAAAAUACAAAACUUUACAUUAUUUUGUUGGAGGAGAUACAAGACCGGACUGGCUUUGCGGAUCAAAGGAAUGGGGAUUAGGCUGUAAUCCUAACCUCGUCGAAAGAGGGGAAGGAGUAUGAUAUAGAUGGUGCAACAACACACCACCAAAAUCAAUUAUUGGGUAAAUGGCAAAUUGAUCCAAUGGGGUUGAAAGAAAAAAACAGGCAGAUUCUGGAGAAAAUUAUCCAUACCACUACCUGCCUGAAUACCCUCUAAUAUGCCCAGCCAAGUUCCGCCAUUUUGGCGGCACAUACCAGGGGGUAGCGACUGUUUAUUAAAAACACAGGACUCUGCUAAGUGGUAACACGAUGUAUAGAGUCUGACACCUGCCCGGUGCUGGAAGGUCGGAAGGAGAAGUGUGAUAAGCUUUGAAUGGAAGCCCCGGUAAACGGCGGCAGUAACUCUAACUGUCCUAGCAAUCAGGAGAGGGAAGAAUGGCAAUGGAAAUCAUAAAGCUCAGCGAGGAGCACAUUACUAUGAAUAACAAUGGAGAGGGACAUUAAAGGGGAAAACUGAGCAAAGAGACAUAAAAAUAUAUUAGAAAAGCUUUUCACUUCUACUUCAUUUUCUUGUUUACAUUCAUUACUUCAGUGAUUGAACAUGGGCAGAUACCUAUAAGGACCCCAUUUCAUUGACCUUUGCCCUUUUAUAUCCCUCCUUAAGAUGUGUUAUCCGGACCAACUCCCACGUAGAAAACCAAGAGCAGUGAGUUACAAAACCAAGGGCAGUUAGAAUCACGUAGGCAGCUCCUUCGCUUUACUAAAGAGCCAAGUUCGGACAAUCAACUCGGAAGGAAGCAUAUCCCCACCGCAAAUGGCAGCCCAGGAAAUGACAUCACCUCCAACUAAUAAGCAUGCUCUUUGUCAUCCUAUUUGGAGGAGGUGCAGGACCAAGAGCUGCAGAAACCCUAACCCUAAAUCGCAAUGGUUAGCCAAUGUCAGAGGCGCGUCCGAUAUAGUCAUAAACCCACUAGGUUGACACACAUGUUGAUCCCACCUUCCUCUCCCUCCGACCACUGGAUGUUUACCUAUAACCAGUUAACACAUUCAAUAUUUUCUUUAACAAGAACACCCAAAUUAUUAGGUAUCUUUUAAUUAUUAAAUAUCUUUACUAAAGAGUAGUUUAUAGAUAUACUAUUAGUUAUCAUUGGCAUUAAAGUAUCUUUAUUCAAAUUGUAUCUUACAACGUUAGUGUUAGGUAUAUUUACUAAUACAGUAGCUUAUAGCUUUAGAACUAAGUUUCUUCACUAAAAAAGAGCUUACACCAACAAUAUGUACUACUGAGUAUCUUUACUAAAACAGAACCCACUUUAGUUAUUUAUUGAAUUAUAGCUUAUAGCAAAUGUAAGUAUCAUUAUUGUUUUGCACCAAUGGGCAGGCAUGUGAACUUGUUUGCUAUCUGGAGGAAUGAUGGUUCCACAACGAUGUCGAUGUCGGGAGAAUCAAAGAAGAAUUAAAUUGGCAAUGUUAUCCGUGUCAUUAGGAUCUAUGCUAUUGUUCUUUCGAUUCAAUAAAUGUGUCUCAUAUUUCUAACCAUUGGGUAAAGUAAAAAAGGAAUCUUAUAUUGUAGGCUCUUAGAGAGGCUAUGUUUUGUGGAAUGCCAGGAUAUUCUUAGUGUUAUUGAGCGUGUUUUCUCUUUGAAAGGCGGGCAGAAGAGGACAACCGAAGAUUAAAUAUUGACAUGUGACGGGUAUUUGGUUUUGAUUUUUGUGGGAAAACAUAAGUUUUUUCAUAUCCGAUACAAUGGACCAUAGUAAAUACCUUGGUUAAUAAUGUUUCUCCGGAAUAGUGCCCUAAGAUUAUUGGUAUACAUCCACGCCAACAGUUAAUGACGAACAAAUAUGUCAAACGCAUGAAGAAUAAAAUAAUUAUGGUUCCAAAUUUAGAGCAAGCCGUGCAAAUACACAAGACACUUGCUAGUUCAUCUGCUCAGACCCGUCUUGCCAAUAAAUUAGGCAGGAGGGCAUCCAUUGUAUAGCAUAUAGUGGGGCGUUAGCAUGCAUGUGAUGUGAGGGUCCAACGGAAAGAUAAGGUUGCAUAUAUGCAGUGACUAGCGUUUUCUGGCUCCAAACUGAAAUAGGAGCAAUCCCUCACAUGAUGAGUGUGCAUUUCAUCCUUCUAUAUACAGGCGUACAUCAUCACCUGCUGGCUGCUGAGGCCAGGUAACGUCCAGAACGUUUUGGUGCAAGCCACAAUGACUCACACCGUCCUGCUUGCGGUAGCUGCAUGUGCCAUUGCUAGCUAGUAUUACCUGUGUGCAAACAAAUAUGGACCGUGAACUUGAGUCUGAGAGCUCAGUGUUGAUGAUAUCUUGAGCUCACACCUUAGGGCGUCCAACUGAAUAAUUAAGGUGUAUCGACCCGGGCGGAAUGAUGAACUUGCGGAGUAGUUUCCGCGGUGAAGAUAUCUGCUUGAACCCAUCAUUAACUACUGCUUAACAGUCGAUUUGACAAGGCUCUAACUAGCCUCAGUAUAUAUACAUAUAACAGUAGGAUAAACCGUGGGUUCUGUUGGAAAGAUGAGCAAAUUACUACGAAAUUUAAUCUGAAUAAACAGAAGAUAGAUCAUGACAGCAAUAGUAGAGAUUAAACUAAUCAUGCGAACUAGCAUAGUAGAUGAACAGAUCACAUCAAGGGCACAUACUAGAAACAUGAAUUCUACCACGAUCUCGAAUAAGAAGGAUAGAAUCACAUACGGUGCAGCACCGCCGGCGUUGACGUUGUCGCCCAUGUCGUUGAGGAUGAGGUUGCCGAGGUCGGGGAAGAAGUCGUCGUUGGCGAAGUCGUCGCUGCCAGCAGUCGCGCGAGUGCGCUCCCUAAAAAUCUGAUCGCCCCUCUCCCGUACAGGAUCACGAGAGGCGGCGCAAUGAUCUGGAACGGUGGUGUGAAACCAUACAAAGCGGCGGCGGCUAGGGUAGACGCCUGCCUGACUAUAUAGUGCGGGCCGGGUAGGUCGUGGGAGCCCACGUGCAUAGCACUGUCCUCGGCUCGGCUCCGCUCAAUCCCGCAACCCGCGGCGCGUCGUGACGAGGCGUGGCGUGGCGAGGCGGGCGAGGAGGAGGAGCGCACGUGUAGGUCUCCUCUUCUUAUGCUCAUACAAGUGGUAGAAGAGCUCACCUUAUAAAAAGGUGCAAGUCUCUCUCAACUUCCGUGGUGGGACUAAACUCUAAUUUCACUCACUCCACUCACAUGUGUGCAUGAAUGGGCCAAAAGAAUUUCAGAAUUUUAGUUGGGAUUUGGGCCAAAGACCUACUAGCAAAAUUCCAACAGGUUCCAGACCGCCAAGAAUCUGAAAAGAAGAGUUCAUUGCACAGAUGAUCAUUUGUUGCUACCACAGGUUUACUUGAUAAAGAGCAGUGAAUUAAACAUGUAAAAGUACUUAAUAACCUGCUCUAUCGAUCUGCAUCCUAGAUAACCUAGCUAGCUCUUGGGGAGCAAUCAAUUGACAGAUCCAGUUUCUUCGAGCCGCCCUGAGGUGUAGACUGUGUAGAGCUCCCUCUGUUUGUUUUGGUUUUUCUUUUCCUUUCUAGCUUCAGUUCCUUGUAACUGGUUUUUUCCUUCUUCAUCAAUCAGAAUCAGCCUAAGGCUGCUUUUUUCGUCAAAAUUGACAGAUCCAGCUCGCAUGCAUACAUCAAGCUAAUAGCCCUAGAUCAUUAACCUGAAAUCUAGUGAUUGACAACUAAGUGCAGGGAUAAGAUGUUGGUCACCCUCCCCGUUCAUCUCGCUCAAGGGCGGAUAAGAUGUUGUUCAAAUUUUCCCUGUUACAUACACCCUCUGUUUCUAAAUAUAAGAAGUUUUGGCAGUUUGAUUUAAGCUGCCAAAACGUCUUACAUUUAGAAACAGAGAUGGUACUUAUAUGCUAAACAUAACUUAUUCUGCUAGCUCCACAAGAUUCAGCGUUUAGCAGCAAAAUCAUCAUUUAGGAACAAGCUAUUGAGAAACUACAAAAAUCCAGCCAAACAGGUGAUCGAUCUAUCUUAUAAGGACGGGCACGCACUACAAACCAGGACAUAUAUGUCAACCAUUCCAGCCCACUCAGUUACCACCGUAGUUCAUCGCACACAGCUAAAAAGACUUUACCCAAACGGAUGGCGGUGCGCCUACUCUUUUCACUACAACUGACCACUCAUCUUCUUACACUUGCUCACAGGACAGUAAUUUGUUGCUGCAAACGUUGGGGGUUCCCAUGGCAUACACCCUCACGAAAGCAUCCCCAAGCAUCGGCAGCAAAUAUAGGGGUAUUAUGAAGAGAGGCAACACUAUCACAGCAGCUGCCAGAGCCUGCCACCAGACUUCAAUCGCGUUGUAACAGAAGAUGACAUGGGCCAUGAAGAAGAGCACCUCCAACACAAAGGCAAUGUUCUGCAUGCAGGAAGCAACAAGGAAAACAGACUAUCAUGUUAGCACAAGUAUGCAUGCACAGUCAGUUAGUUAGUUAUAAGAGGAGCGCUUNNNNNNNNNNNNNNNNNNNNNNNNNNNNNNNNNNNNNNNNNNNNNNNNNNNNNNNNNNNNNNNNNNNNNNNNNNNNNNNNNNNNNNNNNNNNNNNNNNNNNNNNNNNNNNNNNNNNNNNNNNNNNNNNNNNNNNNNNNNNNNNNNNNNNNNNNNNNNNNNNNNNNNNNNNNNNNNNNNNNNNNNNNNNNNNNNNNNNNNNNNNNNNNNNNNNNNNNNNNNNNNNNNNNNNNNNNNNNNNNNNNNNNNNNNNNNNNNNNNNNNNNNNNNNNNNNNNNNNNNNNNNNNNNNNNNNNNNNNNNNNNNNNNNNNNNNNNNNNNNNNNNNNNNNNNNNNNNNNNNNNNNNNNNNNNNNNNNNNNNNNNNNNNNNNNNNNNNNNNNNNNNNNNNNNNNNNNNNNNNNNNNGGUAGUACGGACAUUUUACAAAUUGUAUUCAUUAGAAUGUAUACGGGGUAGGUUUGUACAAUUCCCAGCCACACUCGUCCCUCAUGGGCUCAGCCCGUUUAGUUUCAUUUUUAGUCUUAAACUUAAAAAAACUGGGCGUCCGACAUGAGAUUCGAUCCCAAGUCCUCAGAAAACAUUGCGUAAGUGCACAUCCAUCUGAGAUAGCUAACCUUGCGUGCCAAUUGACCUUCUUUUCCUCUUUUUGAAUGAGAUAAAUAACGCUAAGAAAAAAAACUCUUUGCUUUUCUUUCGUUUUUAUUUUCCCUUUUUUUCGUAAAAUAGAAAUUAAAAAUUAUACAUAAACUUUUAAAAAAAUCAGAAAAAUACGAACACAAUUUGAAUUUUGAAAAUUUUGAAUUUGAGAAAUAGAAACAAUAAACAAAAAAACAAAAAGUCAAAGAAGAUGAAAAAGGAAAAAAGAAACAGAAAAAAUAAAAUAGGACAGGAAAUAAAAAGAAAAAAUAAAACAGGAUAGGAAAUAUAAGAUCAUGGAAAAAAUAGGGUCAUUUGAUGGAUGCCAAAAAUACAAGCUCUCAAACGAACCCUUCUCACCAACCCGAACACCCUCUGUUGAAUGUGAUCUAUUUCUGGCAUGCAUGAAAUGUCCUCAACUUUUUUUAGUAGCAGGCAUGUCCAUGGUAGGCAUCCAUGCGAGGUUUGAAUGAAUUUUCAACACAAUAUGCAAGUUGUGUCAUGUCCGGCCAUUUAUCGGCCAGUUUUCAUCGAGAAAACUCCAAAAAAUGUAACGAUUGUCGAAAACUCAAACAAAUUGGCAAGGUGCCUUGAUUUGAUCAUAGGAGUCGGUGGAAAAAAAUUUGAGACUAUUUUAAUUAUGUCAAGAAACAACAUACCCUCAGGUGGAGCCUUCUGGCCAUCUCGAACACCCUCCAUUGAACAUGGUGUAGUUUUAGACAUUCUUGAAAUAGCCCCAACUUUUUCAAGCAGGUGGGCAUGACCAUGAUAGUUAUCCUUACCAGGUUUGAAAUUUUUCUGACACCGUAUGCAAGUUCUGAUACGCCUGUCCAUUUAUCGGUCUUUUUUUUUAUCAAGAAACCUCUCAAAAUUAAAAAAUUGUCGAAAACCAAAACAACUUGGCAUGUUCCCUUGAAUUGCUCAUACAGGGUCAUGAAUAAUUUGGGGUCAUUUCAAGAAUGUCGAAAAACAACAUACUCUCACACGAAGCCUUCUCGCCUACCUGAACACCCUCCGUCAUGGUAUAUGUUUGGACAUCCUUCAAAUCACCCCAACUUUUGCAAACAGGUCGGCAUGUUCAUGGUAGACAUCCAUGUUAGGUCUGAAUGAUUUCCAACAUAUUAUGCAAGUUGCUACACGUUCGGCCAUUUAUCGGUCUUUUUUGGCCGAGAAAACUCCAUAAAAUGCAGAAAGAUUUGAAAACCAAAACAGCUUGUCAUUGUGCCUUGAAUUGGAACGUACGAGGCCCUGAGAACCGGCCCGGUUGGGCAGCCUCCUAUGAAUAAAGUAUUUAAUUUGUGAACAUGUUUUCAAAUUCGUGAACUUGUUUUCAAAUCGAUGAACUUUUUCAAUUUUGCGAACUUUUUUUGUCAAAUUCGUGAACUUUUUUUCAAAUCGAUGAACAUUUUUCAAUUCCGCGAAUGUUUUUCCUCCUUGGAGAUUGGGGUGUUCGUGUGUUCCAGGGCGGUCCAUCAAAAUCGAGGUCCCUAUGUCAAAAUCUAAGAUGGCCCUAUCUUGUUACAGAAAACGUCCUACUAGAUCAAUUUGUCGUCUAUGGAAGGCAGGUUGCAUGCAUAAAAAGUAUUUUAGGUGUUCUUUUUAGUUGCAUUCAUAUAUAUAGCGUUUUGGCAUUUUAGAAAAUAUCUCCACAAGCAGAAAGCCUACAGUUGAUAAUCGAGUCUUGAGAAGUGUGAAUAAAACACAUAAUUUUUUUCUUGGGUGGUCCAGAUUGACGUGCCGAUGGACUGGUUUUGCGCACCGGCGUAGUAUGUUCUUAUAAAUCUUGUGCUAGUUUUAUCACCAACGGGCCGCGUAGUGGACUGGUAAUUUGUGAACUUUGGGAGACGUGGUCAGGAGCUCGAUUCCUCGUGCGACCCGACCUAGCUCUUUUUUCAAGAUUUUUACGUCUUGCUUUAAAUAGCAAGUGACCUAGCGCCUGGUGGGCUGGCCCAGAUGUGCAUCCUAGCGACGUGCUUGUUGGUACGCUCGCCCGCGUAUCGGAGGUUUGGUUGUGGAGAACGUACUUUUAAAAAUACCAUCAUGCCCUUUAUUAUGAAGGGUUAUAGGAUAACACAGCUGUUGAUGUAUUUAGGGGGUGUACCGAAGCGGAAACGUAGCUAUAAAUGUCAUGUUGGUAUCCUUGGCAGAGCGAGAGGAAACUCCCAAUCACAUUAAAAAAAUACUGAACUCUCAAAUGUAAAGCAGAAGAACAGUGUUGGUUUGUAGCAUGGUGUUGUAGUAAAAAAUUCUGUCAUUGGUGGCAAUCUAAAGUUCUAAACAGACCAUCUGGUCAAUCGACAUGGAUCUAUGUGGUUCACUGCUUUGGCAGCUCUAUUCCAGCUCACAACUACAACUCUCUUCUAUAUUUUUAGGGGCCUGCUACGUGCCCGCGCUGAUUUUUUGUAAAGAUCAACCGGGUCGUGAGCCGUCUGAUCUGCCACGUCGAGCAGCCGAGCGUCUCUCCACCAUUGCAACACAGACCUUGUCUUGUUGCAGAAAUUUUUUGCAACAACUGUUUUGUUGAAAAAAAUUGCAACUGAGGUUUUGUUGUAAUGUUUUUUUGCAACUGAGGUCGUAUUGCGGAUUUUUUUACAACAAAAGCUUUUGUUGCAAAACAUAGACCCGUCAUAGACCAUUGCAACACAGCAUAUGUUUCAGAAACAUAGCCUCUGUUGCAGAAGCACAUUCGUAUGUGAGCCCUCACAGAAAAUAUUUGUAAGCAAGAAGCGGACGAAUCCACUGCUGUAGUUGGACACGUGUCAUGCGCUGAAGGUGGUGGACGCAAUCGCUGCGAUCCGCCGGCUGAUGGUAAGUGUUUGCCAUAUUUUUAAGGGAAAUAUCCCUUUCAUAUCUUGCGAUGGACAGGCGCUUGUCGGCUUCCUCGUCGGACUCGGAGGCUUUCGCCGCAACGGAGGCCUAGUUGCUAGCUUCGGCGACGGCUUUCGCCGAGACGGCCAGCCACUUGCCGGCUUCCGCAAGGGCGGCGGCGGCGGGCAUCGGUUCGGUGUGACGAUUCGCCCGCUCGCUCGCUCGCUGGUAAGAACAAAGGUAGUUAGAGAAAUGGCCCAUUCACACUUCUCUGGCCGGCCCAUUAGAGCCUCAUUUCUCUCUUAACACUCUCUUAUGCGCCCACAGGUGAGGCCAGCCCAUAUAGGGUCCCACAGCCAGUCCGGUUUUUUGGAACCUUUGGCUUUCGGUCUGGUUUCAGCCAGUAUUUUUUCUUUGUGUUAUUUCCAAUUUUUCUUCGUUUUUACUUCUAAAUUUUAAGAUGCAUGAUCAUUCUUUAACACUUGAAAAAAAAUUAAGUCGCAAAUAUUUUUAAAAAUUUGUGAACUUUUUCAAAUUCAAGAAUUGUUUUCAAACCCAUGAACAUUUUAAAAAAUCAUGAACUUUUUAAAAAUUUGUGAAUUUUUUUUAAAUCCACAAGCAUUUUUUGAUUUCACCUUUUUUCAAAAAAGCAACAGCAAAAGGCAGUGAAAAGUACGUGCGAGUGAGCAAGCCAGCGGGCGGGCGAGCCAGCAUAGCAAAUGGACCGUGGCCCGCCUAGUGAUCGACGUUCGCUACAGGAUUCUCGAAAAAGAAAAACUACGAGGCGCCUGAAGCGUUGAUUAUGAGUUUCCCAGACUACCCAUCACUUGUGACUGUGAUAUGAUCAACGCUACACACACACACGGGGAGCACAUUAGAGAGUCAACGGACAGGCUUGGCUGGGAUUUUUUGACUGGGUAGAAAUCUGGGUGGGGGGCCCACCCUCGGCUGAAAUUAAGGGGGAGGAGGUUAGCUAGAGAAGGUCCAUAGAACAUAUGUAAAAGCCCAUGCGUUUAGAAUUAGUGUUGUGAUAUUUGUCGAUGGUUCUUAUAGGCUUUUUUGCGAAAAAUAUUUUUCUCUGUCACAUGACAUUGUCAUGGAAAGAGACAGGUGACACUGUUUGGCGUACGUGCCUGAUGUGGUUGGGUGGCAUGCAUGGCCGGACGGAAGACGAUCGUCCUGCUGUUCCGAUCGACCCGCUUUGCUUGCCCAUGUCUCAAGCAGGGAGGACCUCAUAUAUACUGCUUGUAGGCCACCGGCAGGUCCACCUCCUCGGACUCGAUAGCCCCCUAAUGAUCAUUUCCUGUCGACUCAUUUCUUCUAAACAAGAAUGCAUCAUAUGUCUCGGUGCCAUUCGUUAGGGUCGGUUUCGUUAGAGGCCUGGAUACCGUGCCUGAGAGAAUGAGAUGAGCUACUUGGAUAGUGCCUGGAACGAUGCAAUUUUUUGCCUGAUGAGGCUAGCCUGCUGCGGGGGUGUUUGGUUCCUGUCCUUGCAUGUCGCUGCCUGUUGGGUUGUUAAUAAUAUUUUCAAACAGCUAGCCCUACUGUUUCUAGGUCUUAAGGGUCUGUUUGGUUACUACCCUCGACUCCAUGCCUGAGAAAAAGUGCGUCUGGUGUAAGCCUGAGCUGGUGAUGGCUUUGGCCUGACUAGGCAAGUGGUGUUUGGUUGGCAACCUGGCAUGAGAAGUGCUCAGUAGCCAAAUACUUUAAUAUUAAAAUAAGAACUCCAAUCAAUCAAUGUUGCCAGUUGACAUUAGACAUUAGGAGCUCAGGCAGCAGCUACGACACCUUAGACCGCUCCAGUUUGGAGGCCUGAGACAGGCUAAUGAUGGCAGGACAGGCUAAUUAAUAACGACAACAAGGUCUCCAGGUCAGGCGUUUAUCUGUUCUCCAGGCACCAACCAAAUAACAUUCAGGCGGAUACCAGGGAGCCUCCAAGCCAGGCAUGAAGCACUCAGGGUAGCAACCAAACAACCCCUAAAUAAUCCCAAGCUGUUGUUGCAGCACGCUAGGCGCAAGGGAGAGGUCGCCUGGGCCAGGCUAAUCACAGUGCAUGGGCUAAUCCUAGCUAGGCCAGGCUAAUCACACAGUUGGGGGAGGGUCAGGCCGAGUAGCCAUCUACUUUCUGUUGACGCAAAAUAAACAAGUCCCAGACACAUCCCAGGGACCACCCAGGUCAGGCGUAAGAUGGAAUGGACAAGUACCAAUCACGGAGGCUUGCUCCGGUGCACCCCUAACUCAAUUUCCUAGGGGUAUUCUUGACCCCGCCAUCUAUUUUUUCUCCGGCCCGCCGCUGCCCAUAUCCAAGCCCCGUAGCCCAUAUCCAAGCCCCGUAUAAUCCGUAUGACCCAUACGUAUGUAUACGGUGACAUCCCGAAAAAAAAUGAUGACACGACCCCACGACGGCCGAUCCAUCAACCACGCAGCUCAAUCAAUCACGCAGCUCCUGCAUCAUUCUGGUGAGUUUCUGUAGGAAUAUCGGCGGCAGCGAUCUUAUCGCCGGCGAUCUCGUCCGAGAGCGCGCGCGGCACCGUCGUCAACCUCCAGCGCUCGCAGGUACCGCAUCCCGUUUCCCCACGUUUGUCUCGCUCGCGGCAGCAUCAAACGAACUGCCGCUGUUUUCGUCGUAGUGGUUAACCUAGCGGGGCGGGCAACCUAGCUUUCUGGCGGUCCAGGCCAUCGCAGAUCUUGUUCUGGUAGUGCUGCUCGUCGUGAUAUACACAGUGAUCACGCGGGCUAAAGUGGGUUUCUUCUUUCUAGGGUUAACCUAGCGUCGGUUGCCGUCGGUUGUGUGCACGACGGCUCCGUUAUUUGAUGCGGCGGCUUACCUAGGUAUCCGGCGAUCCAAAAUAAUCACGACUGGUGCCGUGGGCUAGGAAUCCGGCGGUGCAUGUUAUCACGGGUAGCGCUGCUUCUCGUGAUCCAAAGUGAUCACGUACUGGAUUCGUGGGACGUACCUUAACGCCGCUUGGUGUGGAGAGGGGGGAGGAUCCAUGGCCGAUCAGAGGUCGUUGGUGUCGGUUGUGUGCACGAUCUGAACGCCCUUGGUUGGGGCGCUCUCCGGUUGGUGUAGUUUAUUUAACAUCCGUGAUCGUGCGCUAGGUGUUGUAUAUGUCAGCAUUGAUAAUGUUUGCACAUGUGAUGAUACAUAUUAAUUGUUGUAGGAAAUGGCGGAUGAUGAGUUAACUGAUAUGAUGUAUGACAUGGAGUUUGGAGAACUGAUGAAAGACUGGAUAGAAGAUUGGUCAGAUGAUGAAAAUUCAGAUCGUGGAGAUAGGUCAGAGAAUGGGAACGUAUUGGAAGAUCUUAAUGUGAGUGGCAUUAUCAUGUUGUAAUUUUUUGGUGGCAUCCGACAAUAUUAUAUUUUGAAAAUUUAUAGAUGGAUGAACAUGAUGAUGGUCAGGAAAACAAUGAGCAUGAUGAUGGUGAGGAAAACAACUCGGAGAUCUCGAACGAAGAUUACAUUAGUCAGGUAUGGAAGUGGAAUUUUUUGUUGGCAUGCAUGCAAAUUGAAUUAAUCCUGGAAUAUUAUAUGAUAAGUACUUAUGUAUUUGUGUUAUAUUUUUCAGCUCAUUUCCGAAUGUCAUAAUGCGUACGACUAUUACGGUGAAUCCGACGCGGAGACAGGCCUUGAUGUCGAACCAUUAGCUGCAUCUGAUUCUGGGGAGUCGCAAUCGUCGGUCAUCAUGAGUGAGGUAUGUAUGUAAUCAAUGUUGUAUGGAAGUAAUGUUAUACCAUAGAAAACUGUUUUCAUGGCUAUGUUAUGAUUGUGUAGGUGACAUAAGUUGAGGGGAAAAAGAAUGUCCAAGAUACUGCUAGUGCAGAUGAUAAGAGGGAUAUGUUCAUGCAGAUAAUACAAAUGACUUUUACGUCUCACGAGGCUGCGUAUGAUUUCUACAACAGCUAUGCUAGAGAUAAUGGUUUCAACAUUAGAAAGAAUAGGGUCAGGUAUAGCAAAACCGAGUCACGUCAUAUGCGUUAUAGGCGGUUUGUUUGUUCUAGACAAGGAAAACGUGACAACAGGUUGCUAACCGAGGAAGGACACAGCCGUAGGCUCAGACCCGAGACACGCUGCCACUGCGAAGCGCACCUGACCGUGAAGCUUGACCAAAAGCGUGGGGUUUGGUAUGUUGAUAGUUUUGAGGACAAGCAUAGCCAUAUCUUGGCAGGACCGGACAAGGUACCUUUUCUUUGGUCCCACAGAAAAAUCAAAGAGUACCAGAGAGCUGAGAUACUGUCCAUGGGAGCUGCAGGGAUUAGAAUUCACGACAUGAUGGAUACCUCCAUCAGCAAACAUGUAUGGUAUGGCGGUGUUGGUUUUACCAGGCGUGAAAUAUACAACCUUUGCGCUAGGGAGAAGAGGAAGCUGCUUUCAAAAGGUGAUGCUGCCACAGUCAUAGGCAUCAUGGUCAGUAGGAAACAGAGGGAUCCUAGCUUCUUUUUUGAGUACAAGCUAGACAAGGAAGGACAUAUGAAUAGGAUGUUCUGGUGUGACUCCCAGUCUCGUCAUGACUAUGAGGACUUCGGCGACGUGCUUGUAUUUGACAGCACGUACAAGAUGAACCGGUAUGGUAUGCCAUUCAUACCCUUUGUUGGUCUUAACAAUCACCGGAAGACCACUGUUUUUGCUUGUGCCAUAGUUUCGGACGAGACCGAAGAGACAUAUGUGUGGCUGCUGGAGACUUUUUUGAGGUCCAUGUGUCAAAAGAUGCCUAUGAGUGUUAUCACGGAUGCCGACGCUGCGAUGAUCAAGGCAAUUCGCCAAGUCUUGCCAGACGUGUGGCACCGUAUAUGUACGUGGCAUAUAGAAAAAAAAAUAUGAAGAUUCACCUCAGUCACAAGUCCUUGAAGGAGUUCCGAACUCUUCUGUACUACAGCACGUCCACGGCCACGUUUGAGGAGAGAUGGCACGCGUUUUCCAAAAGAUGGCAGUCGGAAAAAAUAGUAACAUGGUUGAGACGGAUGUAUAAGAAGAGGAGACUAUGGGCCGCGGCUUAUCUGACAGAGGGUUUUUGGCUUGGCAUGAAAAGCAACCAGAGGAGUGAAAGUCUAAACUCAUGCCUUCACCUCCACCUAGACGGUGAAAUGACCCUGGUGGAUAUGAUUUUGCACUAUGAGAACGCCGUUGUACGUAUCCGUGAGAAUGAGGCACGAGAUGAUUGCACGGCCUCACAGAGUUUACCGGUGCCAGUUACUAGCUCGAGGGAACUUGAGAUAGCCGCUUCUCACGUCUUCACUCCAACAAACUUCUAUAUGUUGCAAGCUGAUCUUAGGAAAAUUGGUGGCAUGGAGAUUGUAGAAAUAAAGCUCGGAGACGGAUCACAGCAGUACAUCGUGGCCUCGAAGAAUAACCGGAAGAGCCGUUUUUGGGUGGAGUACACUCCAGCGCAGAAACUAUAAGGUGCAGUUGCAGAAGAAUGAUUCGAAAGGGUCUACCUUGCAAGCACAUAUUCCAUGUACUGAAGUACUUGAAUAUAUCUGAAAUACCAAAGUGUUUAGUUCUUGUGCGGUUCACGAAAGACGCAAGGUUGGGACUGCCCGCCAGGCGCACAAGCGAUCUGUUGGGAUUUGGAUGGACUGGAGCAGCUGAAAGAAUGAAAUAUAGCCAGGUCAGUGUGUUGGCUUCAGAAGCUAUGCAUGCAGCAUGCAAACACCCAACUUUGUGGGAUCAGUUACAGGAGAGUUUGAAGGCCGUGAUAGCUAAGAGCCAUGAGUAUGAUCAGCUAAAGGAAAAUUUGAGUAAGAAAACGGCUGAUCUUAGUACUUGUGCAAUUGAAUAUGUAGAUGAUGGUGAAGGCAACAUAGUUGAAGUUCAUGAUCCUAUUAAAGUAUCAACGAAAGGUGCAACUAAGGUAGAUGAGAACCGCCCUAUGUCGAAAAAUGGUAGGCCACUUUCGUACGACGAGAUCAGAAUCAGGUGCGGCGCAUGCAAAUUGCUAGGGCACACUAAACGCAGCAAGAAAUGCAAACUAAAUAAGAAGUAAGUUUUUGUAUGCAUUGUAGGUUAUAAUUGUUUUUAACUUUUCAUUCAUUAACUUUUCCUGUUAUCGUGUGCAGAAGCGUGGUGGGCGAAGAAGAGUAGAACAGUUGCUAAAGUUAUGUUAGGAUGAAUCCAGUGAUCUAAUAGUGAGGUGUUUACAAUGUGUUACUGCAUACAUGAUACAUGAUAUAUACUAUUGCAAGAGGCCAGUACCUUGAGAUAGUGCUUGUAGCAUAUAUGGACUAAACAGGAGGCGGUCACUAGGGACUUUAAUCAUGGAAAAUGGAUAGCAUUUUAGCCAUUGUAAUGAUGGCAUCUUUUGUGUUGUCCACUGUAGUUAUAUUAUAUUAGAAAACUAGACGAUACCUGGCAUGUUGUUGCGGGAAUGUUUUGCAAUAUAUUCAUAGAGAAAUGGUUACGUGUAACAUGUAUAUGUUGUUGCGGGAAUAUUUUGUUUGCAUGUUGUGGUGGACCUUUCUCCAUACAUGUUGAAUGACGAGGUGGCAAACUUGCAUGUUAAGAGAAAUAGGUUAGUGGUGGCUAGUUGUUUAGAUAUAGAAGAUGUAAUUAUGUGUGGUAAUAAUUAAAAAAAAUUCACUCCUUUGGUUCACCACCAUUUAGAUAUAGAAGAUACCAGCUCACUUUGGUCUAUAGUAUAGACUUCGUACCAAAAACCCACCAUUUUCCCCUUAUAAAGAAAAGAAAAACCCACCAUUUUAUGGCUUGUAUUGUAACUCGGGCCGCUUGUCGCGAUGACGUGGAGGGGGGGUGACGGAUGCCGUAAGACGGCGCGACACAAGGCCGCUCCCAUUGCCGAGCCCAUUUAACAAUUUUUAUUUUGAUUACAGCCCGUUUAAAUGGGCCGCGCUGGCCACCUGGUCGGGGCGGUUCUUCCCUCGCGAUCUCCACGCGUGUUCUAUAUAUCCACUGCAACCGCCGCCGCCGCUGCCGCCACCGAUCCACGUCUUGCCGCCGGUUACGUUACGCCAUGGUUUCGUGGAGCGACGAGUCGAGCUCUUCUUCGGAUGGCGAAUCCAUGACUAGCCUGCAGGUACGCUCCUACUAUAUAAUCUCCAAAUAGUGCUAGGCUUAGGGUUAGAGUUCUUCAUUUCCGGUAUUUAACGCAGGGCGUUGAUUUGUGCAUUAUCUCUGUUGUUUCGUUUAGCUUCCUACGACUAUCCCUUGCUAUGAAUGGAGUGGCAUUGCUCACGAUUUGUCUUCUCGUUGUCUGCAUCGAGAACCUUGCGUCAGGCUAGUUGCUUUUGAUUCCUUGGACACUGGCAGACGUUUUCUUGCCUGUGGUCAGAAGGUAUGUUGUUCCGUACUGUAAAUAUAUGUUUAAAUUACCUCGUGCUUGAUUUACUUCGCGGUAAUCCAUUGUUCUGCCCAAAAUUGCAUACAUUUCAAUUAAUUUGUGCAUUUACAAAGUCCGUAUUUAUGUUGUUUUUUACGGUCUAAUAUUUGUUUUAGCACAUAAUAGCAUAUACUUGUAGUUAAUUGAUCCNNNNNNNNNNNNNNNNNNNNNNNNNNNNNNNNNNNNNNNNNNNNNNNNNNNNNNNNNNNNNNNNNNNNNNNNNNNNNNNNNNNNNNNNNNNNNNNNNNNNNNNNNNNNNNNNNNNNNNNNNNNNNNNNNNNNNNNNNNNNNNNNNNNNNNNNNNNNNNNNNNNNNNNNNNNNNNNNNNNNNNNNNNNNNNNNNNNNNNNUAUAUCAUUGCGUGCUACAUUUUGUGUUUAUAUGAUUGAGACCAUAUUUUUAGUGCAUUGCAUGUAAUUGUAUUGCAUUUGUGCAUAUAUGAUUGAGACCAUAUUUUUUCAUACUGUAGGAAGAAGUGAAAUGUAACUAUGUGGAAUGGAUAGACCCGGAGUGGUUAGUGGCUACGAAGUUCUGCCUGAGAGAACUGUGGAGCAUGUAUGACGAGAAGCUGAGACAGAAUAUUAAGAAUGCUGAAGAAAAAUGCAUGUUAAUUGGAGAAAAGAGGAGGACGGAGGAAGAGCUGAGAUUUUUCAAAAUGGACUUUGCUAAACUGGUGGCUGAUAAGGAGGAUGCUCUCACGCAGUUGGGCAAUGCAAGAUUGUCACUUAGCGAUCUCAAAGAGGAGCUGGAGAAGAAUAAGAUGGCAGAUCAUGGUUGUGCCAAUCUACAUCAGGUCCUGAGGGUAAAGGCUGAGAAAGACCGGGACCGGGUGGUGCUAGAGAGAGACCAAGUGAUGAGAGAGAGGGACCAGCUGAAGCAAGAGAAGAAAAAACUUGAGUAUAUUAUUGCAGAUUUUCUCAAACAGAAACAUGGGUACGUUGAUAAGAUCAAGAAGCUGAAGGAGAUUUGUGAUGAAUUUUAAGUAUGUUUUGUGGUUUAUUGUUGAACAGAAUGAUCAAGUCCUAUCUGCAUUGUGGCCAGUUCAUUUGUGUAAGGUCUAAGUAUAUUAUAUUAACCAAUAAAUUAUAUCACUUUCGAAAUAGUUUGCCCUUGUUUGACCUGCAUCCUAAUGCGGGUUCUUGGCUAAGCACUGAAAUUAUUUUGCUUCCACCGGAGCUCUAAAUCGUACUGAUCAAGGGGGCGAAAUAGUAGUUGAUCAUGUGAUUGAUGGUGCUACUGAUCCUGAUCUUCAUGAUGCAGAAAAGGAAAAGGCUAACAAAAAUGCAGCAAAAAAACUGUGCAACGAGAUUUGAAGCAACACAUAACGCCAAGGCAGUCUGGCGCAAGACACGAGGAAGAUCCACCUGUGGACGCUGAUCCCGAGAGAUCCAGCGGCAAUCAUGCUCUCGGGAUCCCAGGCGGAUCUGCCUACUCCACCAACCGCAGGAUCCACGGGUGGCCCGUCUGCGUCCGACACGCGGGCUGUCUCCACCGAGCGGUCGGGCGGGACCGGACCUGGCGCGUCCCCCCGCGCCAACUGGCGCUCGUCGACUGGGUCGCCCGCGCUGGGACCGGAUCUGUCGUUGUCUCGGGCGCGGGAUCCCACACCGGAUGGCACGACAGCCGAGGUUGAUUCUCAGGCAAACAAAAAGGAAUUUAUCAACUUUUUUUCUUAUUGUUGAAUAAUGCCAAAUCAAAUCAAAAAAAUAUGCAAAAGUAAAAAGGAAAUGAAUUACUCUUCCAUGGAAGAAAAGAAUGAACACAACAGCAAAAAACAUUAAGGUAGAGCAAAUGAAGGGAAGCAAAAAUUUAUUGGUACGAAACGUAUAGUCUGACUGCAUUACACAUACACAAGUAUGUGUGAGCGACCAAAAAUCCACACAAAAUCCAUGGUAUCGUGCUUAUUACAUGAAUGAUAGAAAAUCAAAGUUGUCCAUGCCGGGAAACGUGCUUCCGGACUUAAAACAAACGACUGAAACUAGAAUCUUGAAUCAUGUAUGAUGUCUUCACGCCUUGCUUUUCUUUGCGAUGUCGCGGAUUUUGUUCUUCACACAUUCGAGCGUGUUGGUAGGUGAGAGAACCAACUCGGCGAUGAGACGCCUUCUCCUUGCAUUAACCGUGCCCUGCAAUUUUUAGAACAAGGUUUAAUGAAUAGAAGUUGGUAUUAUACGAUAAUUGUACAAGUGUACGAGCAGAGAGGAGAAAUUACCUGGGUAAAAUCGGCGGUCCAUCGAUCCCCGUCCCAAUGCUCCAUAACUUCAAUCACAAAAAGGCCACAAGAGUUCCUAAUAUAUAUGCAAACAUUAGUCACCGUGCACACGAACAUGUCUUUCGUAAGUAGAAAAUGAUGAACCAUAACUCACCCGUCCUCUUGUAGUGGCAUGUCGAUCUGAGGUAUGAUAGGCCACUUAGUGACGUCUGGAUAUUUGCCAGGUGUAAUACGGUUUGCCUCUUCCAUAUCAAUUGCUAUUGCUAGUCGCUAUUUUAAAGAAAGUAGUAGUGAGAAACCUAUGACAUUUCAUAUGAAGAAUGCUCAAUGUCGGGGAGAGUACCAGUGCUUUCACAGUGUCGAGAGAGAACUCGAGAGGAUAGAGCGAAUCAAAAACUCGGAAUUCUUUCUUGCGGUUGUGCAUCACCACGGUGAUCCAAUGUGUAUUGCCGACGUUCAACGGGAUAAACGACUGAAAUGUGGAACACAUUUGUAAUCAGAUGCAAUUAUGCUUGUUGAAAUGAGUGUUAAUGAACUAGUAAAACAUAUCGUACCUUAUCACGGACGGUAUACUCGUGCAGAACCCUACGUACUGCUCCAGCUCUGCUCAGCGCACUAUCCAUGUUGUAUUUCGACGGUUUAGGGUUGUCUCGUGCCUUAGCACGAUCAACAAGGUAUUUGGACCUCCAGGCUGGACAGAGGUGCCGAUCAUGACCAACGCGCAGAGCCAAAUGUGUCUGAUAAGCAUCGAUAAUCUGCGUAAAAUAAUAGAACAUUUUAUUUUCAUAGGUGACACCUAGAUUAUGCACUUAAAUAGCAGGACAUGGUAAUAGAUCUUACGUCAUCCGCCAGCCAUGUAUGCUCAAGUACCGGUCGUAUACUCUCCACAGUCACAGAGGUGCCACGUUCAUUGUAGUAAACUCUUUUUGUCAUAUUCUUCUCAGACCGAGCAGCUGCCUCCACAAACGCAACAGCAGCAUCGAUGAGUUCCGGUGUCAAAUCGUCCUUAACAGAGCCUUCCAUGUCAUUGUCACUAAACAGAGCUGCAUGAUAAAUUACGAACGUCACGAACGGUGAGUACAUGAAAUGGUAGUAAAUUAAGCACUAAGAUAGCUACUAACGGUACCUCUAGUUGCGGUAGUGUUGCCGGAUGGCUUAGUACCACGAGCGCUUCGCUUGCCGGGCUUGUCAAGUUUAAAGGGGGAUUCAAAUUUCUUGGGAACAGUCCGUCGGCGCUUCCCGGAUAUAACAUCGUCUUCUUUUGCGGUUGCUGCAGACUUUUUCCCCUUGGUCUUACCCACCAUCCUGUCGAUAGAACUUGUAGAAAUGUCAAUGUCGGACAAUUCUGCUCGAGGAGAAUUACCUACAAUCCAAGGGUUCUCCGGUGUUGCGCCGCACUCAUCAGUAGGUUUUGUUGUCUUGUCAACAUUUAACUUGGCAGGUGUUUUCUAGUUAACAAAAAAAAUAAUGUGAUAGGUUCAGUUAACGAAAAUGAAGAUGCAUAAUUGAGAUAAAUGAAGACAAAUAAAUGAAAACAUACUUCCUCAUCAUCGUUGUUCUGGUUUACAACAGGCUCGUCAGGCUGUGUCAAAUCAAUCACCGGCUCUAGACCGUCAGAGUCAUCCUUGUACACGAAUUCUUUUUUUUCUGGCGGACCAUUCUCAAAGGAAUCCACUUCUAGGUCGGCAUCGUUGUUGCCGGAAGCCGCAGCAGCCGCUGGCUUGUACAUCACACCAUUUUGGUUCAACUUCUCUAACAAUCUCUGCAUUACAUAAAAAAUAUUAAUUAAUGUCGGCACGGUUUUGCAACUUCAAAAAUGUUGUAAACAUAGAAUUAAGGCUGUGUCACCUCGGCUACUUGUUCUGGUAUCUCCUUCAUUUGGCUGCGUAUGUAAUCCAUACACCGCUUCAUGAUGAGGUUCAUCAUCUCGUCCGCGUUUGAGGCUAACUUGGACUUCUUUGCCGCACCAACGGCGGGCUUCAUUUUUGGCUUUUCUGGUUCGGGUACUUUGCGCUCCUGCGCCCUAUACUCCUUGGUUAUGUUGUCUUCAAUCUGCAUGUGAAAUACAAGUAUAUGUGAUCAAUAAAAAUAUUAAUACAACUAAUUAUGUUAUAUAAAAGUUAAGAAGUACCCAACGUAAUGAAUUACCUUGAUGUUACCACGGCCACGGCCUUGGUCAUAAUCAAACUUGUCUCUCCUUGAGGCUGCAGCUUCAGUCCAAUUCCUCAUUAGAGGUUCCAUGGACAAGCUAGGAUUGAAUGCGCAUUCACCUUCCAGAGGCUGAACCUUCUCCCAGUACAGGUACUGCAUGAAUAUGAAAAAUUACAAUUAGUACUAUACAGCAGGUAAAUUAGCAAUCAUAUUUUUUUUUUUGCAAUGGUACAAGUCUGAAAGGUGUACCUGCAGGAGAGCUAAGUUCCCUCUCGGCCAUUGGCGGAGGUGUUUGCCUUUCCUCACGUUGCGAAGGCAGUCCAGCAGAACUGGGAGGGUGAAUGCAUUCCAAUUAAUCUUGGAUAUACGCUUCACAUCGUCCACCAAUGCGUAAUAUUGCUUUGGUAUAGUCUUGCUCGACAUGGGAGCAAGAACUGUUCCAAGCAACACGAGGACAACUCUCCGAAGGAAAUAGUCGUCGGCAGAUUUAUUUUUUGUGAUGUCCACAAUCAGAUCAUCGAUGACUAUGUUACCUGUGGUCUUGCUCAGGAAUUGAGGCGGCACUCGAUCUUUAACAUCCUCACCUUCCUCACCGAGAAUACCUUCUGCCGACAGUCCGUGGUUCUCUAAGGCCAAGAUGCACUCCACAUCCACGGCACCGAGAGACACUUCGCCAACCAAGUCUUGUACAAUGAAUCUGCCCUUGCUAGGAUCAAAUAUCUCAACCAUGUACCGGAUCAACAGUGUAUGCAUCUUCAGCGAAGGUAUCUGAAGCAUGCUACGGAGUGGUGUUUCGGCAAGUGCGGCCCGUUGACCGGAAGAUAUACCGGCAAUAAGUUUGCACCAUUUUUCUACAGCGCAAACAAUUUCUCCGUUGAGUUCAUCCAUCCUGUUAAAAAAUAUACUUGGUUAUAGUACCAUAAAUUAUGUAAUCAACUUUUUUCCUAACAUAUUGUUGCAUAAAACAUAAUAAUGGAAUACACUAUCCCAUAGUAGAUAGAAAACUAUACAACAUAAUUUAUUCAUACUGAAACAUUCAGCAGAGACACGUGCAGCACAUAAAAUGACAGUUUAACAAGUACUUAUUUAACCAAUUAGUUUCAUAAUAAAAAGCAAUCGGUACUGGAACAUGCAUCGGUGACAGGAUGGAUGGAUUAAAAAACAAUAAUUUAUCUAAUAAUUUAUUUUCAUAUGGUACUGUACAAAUAGAUAUAAGAAUCGGUGACAGUGCCUAAUUAACAGUAAAUUGAAAAGAAAAAAACGAAAUUAUGCAUACUGGAACAUGCAUCAAACAAACGUGCAUCACAUACAAUAUUAGUCGGCGUCUCAUAGUUGCAACAUGCAUGUCUUAGGGCAUUGCUAUAACUUAAAGUGACUAUGCUAUAACUAACACUGAUAAAAAAAAUUGUUGUUUAUUCAUAAAUCCAACCUACAAGUGAAAGACAACAAACAACAUGCAGAAACUAAUUUGCAAUCGUAGGGCUAUCUAAUCAAACACACGCACAAACAAAUCUAGUGUCAUAGGCCUAUCUAAUCUAAUACACGCACAAACAAAAAACAUCUACUCCAACAGAUGUAAUGCGAAGAUUAUGCGCUAAUUAAUCUUAGUCCUAUCGAAUCUAACACACGCACAAAGAAAAGCAUCAUGGAUGCGGUACGGUUGCCAACAUACUGGAUCGCUCGAUGAAGAUGGAAGUUCUCGGCGUUGUAAUGUGGACGCAGUUCGUCCACGACGGCAAGCACGCGCUGACGACCUGGAUGUUCUCGACGAUCUUGCUGGGGUUGGGCCGAUGCUAGGGACGCAGCUGUCGUGGACUCGGCGGUAGGAGCCGUCGUAGACGACAUGAAAGACGAUGCCGAGACUAAAUAGGAGGAGGAGGAUCUCCUAGGUCGUCGUAACCACCAGGGAUAGAACGCCCGUGAUCUUUGCCUUCCUUAGUUGAGGAGAGGCAGUACGUGCUCCUAAAUUAAAGGGAUAGGCUUCCCACGCUCGAGUUUUUUUGUAGAUUCCGAUCCGGGAAUUGUGUAACAAAUCGCAGCUGCUCCUCUCUUUGAGCGAUGAGGGGCUCGUUUCAUGUACUUUUUUCUUUUCUUUUUCAUAUUAGAAAAUUUUGAUAUCAAAUAAUUAUUUCAACUCAACCAAAGGGCCCCAAAAAAAUUUCACACAAUGGGAUGACCAUGGACAUCAUGCAUGCCAAUUCUCAUCGAUUUCCGACACUCGAUGCAUUUACUAGGAUUUUGCCGGCGAAAAGAACCCGAAACGUUGCCCGGACAUGACGCAACGUUCGUUCGGUGUCAGGAAUGGCUCACAUGUUGCAUGGGGGCCUACAUUGGGCAUCCUCACAUGGUGCCAAAGUUUGGUGUCAUUUCAUGCAGGCCAGCACAUAGCACAUGUGCAAUCACCAUCAUUCGGGUCUGCCGUAGGGGGAGCCCGAAGGACGUUGUUUUUCUGGACUCUACCAAAUGGCCCCAAAAAAAUUUCACGCAAUGGGAUGACCAUGGACAUCAUGCANNNNNNNNNNACAAACAACAUGCAGAAACUAAUUUGCAAUCGUAGGGCUAUCUAAUCAAAUACACGCACAAACAAAUCUAGUGUCAUAGGCCUAUCUAAUCUAAUACACGCACAAACAAAAAACAUCUACUCCAACAGAUGUAAUGCGAAGAUUAUGCGCUAAUUAAUCUUAGUCCUAUCGAAUCUAACACACGCACAAAGAAAAGCAUCAUGGAUGCGGUACGGUUGCCAACAUACUGGAUCGCUCGAUGAAGAUGGAAGUUGUCGGCGUUGUAACGUGGACGCAGUUCGUCCACGACGGCCAGCACGCGCUGACGACCUGGAUGUUCUCGACGAUCUUGCUGGGGUUGGGCCGAUGCUAGGGACGCAGCUGUCGUCGACUCGGCGGUAGGAGCCGUCGUAGACGACAUGAAAGACGAUGCCGAGACUAAAUAGGAGGAGGAGGAUCUCCUAGGUCGUCGUAACCACCAGGGAAAGAAUGCCCGUGAUCUUUGCCUUCCUUAGUUGAGGAGAGGCUGUACGUGCUCCUAAAUUAAAGGGAUAGGCUUCCCACGCUCGAGUUUUUUUUGUAGCUGCUCCUCUCUUUGAGCGAUGAGGGGCUCGUUUCAUGUAUUUUUUUCUUUUCUUUUUCAUAUUAGAAAAUUUUGAUAUCAAAUAAUUAUUUCAACUCAACCAAAUGGCCCCAAUUUUUUUUCACGCAAUGGGAUGACCAUGGACAUCAUGCAUGCCAAUUCUCAUCGAUUUCCGACACUCGAUGCAUUUACUAGGAUUUUGCCGGCGAAAAGAACCCGAAACGCUGCCCGGACGUGACGCAAUGUUCGUUCGGUGUCAGGAAUGGCUCAGAUGUUGCAUGGGGGCCUACAUUGGUCAUCCUCACAUGGUGCCAAAGUUUGGUGUCAUUUCAUGCAGGCCAGCACAUAGCACAUGUGCAAUCACCAUCAUUCGGGUCUGCCGUAGGGGGAGCCCGAAGGACGUUGUUUUUCUGGACUCAACCAAAUGCCCCCAAUUUUUUUUCACACAACGGGAUGACCAUGGACAUCAUGCAUGCCAAUNNNNNNNNNNNNNNNNNNNNNNNNNUGGGGGCCUACAUUGGGCAUCCUCACAUGGUGCCAAAGUUUGGUGUCAUUUCAUGCAGGCCAGCACAUAGCACAUGUGCAAUCACCAUCAUUCGGGUCUGCCGUAGGGGGACCCCGAAGGACGUUGUUUUUCUGGACUCAACCAAAUGGCCCCAAUUUUUUCACACAACGGGAUGACCAUGGACAUCAUGCAUGCCAAUUCUCAUCGAUUUCCGACACUCGAUGCAUUUACUAGGAUUUUAAAAAACAAUUCAAAUGUAAAAAAGAUAAGAUCUAUUAGAACGAAGAGGUGAAAUAAAAGAUAACAUAUUAUCUUACAUUUUGAAAAUAUUUCAAAUAUAAAGAAGAGAGCAAAUAUUAGAAUGAAGAAGUGAAAUAAAACAGAACAUUUUAUUUUACAAACUAAAAACAUUUCAAAUAUAAUAAAGAUAAGAAAUAUUAGAAUGAAGAAUUGAAAUAAAACACACCAUUUUAGUUUAUAUUUCGUAAAUAUUAUCAAUAUAAAAACGAGAACGAACAAAUGAAAUAAAACACAACAAAAUUUGGCAUAUUUUUUUAAUUUUAGUAAACACUGUUAGAAAUAAUAUAGAAAAAAGAGAUUUGAUUUUAAAUAUUAGAAAUAUAAACAAGAAAAUAAAUUUUGGAGUUAAGAAGUGAAAAACAAAGAGAAUAUAAAACAGAUCAGUGCGCGGGUAAGGCUGCCCUGGGCCAGCCCGCCCGAAUUGGGCCCAAGGCAGAGCCGCGCAAGGCACAGCGCAGCNNNNNNNNNNAAACGCUGCCCGGACGUGACACAAUGUUCGUUCGGUGUCAGGAAUGGCUCAGAUGUUGCAUGGGGGCCUACAUUGGGCAUCCUCACAUGGUGCCAAAGUUUGGUGUCAUUUCAUGCAGGCCAGCACAUAGCACAUGUGCAAUCACCAUCAUUCGGGUCUGCCGUAUGGGGAGCCCGAAGGACGUUGUUUUUCUGGACUCAACCAAAUGGCCCCAAUUUUUUUCACACAACGGGAUGACCAUGGACAUCAUGCCUGCCAAUUCUCAUCGAUUUCCGACACUCAAUGCAUUUACUAGGAUUUUAAAAAACAAUUCAAAUGUAAAAAAGAUAAGAUCUAUUAGAAUGAAGAAGUGAAAUAAAAGAUAACAUAUUAUCUUACAUUUUGAAUAUAUUUCAAAUAUAAAGAAGAGAGCAAAUAUUAGAAUGAAGAAGUGAAAUAAAACAGAACAUUUUAUUUUACAAACUAAAAACAUUUCAAAUAUAAUAAAGAUAAGAAAUAUUAGAAUGAAGAAUUGAAAUAAAACACACCAUUUUAGUUUAUAUUUCGUAAAUAUUAUCAAUAUAAAAACGAGAACGAACAAAUGAAAUAAAACACAACAAAAUUUGGCAUAUUUUUUUAAUUUUAGUAAACACUGUUAGAAAUAAUAUAGAAAAAAGAGAUUUGAUUUUAAAUAUUAGAAAUAUAAACAAGAAAAUAAAUUUUGGAGUUAAGAAGUGAAAAACAAAGAGAAUAUAAAACAGAUCAGUGCGCGGGUAAGGCUGCCCUGGGCCAGCCCGCCCGAAUUGGGCCCAAGGCAGAGCCGCGCAAGGCACAGCGCAGCGCACAGCCGUGGGGUGGUGGGAGUUUAGUCCCACCUCGCCAAGCGAGAGAACGCUGCACCAGUUUAUAUACCCGGCUGCGACUCCCCUCCCAAGCUCCUAUCAUAUGCAGGCAGUACAUUGCCUAACUCUCGGCCCCUCUGCCCCGUGGGGCCUACUAGCAGCAGAGAUAUUCUGCACCACGGGCCUGCAUCCUGGCCCAUGAACGGCUGGGUUCCUAGUCGUAUGCAGGCCGUGGUGUAUGAAUUCUCCUACUCUGGUAGGUGGGCACUUUUUUUUGGCAUAUUGCCAUGUGUUUUGAUCUUCAAAUCACACACUAAAUUAUACACAUGCUCACUUGCAUUCAAUACACAUUUUUUGCAUAUAUGACAAGUUAAUGUUUUGACCUUCAAAUCACCUAAUAAAUUUUACACAUGCUCACUUACAUGUAAUACACAUGGCUAUUAAUGGGAUUUCAACAAAAAUGAGGCCGUGGUGUAUGAAUUCUGCUCCCACAUGCAUGCCAUGGUCAUGGUAGGGUGUGCAUAAAGUUUGGGAUCAUUUGGUGGGACCGGCAAGGAAAACCUCUUUCAAACUUGCCCUCCGGCAAACCUGAAUGGUCCGGCUUGUACAUGGUUCAUGUGGAGGCAUGCAUGAGAUGACCCCAACUUUUUCGGAGCAUGUGGGCAUGGCCAAUGUGGUCCCCCAGGCAAGGUGUGCACGAAUUCGGACACAAUACACACGUUGCGUCAUGUCGGGGCACUGUUCUAGGGUUUUAUCGCUAACCUUGCAGGGUUAAGCUAUGUAUUUGAAUCUAGAACCAAAUUAACGCAACCUUAGAGUUGAAGAACUGCCUGAUCCAUAUAUCAUUAAUAAUGCUCUAUUUCCACUUCAAGCCAGCAUAAACCUAUAUAACCAAAAGCCAGCAUGGCCUGCAGUCUGCCUAACCCAUCAUCCUAGGCUUACAAAGUUCAUGAGCACCGCAAAAUAACAGCAACAACUACUAAAACAUCGCAACAAAGUAAAGGCCACAUCUUCAGCAGGAAGUAGAGUCUUCUUUUUUAUCCUUCCAGUCUUGCCACGUUGAUUCUCCACCCCUGCUUCGCUGUGUACACUUCACUUGCUACUCGCUCUAGCAGUCUUGCUCCCACCUCCAGCACCUUUUUUGUGGCUCCUUUGUCUGCAAAAUAGAUCAAUCAACAAUCCUAUUAGGGGCUACAUUUUUCAUGCAGAGAAAUAACUAUAGUUUUCCCAAUACCGCAGUACUAAAAUCACAUUUAUUAGGGGCAACCAAACAGCUCACUGUAAAUAAAACUAACAUAAUCUCAAAUACUGAAGUAUUCUCAAAGAACUUAGAACAUAGUAUGCUAUCAAAUGGGUCCAAACUGACUCACACAGAUAGACUAACUGAAGACACUGACAUGCCAUCACUCUGUUUUCUUGUCCUUCAACUUGCUGAUGCGCUCUGAGUGACGAAUGCCCAUACGGAUGUAGGUCUCCGCUUCAAUCGGCAUGGUCCUAUCUCCGAGCUACGGGAUCCCUGGACCCACAAUCUGCACGUCCGCCGGCUGCUCCUGGACAACAUCCUCCUCCUCCUCCUCUCCAGCACUGUCGUCCAGCAGCAGAACAACCUCCUCUUCCCCGCUCUCAUCCUUGCUCUGCUCCACAUCUUCGCUAUCACUCUCAUCCUCGCUAUGCCCCACAUCUUCACUAUCACUGUCAUCCUUUCUUUGCUCCACAUCACUGUCAGAGUGAACAUUGGACUGAUCAACCGGGGCAGGCACCGCGAGCAACACUCCGACAAGAUCUGGCACUGGAAUAGGAGGGGCGCGGCGGCGGGAGCGGUACAUGUACCACCUCGCACGCUGACGCGGAUCCGGGGAGUUCUCCGCUUCGUUCAUAGCCCAGAGGAAAACCUGGACUGGAACAACUCCUCGAGCAGGACCAAACAACGAUUUCUUCUCAUUGCCCGUAAGCACUUUGAUGAGACCCCUACCGUGGUCGAUGAACAUCUGCAAGCUGGGAAACCAGCUACAGAUCUCCUCCACAUUCACCCUCUUCUCCAGAUCGCCCUGACAGAACUUCCCAACUGCCUCCUCCCACAUUUCUUGAGCGCGGCGGCAAUCACUUGCCGACCGCGACCUCCUUCCCUUCUUGUCCCCCAUCGCCGGCGGCGCCAGAUGUGAGAUUUGAGCACACGGAGUGAAUGGGGAACAGAAGCAAAGACCUAGGGUUCGUAUCUGCCAGAUGAAAUGGGGAAUUUUUCCCCUCUCCAGCUGAUAACCGCGUGUGAGGCCGGCCUGGAACGGCCCACCCAAAUUAGGCCCAAAUCAAAGCCGCGGCAGGCACUGUCUCGGGGUGGUGGGAGUUUAGUCCCACCUCGCCAACGGAGAGGAGCUCGCACCGGUUUAUAAACCCACCUGAGCUAAUCAUCUCAAGUUCCUAUCUAAAGCAGGCAGCUCAUUGCCUAACCAGUCUCUCUCUGCCCUGUUGGGCCUACCGGCAACUUAUAUACAUUCACCGCGGGCUUGCAUCCUGGCCCAAUGGGUUACUAGUCGUAUGCAGGCCAUGGGGUUUCAUAUAAAUGCUGUUGGUCGGCUGGCAUUUUUUAUUAUUUAUUUAAUUUUUUGCAUAUGUCACAUGUCAAAUUUUGCAAACAAGUUUGAAUCAUUAAAUUUUCAAAUUAUAAAUUAAAUUUAAAAUUUAAAAAUAUUAAAAAUAUUUGGACCUAACAUUUCCACCAUGUGAGGAUACCCAAAGUAAAUUUUUAAAUUUGUAUUCAAUUUUUUGCAUAUGUCAAAUGUCUAAUUUUGCACACAAGUUUGAAACAAAAUAUGUCCUCUAGACUGACUGGUCAAAACAUCGGUCUAUACCUCAAGGGGGCAUUGUAAAGUAUUAUUUUUCCAAAAAAAAAUUCAUAGCCAUGUUUGGCACAUGUGGGUCACCAUGUACAAGAAAAUUUGGGUGAUUUGGAGGUGGUGGAAAAAAUCACGUAUGUUAAAAAACUGGCUUAAGUUAGACCAAAUGGUCCCUCCGGAUCGAUGUUGGGUUGGUUUACAUGUACAUGUACAGGGACCGGAAAUGCGCGUGUCAGAGAUCGUACUUGCGUGUACAUGUACUAAUGAUCCCAAACUUUCUUCAUGGCAUCCCAUGACUCCAUAGAGNNNNNNNNNNNNNNNNNNNNNNNNNNNNNNNNNNNNNNNNNNNNNNNNNNNNNNNNNNNNNNNNNNNNNNNNNNNNNNNNNNNNNNNNNNNNNNNNNNNNNNNNNNNNNNNNNNNNNNNNNNNNNNNNNNNNNNNNNNNNNNNNNNNNNNNNNNNNNNNNNNNNNNNNNNNNNNNNNNNNNNNNNNNNNNNNNNNNNNNNNNNNNNNNNNNNNNNNNNNNNNNNNNNNNNNNNNNNNNNNNNNNNNNNNNNNNNNNNNNNNNNNNNNNNNNNNNNNNNNNNNNNNNNNNNNNNNNNNNNNNNNNNNNNNGGGGGGGGGGGGUUAGGGUUCAGGGUACAUGCCACAUUGUUCACAUUGUCCAAUUAACACUUUGUAUAGAUUUUUUGGGUAAAAAAUGAACGAAAUAAUGCAACUAAUCUGAACGUAACGUUUGGCAUGUAUCAAACCAAGUAGCCACUAUUCCUAAAAAAACCAGUUAGCCACUAAUUUGGCAUGCAUCGAAGCGCAUUACUUCAAAAUAACUAUUAACCCUACAAUCACGGAUAUAUACCUUCCCAUUCUACCGCAUAUCAACCCUAUCCUAACCACCCCCAUCUACCUUGUUUCUCCUCACAUAGCCAUCGUCGGGAUCGCGCCAUCGCUUCUCAAGCGACCACGCCGAUGCCGGAUUAAAAAGGUCUCCUCCACGGCUCCUCCCAUCUUCGAUUGCAGUGCUGAUUAUUUUUUCCAUUGAUUCGACCAAGAAGUCAUUUCCGAAGAGAUUAGAAAAUACAGCCUUUGCCAUAGUUGAGUAGUUCUGGUGUAAUUGGAGUACAGGAUGUCAUGCAAGAGCUUUUUGAUUGAUAGUUUGUAGUAGUUGUUCGUACGAACUGGUUAUGAAUAUAUUUUCUCGGUGGUAUUGUUAGGAAUUAGUUGGAUGAGGUUGUGGAUACAGUUUUCAUACUAUGGGUAUAUGUGUUGUUGUAGGGACCAUGGUCUCAGAGGCGCAUAACAACCGUGCGGAGUACGACAAGUCUUUGCAUGAAGCGCGCCGGGAGAUUGAUUUGAAGGUGCAAAAGGAUCGCGCUGAGGUAGAUAAGAAACUCAAAAAAGAACGUUCAUACAUGGACAGGAUGAUAAAGGAGGAGCGUGAGGAGUUUUCCCGUAAGAUGGCGAAGAUGCGUCUUGAGAUUGCAGAAAAGUAUAAGUGGGACUGUGAGGACAUGGAAAAAAAGUUUUUCCUUGGCUACAAGGAAAUGCAUCAAACGUUGCAGAAGGACCGGAAGCUUGUGGAUAGUAUUAUACAGACAGAGCGAGUCAGGAUGGAUGCCUAUGUGUUGCAGGCACGUUCGGAUAUGGACAGCAAGCUGCUACAGGAGCGGUGGGACAUGGAUUAUAAGGCCAUGCUGGAGAAGGUCCGUUUGGAAGGACAUAUGUUAGAAGCCCGUGCGAUCUCACGGCCACCCCGACAACAUGUCUUCAAUUUUUCUCCCCCUGUAAGUAUCUCGCACCGAUUGUAUAUAUGAAGGACCUACGUAUUCUAUGAUACAAACAUCUUCAAUUUGUGCCAACCUUAUGUCGGCGAUUGUAUGUAGGCUAAGCAUCAUGAGACGGCACAAUCGCCAUCCACUCGAGACAUUGCGAUAGAGUCACCCGUUCAAUGCCACAUCACUCCACCCCAACAACAUAUCUUCAAUUCUCCCCUUGUGAGUACCUCGCAACGAUGCCAUACCCAAGAUAUGGUAUGACCUUUUAAAAUUUGUGUGUAAACCCACUGUCGACGUUUCAUACACAGGAUAAGAAACCUGUGAUGGCAGAGUCCCCAGUCACACCACAUGAAGGAUACAUUCCACAUAACAAGGUGAGAAGGUUUGAGAUGGCACAAUCCACAGUCACUCCACAUGAAGGAUGUCGUGGAAUUGUCACGGCAGAUGUCCUCGAGCUAGGACUUAGUCGUGGAGCCAUCGCAGCUAGGAAGCUUGAAGGGGUUAAUGCGGGACAAGGAACACGAGGGUUUAUACUGGUUCGGCCCCUUACGGUGAAGGUAAAAGCCUACGUCCAGUUUGAGGAGGUAUUGAUUAGGGUUACGAUCACCGGGGAGCUAAACUGCUAUGCCCGGCUCUGGAUGAGAUUGUCGUCGCCCCUAAACCGCUGUCGGGUCAUCCCUUUAUAUAGGGAGGCUGACGCCCAGCAGCCCUUAGAGUCCCGGCCGGCUUAUAAGAGUAUCCGGCUCGGACUCUAAACUAUACUUGCCUUACGCUACAAGUUCUACUGUAAUAAUGAUUAUAACUACGGGCCUUAAGCCAUAUCCGGGUCUCAGCCCAUCUCUGGCCCAUCGUCUUGAAACUUGGCUCCAGGCUUCUGGCAACGAUCGUAUGAGUAACCCGGCCCCUCCUGGCGGGUGACUCUAAGGUCUAUAUCCUCAACAUUAGGCCCCAGAUUGAUUUGAGCCGGCUCAUGUCAAUCUUCGACUCUUCUGACAGAAAAAAAUCUCCGGCUUAUCAUUCAUGUGAAGGCCAUAACCCGGAGUGACGUCAUCCUCUAGACUCCGGAUAAUCCGCCGUGACGUCAUUCUCCAUUAAGUCCAUUUUUUACUCCGCCAGAUCCGCAACGGAUCUUUGCUUUACUGUCAUUCCGAAAAUCGAGGCGUCGUGGGGGGGAGAUAAUCACGCCACGGUCUCCUUGAAUCUCGCGCCCACUUAUGACCUCGCCUUAUAAAUAGGCCGGCCCAACAGGUCCUUCUCACGCCUCUUCUUCCUCCUCGCGCCGUCGCUCCUCUGACAGAGCUCUGCCACUGCCGCCGCCGUCGCGCCCCUGGUCUUCAUCAACCCGGCCGCUGCAUCACCCUGACUCGGACCAGAUAACGGCGGCGACCUCCGCUCUUCUCCAACUCCGGUGAGUCUCCUUUGCCCUGUCAGAUGGAUCUACCGUAGAGUUCGUCGGUGUUCUUCGCGUUCAUCGCCAUUGCCACAAACCUCAGUAGUUCUCAUAGCCACUGUACUUAAUCGAUCUUUAACCUUGCAUAGAGUUAGUGCGGUAGCUGUUUAAGCCUCAUUUCAAGUACUAGUAGAUCUCCUUCCACUGUAUAGAUGUCUCAUUCGAGCUCAAGAACUUCCCUGCGUCCGUAUUUUAGGUCUAGAAAACUUUCUUUGCUCCGACCAUUUUGAUCCGAAAAAGUUACAGCAGUAUGCGAAAACCUGUUUUACCACACUUAGUAAAAACUGCAACAAUUGAAACUUGGCGGCUUACAUCUCCGGGUUAAAGAAAACAUGUGCCAUAGAACUUUCCGGUUUAAAGAGAACUAUGCUCUGUAGAAUCCUCCGGCUUAACUGUAGUGAAACCGUAGAUAACCAAUUUACUCCGAACCCCCCUGCGGCUUAAAUAACCCACUGUAUCUGAGAAUAUAUCAUUAGUCCCCUUCAUAAGCCGCCAUCUUAGUUUGAACAAUAGAUCUCCGGCUUAUAAUUAACCCGGACACUUUACUCUUUAUCAUAGACCACCAACUUUCACCAUGCCUCCCAAGGCUCCCAUCACUUGCAACUGGAUGAGGUCCAACGUCACCGACGAGACCCUGGCCAAUUUCGUUAAGUCCGGAUAUUUACCUAAGAAGGAAAUCAUGUCCUACCGUGCCCCUGACCCGUCGGAAGAGAGACCACAGCCAAGGGACGGGGAGGUAGUGAUCUUUGCAGACCAUAUGAGCCGGGGCUUCGCACCGCCCGGCUCAAAGUUUUUCAGGGACGUGCUCAACUUCUUUGACCUACGGCCUCAGGAUAUAGGACCCAACUCCCUAUCCAACAUUUGCAACUUCCAAGUCUUUUGCAAAGUGUACCUUGGAGAAGAGCCCAGUUUGCUGCUUUUCAGAGAGCUGUUCUACUUAAACCGCCAAAAUGAGUGUGCCAACGGGCCAAGUCUAGAGUUAGGCGGCAUCUCCAUCCAGCGGCGUAGGGACUAUCUGUUCCCUUACGCAGAGCCGCCGAGCCACCCUAAGGACUGGAAUAUGACUUGGUUCUACUGCCAAGAUACGUCCCCGGCUUACGAAAACCCGCUGCCCGGCUUUCGCCCAACGCGCCUGGAGCCGACUCAUCCGCUAUCCGACAAACUGACUGCCGCGGAACGCCAGCCUCUGCUUCCAACGAUCAAUAAGAUCAAAGCCCUGCUAGGCAACGGUCUGAACGGAAUUGAUCUGGUCCGGGUCUGGAUCUCAUGGCGGGUGAUCCCAUUGAGCCGCCGCCCCGGCUUAAUGUGUGAGUACACCGGGCGAAAGGAUGACCCGCAGAGGCACAGUCGCAAUGAUCUUCCAGAAGACGUUGCAGAGGAAGAGACCAAGGCUCUUCUAAACGAGAGCUUGGCAGACUGCGGAAGAACCGGGCUAGCCCCCUUCUGCAAGACCAAUCCAGCUCCAGCGGUAAGCCGCUGACUUUAACUUUUAUCUUCGUCUGCAUAUAACCUUCAACUGAACCAUUUAAGAAUCAAUCAUCAUAUCUUUCAGACUGAUGAUAAAUUCUGGCGGGUCAAAUAUGACCAUGAGGCGGCCAAGAAAGCCAGGAAGGCAAAGAAAACCGCCAAGAAAGCCGCCCCUCGCAAAAGGGAAGCAAACCCACUUCUUCGGAGCUAUUGCAAUUAAGCGACAGCUCCGAGUCAGAGGUAAUCCUUAAACCUUUAAAUUCUUGCCAUAUUUUUUGUUUGUUGCUGUCCGCCUUAUCAAUAUUUGCUCAUUGACAGGAUGACACCGGCGCCAGUAACCCGGUGGUUGAAGAGGUAAUGUCACUUUCCUCCGACUCGGAGCCUUUGCCACAGCUGAAAGUCCGAAGAGUAACCCGGAAAGUAAGCUUUUCACAUCCAUUAGCUCAUCAAGACCCUCAAUUUCUUUUGAAGCCGCAGGUUCACGAAAGCCGGCGUCACACCCGGGCCCGUAAGGACACCGACCUCUCCGCCGGGUUACCCGACGCAACAAGGAAGCGUCGCACUGAGGUUUUUUCUCACCUGUACCCUUUUCAUCCGUUGGCGGGUGUUAUCCGCCAGCCACUCAACUCUUCUGACUCCAAUUAUCAGGAGACCUCCCCCUCUUCGGGUGACUCCAUGCAGUCAAGUCUGCCGGCCUUCAAGACUGCACCCGGGUAAUAACAAUCUCCUUACAUUAUCUGUCUGUACUUACUCUUUGUGUGCCUAACACUUCUGUCUUUUCAGUGCCCAGGCGAAGCUCACCAAAAGAGCAAAGAAAACCAGGUCAGCCGGAGUGCCAGACUUGCCUGACCCAGAGGCGACGGUUCAAGAGCCGCCAGCUACCUCUGCGCCCGAAGCCACCAUUCCAAUGGACACGGCACCUGAGGCCCCUGCCCCGACUACCAAGACAAUGACCGAAGCGUCGGUUAACCCGGAGGCCUCCGGCUCAGCCCCACCAGCAGACGACCCGGACGUGGUAAUCACCCGGACGGAAUUCGUUGAGCCGGGGAGACCGACCGCGUUGGACAAGUGCUCCGCGAAGGGGGAGUUACUGCAGCCCCACCGGGUGAACCUGGACCUCUCCGGCUACACCGACUUGAGCAUUGGAGAGCUCGUCUCUGGCUACAUCAGCCAAGUCCACAAGAGCCGGGACGCCGAGGUUGCCAUGGUCAACCAGAUCCAAAAAAAAUCCGAGGUACCCUUCUGCCGUCUUCUUACUUUACUGCAUAGUUACAUUUGCCAUGCUAGCCCCCAAGUCGAUGACUUAUACUUUAUAUGUUGUAGACUUAGGUUCCGGCUUACUCAACUGAGCCGGCAGUACGUAGAUAGAGACGUUCAAUAUGCAUUAGCCCCCAAGUGCCAAGUGCCUUUGCUUGGAAAGCGCUUGGGACUUAUAUAACAACUGUUAAUUAACCCGGAAAUACAUGCAGGCUGUUGGCAAGAAACUAGAGGCGGACCUUGCGGAUCUCAAGAGCCGGCUAAAGAUGCAAGAGACGGAGACCCGGAAGGCAAACGCCAAGUUCGUAUCCAGCAUUGCCACUCAAGAAAAUUUGAAGACCGAGUUUGACGCUUAGAGGAAAGCCUGGGUCGAAGAGAAGGCCGCACUGGUAACCCGGGCGGAACAGGCGGAGAAGGCCCUCACUGAGAAGACCGCUGAGCUCUCCGGCCUAAAGCGCCAGGUUUCCCAAAUGGUGGCUGCUAUCUUCGGUAAGUCGCCUCACCGGCUUUCAUCAAGUCUGUAUAUGCUAUGAUUCAUCCUUGUCACCGGCUUAUCUGAUCUUGUUAAACAGGUCCCUGGAGCGCCAACCUCAACCAGAGCGUGGUCACCAAGUUAAAGGCCGUGUACACCCUGGUGGAACAGCUCUACACCGGGUCACAGCGUGCCUUAGCUGUGGUGGCCCUAUCCAACGAGGUGCCAACUCAUCUGGCCGAAGUCCUGCGCCGGCUCGCUGUUCUGCCGCAGCGGAUCCAGGAGCUACGACGUGCCUCCGCGAGAGCCGGAGCAAUUGCCGCGCUGAGCCGGGCCAAAGCAUUCCUGCCGGAGCUAGACCCGGCAGACAUCGCCCUGGGUUACCCAAGCCUGAAGGAAGACGGCUCAGCCUUCGACCAGAAGGACUUCGCGGCAUGUGUGAAGGCUGUACACCCGGUGGCCACCCUCAUCGGGAACGACACCGACUUAACCAAGUACCAGCCGGGUUAUGAUGCGGAGAAUCAGAGGAUUCCAACCCCUCGCUAUGAAGCCCUCAAUCUGAUCCCUCCGGCUCGUCAGCACACCUUCGCCCCGGAGAUUGACCCGGCCGGGUUAAUUGACGAAGAAGCCCAGUUCGAAGCUCUCAGCGGCAUCAACUGGAAAUCAUCGACCUUCGAGGUCUUGGGAUCAGCCGGAGGAGAAGACAGAAGUGAGCCGGGGACUUCAACUCAGCGGGCAUCAUAAGUUAGCUGGCGGCUUAUCAAACAUUGUUCCAUCUUUUAGACUUGAAGAAUGAUUGUAAUAGAGUAAAUGCAACAGUUUAUCUCUGUCGUGCCAUCGUGCACGUUUUGAACGCGAAAGCCCUUUGAAUUUGUCUCCUUUAUGUUUCUCCGGGUCAGAAUCAUCCCUUUGUUUUUCUCAACCUCAAAAGAUGCCUUUAAGUAUCUGCAUGGAAAAGGCAAAUCACAAGUCUCGAGGCGGCUUACCGCCCUAAGAAUCAGGUGUUUGAGAUAAAUAACCUGGAAUUCGAAUCAAAAAAGGACUGGCCCUUAAUUAUACUCUGAACAUAGCCAUAAUAACACACUUAACAGCCUGUAAGCAUCUUCCGGUUUAAAUAACCCGGGUAGUAAGGUUGAUACCUUAACUCCGGUUUACCUGUCUUGAUGACACCCAUGACGUGCAAUUAACACUGUAAACCAAAGUUAAACCGGCAAGUGAAACCCGGCCAUGCACACCUCAGAGUAAACUUGUGAAAAAACAGGAGAACUUAGGGGCUUCCGGUUCGAAUACGACCAGAGACCCGGCCCCAAGGGGUUAAGCCAAGAUUCGGAUAUGAUCAUACUGCCCCCAGUGGGUGUGGCGAUGCCAAUCAAGAGGGUACCGACAGCUAUGUUCUCUUUGGUUCGAAUACGACCCAUGUUUGAACAGGAAGCCCCCAAAUGAUUCUUAAAAUUGUUUAACGACGCUGAUUCGAAUACGAUCCACGUCGGUUCUUAGAGGGGUUAAACUAUGAUUCAAAUAUGACCAAAGGCAACCUCGCAAUGAGCUCGGCACUUUGCCAGUCAAAUGGGUAUCGACAGUUAUGUUCUCUUUGGUUCGAAUACGACCCAUGUUUGAACAGGAAGCCCCCAAGUGACCUUUCUGAUUACGGCUAGACUCGAAUACGAUCAUAAGCUGGAUCCUCCUUUAAAUCAGCAUGUGAAAAACAACACAAGCAUUUUUGGAGGAGAAAAAAGGACAGAGGUCCUGCUUUAUUGCUUAUCAUAAUAUAUACAUGUCUGAGACAAAUAUGUACACCACGAGAGCCGGUAGCUCAAGUGUAGUAAGGCCGAAGCUGAGCUAUGUUCCACGGCCGACGGGUCUCCUCCUCAGAUUUACGCGAAUCUUUAUGCUCCCGAAUAUCAAUGAGGUAAUAUGACCCGUUGUGCAAGUUCUUGCUGACCACAAAGGGCCCUUCCCAAGGUGGGGAUAACUUGUGUGUAUCUGUUUGAUCCUGGAUGAGCCGGAGCACAAGGUCGCCUUCCUGGAAGACCCAGGAUUUAACCCGGCGGCUAUGAUAACGGCGCAGGUCUUGUUGGUAAAUCGCUGAACGGGCUGCUGCCACAUCACGCUGUUCGUCCAACAAGUCCAGAGCAUCUUGGCGCGCCUGUUCAUUAUCCGUCUCAACAUAAGCCGCCACGCGAGGUGAAUCAUGACGGAUGUCACUGGGGAGGACUGCUUCUGCUCCAUAAACCAUGAAGAAAGGCGUGAAGCCUGUAGACCUGUUAGGAGUAGUAUUGAUGCUCCAUAAGACGGAGGGCAACUCCUCCACCCAACAACCCGGCAUCCGUUGUAAAGGGACCAAAAGCCGGGGCUUGAUACCCUUCAGAAUUUCCUGGUUAGAUCUCUCAGCCUGACCAUUGGAUUGAGGAUGAGCCACUGAAGAAACAUCAAGUCGGAUAUGCUCUCGUUGACAAAAUUCUUCCAUGGCGCCUUUGGAGAGAUUGGUGCCAUUGUCAGUUAUAAUGCUGUGCGGGAAACCAAAGCGGAAAAUCACCUUUUUCAUAAAUUGAACCGCCAUGGCUGCAUCGCACUUGCUAACUGGCUCGGCUUCCACCCACUUUGUGAAUUUGUCAACUGCCACCAAGAGGUGGGUCUUCUUAUCCUUGGACCGUUUAAAAGGCCCAACCAUAUCAAGCCCCCAAACCGCAAAGGGCCAAGUGAUUGGGAUCAUCCUCAACUCCUGAGCCGGCACGUGAGCCCGUCGUGAGAACCUUUGGCAACCAUCACAUUUACUGACCAUGUCCUCUGCAUCAGCGUGAGCCGUCAGCCAAUAAAAACCAUGACGGAAAGCCUUGGCUACAAGAGAUUUUGAGCCGGCAUGAUGACCACAAUCCCCUUCAUGGAUCUCCCGCAAGAUCUCUUGGCCUUCCUCAGGGGAGAUACAACGUUGAAAUGCCCCUGAAACACUGCGAUGAUGUAACUCGCCAUCGAUGACGAUCAUUGACUUAGCCCGCCGGGUUAUUUGCCUGGCCAGAGUUUCAUCCUCAGGCAACUCUCCCCGGGUUAUAUAAGCCAGGUAUGGCAUUGUCCAGUCUGGUAUGACAUGAAGAGCCGCCACCAGUCGUGCCUCCGCGUCAGGGACAGCCAAGUCCUCCUCUGUAGGCAAUUUAACCGAGGGGUUAUACAGGACAUCCAGGAAAGUGUUAGGCGGCACCGGCUUUCGCUGAGAGCCUAGCCGGCUUAAAGCAUCAGCCGCCUCGUUCUUCCUGCGAUCAAUGUGCUCUACUUGGUAUCCCUGAAAAUGCCCAGCAAUGGCAUCAACCUCGCGGCGAUAAGCCGCCAUGAGAGGAUCCUUAGAAUCCCAGGUGCCUGAUACUUGUUGAGUCACCAAGUCUGAGUCACCAAAACACCUUACCCGGCUUAAGCUCAUCUCCUUAGCCACCCGAAGACCGUGAAGCAAAGCCUCAUAUCCAGCCGCAUUAUUAGUGCAAGGAAACAUCAACUGCAGCACAUAAUGGAACUUGUCACCCUUAGGGGAAGCCAAUACAACACCAGCCCCCGAGCCCUCCAGCUGUCUGGACCCGUCAAAGUGAAUAGUCCAAUAAGUGUUAUCCGGCUUUUGCUCAGGCACUUGUGACUCCGUCCAGUCAUUGAUGAAAUCCACCAAAGCCUGAGAUUUAACAGCAGUGCGUGGCACAUAUUUGAGGCCAUGAGGUCCAAGUUCUAUAGCCCACUUGGCAAUUCUCCCUGUAGCCUCUCUGUUCUGGAUAAUAUCACCAAGAGGGGCAGAACUGACCACAGUGAUGGGAUGACCCUGAAAAUAAUGCUUGAGCUUCCGGCUCGCCAUGAACACACCAUACACGAGCUUCUGCCAAUGCGGGUACCGCUGCUUGGACUCAAUGAGCACCUCGCUGACAUAAUAAACCGGCCGCUGAACCGGAUGCUCCUUACCCGCCUCCUUGCGCUCCACCAUAAUAGCCACGCUGACGGCUCGUGCGUUUGCCGCCACAUACAGUAGCAAGGGCUCCUUAUCAACCGGAGCAGCAAGGACGGGGGGCUCUGCCAGUUGCUUUUUCAAAUCCUCAAAAGCGGUAUUAGCGGCAUCAUUCCAGACAAAGUUAUCAGUUUUCUUUGUCAACUGAUAUAAGGGCAUAGCCUUCUCACCCAAACGGCUUAUAAACCGGCUUAAAGCAGCGAUGCGACCCGCCAAACGCUGAACGUCAUUUAUACACGCCGGCUUAGCUAGGGAAGUGAUGGCCUUGAUCUUCUCCGGGUUAGCCUCAAUGCCUCUGUCAGAAACCAAGAAGCCCAAUAGUUUGCCUGCAGGAACACCAAAAACACACUUGGCCGGGUUUAGCAUCAUCUUGUAGACCCGAAGAUUAUCGAAGGUUUCCCUUAAGUCAUCUAUCAGGGUUUCCUCCUUGAUGGAUUUAACCACAAUAUCGUCUACGUAAGCGUGAACAUUGCGCCCGAUCUGUUUAUGAAGACAGUUCUGUACACAACGCUGGUAAGUCGCCUGUGCACACUUGAGUCCAAAGGGCAUAGACACAUAGCAGAAGGCUCCAAAGGGAGUGAUGAACGCCGUCUUCUCCUGGUCCUUAACUGCCAUCUUAAUCUGAUGAUACCCGGAAUAAGCAUCCAAGAAACUUAAGCGUGCACAGCCCGCCGUAGCAUCAAUGAUUUGAUCAAUACGGGGGAGAGCAAAAGGAUCAGCCGGACACGCCUUGUUCAAAUCCGUGUAGUCCACACACAUCCGCCAGGUGCCGUUCUUCUUGAGCACGAGCACCGGGUUAGCCAACCAUUCGGGGUGAAAAACUUCAACAAUAAACCCAGCCGCCAAGAGCCGGGCCACUUCCAGACCAAUGGCUUUCCGCCUCUCCUCAUUAAACCGUCGAAGGAACUGUCUGACUGGCUUAAAUUUCGGUUCAACAUUGAGAGUAUGCUCAGCGAGUUCUCUAGGUACACCUGGCAUGUCAGAAGGCUUCCAUGCAAAGAUGUCCCUAUUCUCACGGAUGAACUCAAUGAGCGCGCUUUCCUAUUUUGGAUCCAGAUUGGCACUGAUGUUGAUGAAUCUCCUGGAACAAAAUCAACAAGCUUAGUUUCAUCAGCCGACUUAAAUUUCAUCGCCGGCUCAGCCUCCGUAGUCGGCUUCUUUAGAGAAGUCAUGUCUGUUGGGUCAACAUUGUCUUUGUAAAACUUCAACUCCUCUGUUGCGCAAACAGACUCUGCAUAAGCUGCAUCACCUUCCUCACACUCGAGAGCCACUUUCCGGCUGCCGUGAACCGUAAUGGUCCCAUUGUGACCCGGCAUCUUGAGCUGUAAGUACACAUAACACGGCCGUGCCAUGAACUUGGCGUAAGCCGGCCGUCCAAAUAUAGCAUGGUACAAACUUCUUAUCUUGACCACCUCAAAGGUUAAUUUCUCCACCCUGUAGUUGUUCUCAUCACCAAAAGCCACUUCCAAUUCGAUCUUGCCGACUGGAUAAGCCGACUUACCAGGUACCACACCAUGGAAGAUAGUGUUCGACUGGCUGAGGUUCUUAUCAACCAGCCCCAUACGGCGAAAAGUCUCAUAAUAGAGGAUGUUGAUGCUGCUACCUCCAUCCAUGAGCACCUUUGUGAACUUAUAACCUCCCACCUGAGGCGCUACCACUAAGGCCAAGUGGCCCGAGUUAUCCACCCGGGGAGGGUGAUCCUCCCUACUCCACACUAUAGGCUGCUCAGACCACCGCAAGUAGCGUGGAACCGCCGGCCCAACAGCAUUAACAGCCCUCUUGUAAAGCUUCUGAUCUCGUUUGCACAAACUAGUGGUGAACACAUGAUACUGUUCACCGCUAAGCUGCUUUGGGUUGGUCUGAUAACCCCCCUGCUGCUGUUGAUGACCCUGACCAGACUGUUGAUUAAAGCCCCCUUGACCGUUCUGAAGACCAGAAUUUGAGCCGCCGCCCGGGCCAUGAAAGCCGCCGGCGCCUGAGCCGCCGCCCGGGCCAUUGUAACUCUUAAAGGCCUUCAUGAUCGCGCAAUCCUUCCACAGAUGAGUCGCUGGCUUCUCUCUAGAGCCAUGCCUUGGACAAGGUUCAUUCAACAGCUGCUCCAGCGUUGGACCUGACCCGCCGCCUCGGGGAGGGGGCCUCCCCUUGCGUCGCUGGUUAUUACCUUGGGAGUUGGCGUUGGCUACAAAUUCUAGGCUGCCAUCGGCCUUACGCUUGCCUCCUCCUUGGUUCCCCGGGUUAAACUGAGGACCCUUGCCAUUGCCGUUCUUCUUUCCCUUCCCUGUCCUUUCAUCGUCUGAAGGGGGAUCCUUGGUACCAUCGGAAUCGGCGUACUUGACAAGAGCCGCCAUUAGGGUACCCAUAUCGGUGCAGUCGCGCUUAAGCCGCCCGAGUUUCAUCUUAAGGGGCACGAAGCGACAGUUCUGUUCCAACAUUAAGACUGCAGAGCCGGCAUCCAUCUUAUCUGACGAAUGUAUGAUCUCCUUGACCCGGCGAACCCAAUGGGUCGUGGAUUCACCCUCCUGCUGCUUACAGUUAGUCAAAUCCACAAUGGACAUAGACUGCCUACAGGUAUCUUUGAAGUUUUGAAUGAACCGGGCUUUCAACUCAGCCCAAGACCCAAUGGAGUUCGGUGGUAGCCCUUUCAACCACGUGCGGGCAGUUCCAUCUAACAUCAUGGUGAAAUAUUUGGCCAUGGCCGCCUCACUGACCUCCAGCAAUUCCAUAGCCAUCUCAUAACUCUCAAUCCAGGCUGCAGGCUGUAAGUCAGCUGUAUAGUUAGGCACCUUCCUAGGGCCCUUGAAGUCCUUAGGUAGACGUUCAUUAUGGAUAGCUGGCACCAAACAAGGGACACCCCCGGUCCUGGUAGAAAUACCCACAUCAACGGACGUCGUUGGAUAAGCCGGGGGGGUCUGGUAAGACGUCAAUUGAGGCACCUGCUCCGCCUCUUGCCGCGCUUGGUCUGCUGCGUAAAAGGCUCCAUUAUGAGCCGGGCCAUGGCCAGGGGGCGGGUCAUGGCGUCGGACAUUACUUGAGCCGGUUGCUGAGACCAUGUGCCGGCUGUAACUCGGGCUCUGGCCUGGACGAGGGGUCGAGUGGAUCCUGUCCCGGCUGUAGGAGUACGCCUCUUGCUGUGCCAGUGCCGUCUGCAGGAGUUCCCUGACCCGGCGGGUUUCGAUGGCCGCCGGAGAGUCGCCGUCAACGGGGAGAGCCGCCAGUCGUGCUGCCGCAGCCACCAUGUUCUCCAGCGGGUUAUCAUAAUGACCCGGGGGUAUUGGCACAUACUGAGGCGGGGCAGGGGGCACCUGGGGAGGCCCCAUCACUCGUGGCUGAAGAAGGGGUCCAGACCCGGGCGCAAUGACCCCUGGCGGGUUACUAGAUCCUGCACCCGGCGUGUUGAAGAGAUUUCGUGGAUCGUAAACCGGUGGGAGUCGAGACUAGGCCUUCUGAUGCCUCCUUCUCAUGACCUCGUUGGCCGCGUUCUGAUCCAUCGUGAGUUGGAAGGACUGUGCCUAAAUCAGCUGAGUACGGGCGUCGAGAGCCGCUCGCUCCGCAGCCAGCCUGAUCCCCUCCGCUGCAAGAUCCUCUUUAGCUUUUAUCAAAUCCAAUUUUAACUGUGCCACCUCCGCGUCAUGCUGAGCUUGAUUCGCCGGGUCAACCGUGGUGGUUAAUAGGGCCGUCAUCUUGUCCGUGAGAUCCAUCAGCACCUGAGCCGGAGACGGCACCGGGUUUCCCGAUCCGGCAGCGGGGUUCUGAACAGGCUGUGCACCAGUCAUAAAGACUCCAACCUGACAUGGCUGCUCAAAAGGGUCCGGAAUAUUGUCACCGUCGGAACAACCCAUGAGCCUGCCAUCUAGAAGUUGGUACAACGAGUUUGAUUCAUCGGUGGCCGACUCGCCGUCAGAGCCGGCAGCCGUCUCAUCACCGGAUCCAGAUCGAUCGGAGAGUCCUCCAUGGAUACACCCCACAAAAGCAUGCCUUAAGGCAGGCCGGGCCCGGGCGGGUCGCGCAAGCUGAGCCGUCUCGAUGAGAUCAGCGCAGAGACCCGGCUCGGGGCCCGGCUCACCAAUCUUGCCAAUGAAAACGUGAAUUCCGCCGAAGGGGACCCGGUACCCGUACUCAAUUGAGCCGGCGUCGGGGCCCCAGCUUGCAUCGUCGAUGCAGAGCUUGCCGCGACGACUCUUGGUCAUCCGGCCCACAGCGUCUCCCUUGAGCCCUUCGAAGCUGCCCUUCAAGAACUCAAAUCCACCGUGCGCUGGUCCCACGGUGGGCGCCAACUGUCGUGGAAUUGUCACGGCAGAUGUCCUCGAGCUAGGACUUAGUCGUGGAGCCAUCGCAGCUAGGAAGCUUGAAGGGGUUAAUGCGGGACAAGGAACACGAGGGUUUAUACUGGUUCGGCCCCUUACGGUGAAGGUAAAAGCCUACGUCCAGUUUGAGGUGGUAUUGAUUAGGGUUACGAUCACCGGGGAGCUAAACUGCUAUGCCCGGCUCUGGAUGAGAUUGUCGUCGCCCCUAAACCGCUGCCGGGUCAUCCCUUUAUAUAGGGAGGCUGACGCCCAGCAGCCCUUAGAGUCCCGGCCGGCUUAUAAGAGUAUCCGGCUCGGACUCUAAACUAUACUUGCCUUACGCUACAAGUUCUACUGUAAUAAUGAUUAUAACUACGGGCCUUAAGCCAUAUCCGGGUCUCAGCCCAUCUCUGGCCCAUCGUCUUGAAACUUGGCUCCGGGCUUCUGGCAACGACCGUAUGAGUAACCCGGCCCCUCCUGGCGGGUGACUCUAAGGUCUAUAUCCUCAACAAAGGAUACAUUCCACAAAAGCAGGUAACAACACCGCAAUGUUGCUAUGCACAUAAAAAAUUAUGUUUGCCCCUUUACUUAUUGAAUGUAUUAACUCUGAUGUGAGAUACUAGGUGCUGGUCAUGGAAUUUUUUGUUAGUAGGGAUGAUGAGAUGUCACAUGUCCCGAGAGCAUACUUUGAUGAACACCCGGCAGAAGUCAGAAUUUUUGAACCCGCCAAAGUGACCUACGAUCUCAUUAUGAGUGAAAUGAGAGAUACUUUUGGUUGCAAACUGGGAGCAGAACUGUACUACUUCUUACCCGGGUCUGCAUGGAAGCUGCCAGAAGGAAUGUUCUUGAUUGCAGGACCAGAUGAUGUAGAAAAAAUGCUUUCUGAUCUGAAUGGCAGCAAGACAUGUCACCUGUACAUUGUGUACAAUAGAACUACGGGUUGUUUUCCCGAGGAUGACAUUGAUCCAGAGGUUCAAAUUUUACAUGUUACAUGCAUCUAGUUUAUGGCUACGUCAUUUUUAAGUUCUUCCUAAUACAAUUCCUAUGGUUUUCUACAGCAAGUGAGAAUCCAAGAAAUGGAGGGUCUUGCUAGAGAGUUGGCGGAGAAAGAACAAGAACAACUUCAGUUGUAUGGUUACAUUGAUGUUAAAGAGAAAAAGAUUGAAGCACAUGGGUCGUCGCCAAGCCCGACGCAAUCUCCAACGUCGCAACGCAAGAGGUCACUGGAUUUUGGCAGUGCAGAAGACCAUAUGGAGUAGGCUCAAUUGUUUUUCAACCAGUUUAAGCUUCAAACCAGGAUUAUUUUGUUGCAAACAAACUUUUUUUUUCUGUUUCACACUAUGUUCACAAUUAUGGUACAAUUUAUUCAUGAGACAGUUCUUUGAACAACAAUGCAUGUGUUUUAUGAUCAAUCAUACAGUUGUUUCUGAGUUGUUUGUGAGAUGGCAUUGCAUCUAAAGAAGUUUCCAUCUAUAAAACUUGUAAAAAAUCAUUUAUGAUGUCUUUGUUGAAACUGUUUUUUCGUGCCUUUCAUCUACACGUGUAAUCAUUAUAGCCUACAAAACCAUACAACGUCGCAAAACAAUUUCCAGUUGGCAUGGAUGCUUGUCAUGUUGGUACAAGGGUUUCAAAUUUUUUUGGGUCCAUUUCAAGCAUGCCGAAAAAAUCCGUCUUCCCAGACGGAACAUCCCCUACUACCCGAACGGCUAAGUUGAAUGACACCAAUUUUUCCAUCAAGCGCGCAAGCACACCCCCGUGGGCCGCGUGAAAUCUGAGCUAACCCCAAAACUUGCUGGUUUUGACGUCAAAUAAGAUAGAAAUAUCAGGGGAAGAAGAUAGAAAUAGCAAGCAAAACACAGAUAACCAACAACAUAUCAAAUAGACGGGUAGAAAUCAUAACAUAGUUCGGAUAGAUAAAGUUCAUGGUAGAACCAACAACAUGAUUUAAUAGAAAUAUUUAAAAGAUAAAAAACUUGCCCUAACACGCUAGGGCAAGACAAGCUGACGAGACCGGGCCUUCACCACCAUCUUCACUGCGCCUCCUCUCCAGUGCUCCUCUCCAUCCCGUCCUCGCCGAUAUAGUAGGGGAGGGUGUGCAUACCGUCGCGGGUGGGGAAGAUGCAGUCGAAGUUUGUGAAGAUGUUGUGGGUUGUGAAUGCGAUGAAUUCGCAUCCACACCAAAACACCUUGCCGAGGAGGUAGUACGCAUCAAAUCUGUUGGUGAAGGUGACGGUGAGCCCUAUCGGCGGAGACCAGGAGUUUGGACGCACUUCAUCCAGUCGGAACAUCACCGGCGAGCCCGCCGGGAGGUGGGCGAAGCCCGCACGGAGGAACCACUGGGCAAAGCCCCUUGCACCCCUCCAGCGUGAGAACGCCCACACGCGAAGCGUGCUCUCCACGACGACGCCGGCCGGAUACUGUCUCUCCGGCACGGUCGGUGGGAGCCGGUAGGUGGGGCCGUUGUACUGCAUCCUCGCGGCUCGCUCAGAGAGUGCUCUGGGUUUGGGGAAGAAGAGAAGGGCGGCGCAAAUGGAUGUGUGCAGAAGGUGAGGGCGGUGGUUUAAAUAGGGAAAGGGGAGGUCAAACGAUCCAUAUGCCACUUUAAUUGCCACGUUGAAUAGAUGCGGGUGGAUCAAAAAAGUGUGAACCCAAGGCUUUAAUUGCCACGUUGAAUACAUGCAGGUGGAUCAAAAAAGUGUGAAACCAAGGUUUUAAUUGCCACGUUGAAUCGAAAAGUGUGAAAACAAGGUUUUAAUCGCCUCGCUCGCAUGCAUGCACGUCCGCCACCCGCGCAUGCAAACCCACGUCGCCGCCCUUCCCAUGCAUGCAGGCCUCAGGCGCAGAAAACGAGAAGGCCCAACGGUCCAUCCAGCGACCCAGCGGGUGAGGCUGGCGUGGGACGGCCCACCCGAAUUAGGCCCAAGCGAGCUUCGCGCCGGGCACAUCCCAGGGGUGCAGGGAGUUUAGUCCCACCUCGCCGAACGAGGGGAGCUAGCACCGGUUUAUAUAGCGGGCUGAGCUUUCCCUCUCAAGUUCCUUUCUAAAGCGGGCAGCACAUUGCCUAACCGUCUCCGUCCCUGCCCUGUGGGGCCUACUUGCUACCUGUUUUCACAAUCUGGCGGGCCUCUGCAUCCUGGCCCAAUAAAUGAUUGGGUUACUAGUCGUAUGCAGGCCGUUGAAUUGUGAAAGCGGACAAGUAGGCGGGCUUUUUUUGUCUAUUUCAUUUUUUUCAUUUGUCACCAUUAUUUCCAUUGCAGCAUGUCCAUCAUGCUGCAUUUUGGGAAGAACAAGCUAGAGUUGUACACACCCUGAUUUAAUGCUCAAAACGCCGGUUUAUACCUCAAGGGGACAUUGUAAAUUAAUUGUUUUCAAAAAUUUCUUUCAUAGACAUGUUGCACACAUGAUCUCUUCCACAAACAAAACUAGGUUUCCAAGUUUUUGUAUUUUUUUGAAUUUUUUUUGAAUUUAUAAUGCCCUCUAGACUGACUGCUGAAAACAUCGGUCUAUGCCUCAAGGGGGCAUUGUAAAAUAAUUUUUUUUUAAAUUUCUUUCAUAGACAUGUUUGGCACAUGUGGGUCACCAUGUACAAGAAAAUUUGGAUGAUUUGGAGGUGGUGGAAAAAAACACGUAUGUUCAAAAACUGGCUUAAGUUAGACCAAAUGGCCCCUCCGGAAUGCAAUGAUUUUUUCGACCACCUCCAAAUCACCUCAUUUUUGGCACACAUGAUCUCUUGCACAAACAAAGCUAGUUUUCGAAGGUUUUACAUUUUUUUGAAUUUUUUUAUUAAUUUACAAUGCCCUCUAGACUGACUGGUCAAAACAUCGGUCUAUACCUCAAGGGGGCAUUGUAAAGUAUUAUUUUUCCAAAAUUUCUUUCAUAGCCAUGUUNNNNNNNNNNNNNNNNNNNNNNNNNNNNNNNNNNNNNNNNNNNNNNNNNNNNNNNNNNNNNNNNNNNNNNNNNNNNNNNNNNNNNNNNNNNNNNNNNNNNNNNNNNNNNNNNNNNNNNNNNNNNNNNNNNNNNNNNNNNNNNNNNNNNNNNNNNNNNNNNNNNNNNNNNNNNNNNNNNNNNNNNNNNNNNNNNNNNNNNNNNNNNNNNNNNNNNNNNNNNNNNNNNNNNNNNNNNNNNNNNNNNNNNNNNNNNNNNNNNNNNNNNNNNNNNNNNNNNNNNNNNNNNNNNNNNNNNNNNNNNNNNNNNNNNNNNNNNNNNNNNNNNNNNNNNNNNNNNNNNNNNNNNNNNNNNNNNNNNNNNNNNNNNNNNNNNNNNNNNNNNNNNNNNNNNNNNNNNNNNNNNNNNNNNNNNNNNNNNNNNNNNNNNNNNNNNNNNNNNNNNNNNNNNNNNNNNNNNNNNNNNNNNNNNNNNNNNNNNNNNNNNNNNNNNNNNNNNNNNNNNNNNNNNNNNNNNNNNNNNNNNNNNNNNNNNNNNNNNNNNNNNNNNNNNNNNNNNNNNNNNNNNNNNNNNNNNNNNNNNNNNNNNNNNNNNNNNNNNNNNNNNNNNNNNNNNNNNNNNNNNNNNNNNNNNNNNNNNNNNNNNNNNNNNNNNNNNNNNNNNNNNNNNNNNNNNNNNNNNNNNNNNNNNNNNNNNNNNNNNNNNNNNNNNNNNNNNNNNNNNNNNNNNNNNNNNNNNNNNNNNNNNNNNNNNNNNNNNNNNNNNNNNNNNNNNNNNNNNNNNNNNNNNNNNNNNNNNNNNNNNNNNNNNNNNNNNNNNNNNNNNNNNNNNNNNNNNNNNNNNNNNNNNNNNNNNNNNNNNNNNNNNNNNNNNNNNNNNNNNNNNNNNNNNNNNNNNNNNNNNNNNNNNNNNNNNNNNNNNNNNNNNNNNNNNNNNNNNNNNNNNNNNNNNNNNNNNNNNNNNNNNNNNNNNNNNNNNNNNNNNNNNNNNNNNNNNNNNNNNNNNNNNNNNNNNNNNNNNNNNNNNNNNNNNNNNNNNNNNNNNNNNNNNNNNNNNNNNNNNNNNNNNNNNNNNNNNNNNNNNNNNNNNNNNNNNNNNNNNNNNNNNNNNNNNNNNNNNNNNNNNNNNNNNNNNNNNNNNNNNNNNNNNNNNNNNNNNNNNNNNNNNNNNNNNNNNNNNNNNNNNNNNNNNNNNNNNNNNNNNNNNNNNNNNNNNNNNNNNNNNNNNNNNNNNNNNNNNNNNNNNNNNNNNNNNNNNNNNNNNNNNNNNNNNNNNNNNNNNNNNNNNNNNNNNNNNNNNNNNNNNNNNNNNNNNNNNNNNNNNNNNNNNNNNNNNNNNNNNNNNNNNNNNNNNNNNNNNNNNNNNNNNNNNNNNNNNNNNNNNNNNNNNNNNNNNNNNNNNNNNNNNNNNNNNNNNNNNNNNNNNNNNNNNNNNNNNNNNNNNNNNNNNNNNNNNNNNNNNNNNNNNNNNNNNNNNNNNNNNNNNNNNNNNNNNNNNNNNNNNNNNNNNNNNNNNNNNNNNNNNNNNNNNNNNNNNNNNNNNNNNNNNNNNNNNNNNNNNNNNNNNNNNNNNNNNNNNNNNNNNNNNNNNNNNNNNNNNNNNNNNNNNNNNNNNNNNNNNNNNNNNNNNNNNNNNNNNNNNNNNNNNNNNNNNNNNNNNNNNNAAAUGGCCCCUCCGGAAUGCGAUGAUUUUUUCGACGACCUCCAAAUCACCUCAGUUUUGGCACACAUGAUCUCUUGCACAAACAAAGCUAGUUUUCCAAGGUUUUACAUUUUUUUUGAAUUUUUUAUUAAUUUAUAAUGCCCUCUAGAUUGACUGGUCAAAACAUCGGUCUAUACCUCAAGGGGGCAUUGUAAAGUAUUAUUUUUCUAAAUUUUAUUUCAUAACCAUGUUUGGCACAUGUGGGUCACCAUGUACAAGAAGAUUUGCGUGAUUUGGAGGUGGUGGAAAAAAUCACGUAUGUUCAAAAACUGGCUUAAGUUAGACCAAAUGGCCCCUCCGGAAUGCGGUCAUUUUCUCAACCAAUUCCAAAUCACCUCAAUUUUGGCACACAUGAUAUCUUGCACAAACAAAGCUAGGUUUCCAAGGUUUUAUAUUUUUUUGAAUUUUUUAUCAAUUUAUAAUGCCCUCUAGACUGGCUGGUCAAAACAUCAGUCUAUAACUUUGGGGGGCAUUGUAAAAUAUUCUUUUUCCAAAAUUUCUUUGAAAUUUCUAAUGCCCUCUUAUAUUUGUUUAUAAUGCCCUCUUAUAUUUUCUUUGAAAUUUAUAAUGCCCUCUUAUAUUUUCUUUCUAUUUUUUUAAUUUAUAAUGUCCUCUUAUAUUUGUUUAUUUUUUUAAUGCCCUCUUAUUUUUCUGUAUUUUUUUAUUUAUGAAGUAAGGUUUCCAUGAUGGCUAGGCUGGCCCUUGCUUUUCGUUUUGUUUAAUGCCUUCAGUUUAUUUUUUUAAUGCCCUCUUAUAUAACUUUAUUAAAAAUAAAGUAGAUCUUAUUUCAAAUUCCUUUUUUUUGCACACAUUAUUUUUAACUAGUUUUACAUUACUCUUGUAAAUUUACAUUUAAUUCCUUCACACUUUGAUGAUGGAAUAUUUGCUCUGUUAUUGCAACAUUGGUUCAAAUGAUGGAACAUUUGAUCUUUUUGCUUAUUCAAAUUACGCAUUGAUGGAAUGUGUGAGGAUAAACAAUUAUCAGUAACUUUACGAAACCCCUUGUAAUAUAAUUCAUGACAGCCAAUUUGGAACAUUGCCAGAUUCAAUAUUUGGUAUAAUUGGCACAUGCGCACAGCAAGUUGCACUUGCGCACAGCAUAGACAAGUGUUGCAGCAUGUCUGAAGCAACACUGAAGCGCCAUUUGUGAUCAUUGCACCAUCGAAACAACAAGUAAACAUGAAGGAAGCAUUCACCACCAAUAAAGUUAAGGCCAGACAUAUAUAGAUAGCAUUAGGUACCAGGCAGUUCACAACAGAUCCAGUUAAGACACACAAUACAUUACAUUACAUUACAUUAAUAGAGGUAGUUUUUAACCAGUUCAGACCCAGAUGCAGCUUUCCAAAAGUAAAACAUCAUCAAAUAUACUGAUGAUGAGUACGGCUUCCAGCUUCUGAUGAUCAGCAUGAUGUAGGACUAGAGGUUAGGGUUUCUCAGGACCUUCAGGAGGGCAGAAUGCUCAGCCCUGAUCUUGUACUCAUCACUGGAGAUCGAUGUAGCCCGGCAAUGUUCCAUCAGAUGCUCCAAUAACCCAGACCUGGGCUUGGGCUUGCUGCAGAAGGGGCAGCGGUACUUUUCCGUCCUCCAGUUGUGGUACAUACCAGGUCCUUGGGUCCUGAUCUUCAACACCACCUUCUCUUCAAACGACUCGACGUUCCCCUCGUCCACAUCAUCUCCAGAUUCAUACUGCACACAUUAAUGACUGACAUUAAUACAUUAUGCAUUCAAAUACUAUAAACACACUAACUCAAUGCACAAAUAACAUUUCAACUAGGCCUUACCUCAUACGGCUCAUCUUCAUCAGAGUCAUAUGGGUAGAACCCAGUCUUGUCCCUCUUCCUCUUGUUGCCCACAACCACAAGAUCCUCCUCCUCCUGCUAUAUUGUCAAACAAGCACAUCAAUUACAAUGAAUUGAAUUGUAGUUCAAAGAAUGUCAUUACACACAAAAUUGUGAAUGUGAACCGCAUUGGUAUGUUGCAAGUGACCAAAUGCUUUCCUUAUAAAUACAGAAUCUAAGCAAUCAAUCAACAGACAAAUGCUUUCCUUCAUAAAUGCUAAUGAAAAUCCAAGCUGGAUUCUUGACAUUCCCUGGAUUAACCCAACACUUUUCUUUUGAAGGAAUCCCCCCCCCCACACACUACUUAAUGGAAACAUAUAGUAUA